GAUAGUAAUUAUCUCACUGGGGAGAUACCAGCAUCCCUCGGAAACAUCACAAAUUUACAACAAGUCAUUUUUUCAAAAAAUCAGCUCAGUGGUAGAAUUCCCGACGAGGUUAUGCAAAUGCCAAACUUAAUGGAGUUGCACCUAGACCAAAAUAACCUAUCAGGUAGUAUUCCUGAGGUUUGGCAAAUGCCAAACAUAUUGCUGUUAGACCUAAGCGUAAAUAACCUCUCAGGUCGAAUUUAUUUUCGAGCUCUAUCUAAUGUAUCUUCUCUUCAGGGAUUGUCCUUGGCAUCAAAUAUGCUAGGCAGCACAUUACCAUCUAACAUUGGAGAUGCUCUACCGAAUCUCACGAUUCUAUACUUGGGUGAGAACUAUUUCGAGGGUCACAUUCCAGCUUCCCUAGGAAAUCCUCCAGGUCUAGGAGUCAUAGAUCUCUCAUCGAAUUAUUUCACCGGCCAAAUCCCAAAUUCUUUGGGAAACCUUUCACUGCUGUCUUUUCUUAACCUUGAUCAAAACAUGCUUCAAUCAACAGACAAUGAAGGUUGGGAAUUCAUCCAUGCCCUGGGAAAGUGUAGAUCUCUAGAAAAACUUUCAUUGUCUAAUAAUAAGCUACAGGGAGCCGUACCAAAUUCUAUUGCAAACCUGUCCAGCACUCUUACACAUCUGCUAAUGUCUGAAAACAGUCUAUCAGGAACAGUUCCCCCACGUAUUGGAAAAUUUAGUUCCUUAAUUCAACUAUCACUAGAUCAAAACAAUCUUACCGGUACAAUUGAAGAAUGGGUUGGAAAUAUGACAAAACUAGAACGUUUGAAUCUCCAAUCAAACAGCUUCGUCGGGAUAAUUCCACCUUCCAUUGGCCAACUUACACGGUUGACAUAUUUAUUUCUUGCUGAAAAUCAAUUCACUGGGUUUAUACCACCUAGCUUUGGAAACCUUACAUCAUUGUUGGAGCUGAACCUUAGCUACAACAAUUUCAACGGGUACAUACCACCAAACUUUCGAAACCUUGAACAACUCAUACUAUUUGACCUUAGCUACAACAAUCUACAAGGUGACAUAACUCUAGAUAUUAGCAAACUUAAACAGCUCACAGACCUACGUCUUUCAUCAAACAAGCUUACCGGAGAAAUCCCAGAUACUUUUGGCAAGUGUCAACAAUUAGAAACCCUCCUAAUGGACCAAAAUUACCUCAAAGGAAACAUCCCACCAUCUUUCAAGGGACUACAGAGCCUCAAAUCACUAAAUCUUUCUCACAAUAACUUGUCUGGCACCAUUCCAACUAUUUUGGAGGAUCUAUCGCUUCUCAAUAAGCUGGAUCUUUCAUAUAAUCAUCUCCAAGGAGAAAUACCAAUGAAUGGAGUCUUUGCAAAUGCAACGGCUAUUUCACUCAAUGGCAACUGGGGGUUCUGUGGAGGAGUGAUGGAUCUCCAUAUGCCUGCAUGCCCUGCGGGUUCUCCGGAAAUAGAAUGGAAACGCUAUGUGAUCAUCUUACUGAUUCUAGUAUUUAGCUUCAUGUCACUCGGGAUGUCAAUUUACGUUAUAUUUUUUGGGAAGAAGGCACGGAGGCCAUACUUAUUAUUACUUUCUUUUGGUAAGAAAUUCCCUGGAGUUUCUUACAAGGAUUUAGCCCAAGCUACAGAGAACUUCUCAGAGUCCACCCUAGUUGGGAGAGGAAGCUAUGGUUCAGUAUACAGAGGGAAGUUAACUGAAGCUAAAAUCGAAGUAGUUAUUAAGGUCUUUGACCUUGAGACAAGAUUUGCGGACAAAAGUUUUAUUUCAGAAUGCGAGUCUUUGAGAACCAUUCGGCAUCGGAAUCUUCUUCCUAUACUAACUGCAUGCUCAACGAUUGACAAUAAUGGCAACGAUUUCAAAGCACUAAUUUAUGAGUUCAUGCCCAACGGGAAUUUGGAUACAUGGUUGCAUCAGAAACAUGGUGGUGUAGUUCCAACACAUUUGGGCUUAGCUCAGAGACUAAACAUAGGUGUUGGCAUGGCUGAUGCACUGGCCUAUUUACACCAUGACUGUGGAAGGCCUAUUGUCCACUGUGAUCUGAAACCAACUAAUAUACUUCUUGAUGAUGACAUGAAUGCUCAUUUGGGAGACUUUGGCAUUGCAAAUCUCAUUGUUGAUUCCAGAUCAAUAGCAGUCGGACAUUAUUAUUCAUCUGGCUGUAGUAGUUCACUCGCUGUGAGAGGAACUAUUGGGUAUAUUGCUCCAGGUAUAAAUCAAGAAUGUUGCCAUCUCUUCAUGUAUUUGUAUAAAACAAUCUGUUAUUCACUCAAUAAUUUUCCUCUAUUUUAAGAGUAUGCUCAAACUGUUCAUGCAUCAACCUGUGGGGAUGUUUAUAGUUUUGGAAUACUACUCCUGGAGAUGAUUCUAGGCAAAAGACCAACUGAUUCCAUGUUUGAGGGUGGGCUCACCAUUAUCAAUUUUGUGGAGAGAAACUUUCCAGAUCAGGUGUUACAUUUCAUUGAUGCUCAUCUCCAAGAAGAAUGCAAGGACUUUGUUAAAGCGACGGCGUCAACAGAAAAUGAGGUCCAUCGAUGCGUGUUAUCUCUCGUGCAAGUUGCUCUUGCUUGCACGCGUUCAUUGCCAAGAGAAAGAAUGAGCAUGAGAGAAGUAGCCGUAAACUUGCAUGCAAUCAGGAGGUCGUAUGUUGCAGCGACUAAAUGAGGGCAAGCCAUGCUUCGCUAUACCUUUUGCAAUUAGCUUGGGUUAUUGGGUAUCUUUAAAUGUAAUUGGAAUAAAUAUGGCAAAUUAGGCAUGAGUAGCAUGCUGAGAUUGAUGAAAGCUAAUAUAUGUGAUUCUCUUUUAAGCCGCUAUAGGCGUGUAACCCAAAACUCUUAAGAUAGUGAGAUUGUUGCUGGCUAGUGCCCGUGGUUUUUCCCCUUCACAUCGGAGGGGUUUUCCACGUUAAAUCGUGUGUCUCCUCUGUGGCUUAAUUCUUUACUUCAUAUUUCUAUACGUCGUUCAUAACACAGACAUCGUGUUACCGCUCAUGCUAGGACUUGGGAUUUGAACAUUUGGAAAAUGGAUUUGGUAAAGCAUCAGUGAUUUUGGUGAAGUGAUCUUAUAUGGCUUUGAUGGGUAAUGUCCCAUACCGGAAUACAUUGGGACUGCACUGUAAUCUAGAUGCGAAUCUGCAAUAACCCACCUAGAAUUGGUACAGAUCCAUCAUCGAAAUCCCAAACUGGAAUUACCUUCCACCUUCCACCAAUCACUUCACAGAAUAAGGGCUAUUGAGAUCAUUUCAUACUGGGUGUGCAGCCGAAGAUCGGACAUGUGCCGGGCCACGCGCGCUGCUCGCAGACGAUGCGUCGCCACCCACCCGCCCGCCGUGCCUCCGCGCGUGGAGCGGCCGAGAUUUACCCGCAAUUGCACGGUGCUGCUGCGGUCGAGGUGAGGGCACUCCAGCGCUAGCGCUACUGUGUGGCUGGCUUGCCGUCAUGGCAUCAUUGGGCAAGGCCGAAUGUGUUCUGAGCUACUGACUGGUGUGUCAUUUUGAGCCUGACCCCUGACGACGGCGGGUUCCAUUUGCGUUGAGCGCUUGUGUGUGUGUGUGUGUGUGGGGGGGGGGGGGGGGGGGGGGGGGGGUUGUCGUGAUCCCUCAAGUCUGGUAGACCCGGAUUUCAUCGCAUGAGGAUGGAUUUUUCUCUCUUUAAAAAAAGUUUAUUUUUUGUCAAAUUGGGUAUUUGGAUGGUGCUACUACCAACCAUGCAUGUCCAGCGACGCUAACAAAAAGUGGGGGAAAAACACCUGACAUGUUGACGGAUUAUUUGGCCUCGAGUCUGUCCUCCACGUCUCUGCAAAAGCUUGUGUAUGUGCAAAACCCCGUGGUCCGUAGAGAAGUACGCCAGCAUGCAAUUGGCCCUUGAGUGUUGAGUCUCAAACAGAAAGAACAUCGGUCACUCCAGUAAGGCAUGCUAAUGUACAAUGGUGUCGAGAAAUUUUGCAGUAACAAUUCGUAUCUACGAGUAAUUCAGAGGUGAAGGGGACUUCAGAGUUCAGGUAUCCUUUCCUUGUAGAGUUAAGUGGUUUCUGAAUAGACGAUUUAUCUCACUCGCUAGAUAUUGUCUCCAAUUCUUCGUACAAUACUCUCUUUUCAAAAAAAAAUCUUCGUACAAUACUCACCAGGAGCAAAAUCGUGAGCGGCAUCCGUGAUACCUCCGGAUUCGAAUAUCGAAUACUUACAAGUUUACUUGACCCGCUGCGUUGUCUAGGAAAACAAUGAGUAAAUCACAUCCGCAAAAAUACAGUCUGAAAAAUUGAUUUGGAAACGAGAAUCCUGUAGACGCAAACAAUUCCACGAGCCGAGUUUUGUCAGAAUCACAGGCGGACGAGACGUGUAACACGUCAGUGCGUAAAAAUCGUUGUCCUGUUCAGGCUGAAAAGCACACGCAGGAGCAGGAGUAGCAGUAGACCACCGGCGGGAUGUGCUAGCUGCUGCCAGGACAUGCCGGGAUUUGGUAAGAAAUUCCCUAGAGUUUCUUACAAGGAUCUAGCUCAAGCUACAGAAAACUUCUCAGAGUUCAACCUGAUUGGGAGGGGUAGCUAUGGUUCAGUGUACAGAGGAAAGUUAACUCAAGCUAAAAUGCAAGUGGCUAUCUAGGUUCCGCGGGUCACCGGAGCUGCUAGUAGAGCUGUCCACCAACUAUAUUAGGAAUCAUGCCUGUCCCAAUGGCUCGGGUCAAUAUUUGGACAUCUUAUCCAUGUACUCAUCUCGAUCCAGAUUGUUCUUGCAAAGUUGCAGUUGGCGAAAAGAUGAUGCCCAUAUCCUGUCUUGUAUAGCCAGCCAACUAAAGAACUUGCACUUUGGAGGCGUCCAUGCUUUCCAAAUUAGGUUCUCAAAAUUAGUCUCCGUGGACCCUAUGAGUUGUGCUCGAUAGGCCGACUGUGAGUUGUACUUCCCGUCUGCUAUGAGCUUCCAUGCGAUGGUGUCCGGGAGACCCGAUCUUAGCUGCAGUCGGCUGACCUUGAUCCAUAAUCGAUGAUACUCAAUAAAAUGUGCCACGGAGAAACCUCGAUGUAGAAGGUUUAAAUCUCGUAUCCAUGUGUCGCCCGUCAUCGCAUCUAUAACGUCCUGUUCUUUCUUAUGGAGAUGUGAAAUAGGUUCGGCGCCAUGUCCCUGGGCCUUUGUCCAUGUACCCAGCAACUGUCCUAGAAUGAUAUUUUCUUGCCGUCUCCGAUUGUAAUCGUGGUUGCCGCAGCAAAAAGCUUACGGUCAGCUUUGGAGCAGGUAUCUUGCGUCCCUCCCAAGAUGGCCCGUCAUUCAUCCAAUCCUGCCAAAACCAACACAGACGUAAAGCUCUGGAAAACUUUCCGAGGUGCAGUACUCCGAGUCUGCCCCCGUUCCUAGGCAUUGCUGACCACGUCCAAUUCACCUUGCACUUGCCGCCUGUGAUUGGCUUCAUUCUUGCCCAUAGGAAUUGUUUCCGCUUAGCAUUAAUGGUCUUCAUUAUUUCUUUAGGUGCUUUGAGAGCCAUUAGCAGAUAAACCGGUUGUGCGGUUAGGAUGGAUUUAACCAAUGUGAGCCUCCCGGCUGCCGUCAAAUUUCUUCUGCUCCAACUGCUUAGCUUGCCAACUACCUUGUCUGCUAGCGGAAAAUUUCUUCUGCUCCAACUGCUUAGCUUGCCAACUACCUUGUCCGCUAGCGGUUGGAAGUCGACCGCCUUCAGGCGCACUGUGGACAGUGGUAGGCCUAGAUAUUUGAUUGGGAAGGUGCCACACUUUGCCGGUAGACUCUCCGAUACCUCGCUCAAUUGUACGCCUUCACAACAGAUAGGGAUGACUGUUGAUUUACGGAAAUUUGUUUUGAGCCCUGUUACUUCUCCAAACAUUCCCAAAAUGUUGACUAACACAUCUAUUUCCACUUUCCUUGGCGCUAUAAACAUCACCGCAUCGUGAUGUACGGCAUGACGGUACCCUUCCACAUAGUCUGCUAAGGACUCCCAUAUCGGUUGCCAAAUCUAAAAGCCUUUGCAGCGGGUCGAUCGCUAUGACAAAGAGCAGCGGGGACAGUGGAUCGCGUUGCCGUAAGCCUCUACUAUGCUUUAUAGGAGGAUUUCGGACGCCAUUUAGUCGGAUGCGUGCGGAUGAAGUGGACAGUAGCGUGUGGGGAAGCCUAGGUGGCACAGAAGUGAUAAUAGGUAAUCCCAUCGAAUGGAGUCAAAGGCUUUUGCAAUGUCCAAUUUGAGGAAGGUGGCCUGCACUUUGUUUCUAUGAUAUUGUCUAGCCGUGUUUUGCACCGUCAUGAAGUUGUCAUGAAUACUCUGUCUCUUAAUGAAAGCACUCUGACAUUUGUAGAUAAUUGAGUUCAUGUGUGGUUGUAAUCUAAUUGUCAAUGCUUUUGUGAUGAUCUUGAUGAAGGAGUGGAUGAGGCUUAUUGGCCUGAAGUCCUGUAUGGUGUUCGCUCCCUCUUUCUUUGGAAUUAGGAUGAUAUUAGCCGUGUUAAUUAGUUGGAGGUUGUUGCACCGGAGACAGUAGAACACGUUUACCGCUGCCAUUACAUCUUGUUUGAUGAUAUCCCAGUAUGAUUUUAGGAAUAAUCCUGUGAAUCCAUCUGGUCUUGGGGCUCUAUCACUCGGCAUGUUGUGGAUGGCUUGUUUGAUUUCCUCUUCGGAGAACGGUGAGUCUAGUGAGGAUAGAUCAUGCUGGUUGAGGUGAAGAAGGUCCCAAUUGAAGUCCGCACCACGUGGCUGAGGCUGCUACAUGGUUUCUCUAAAAAAGUUCUAGAUCUCAACGGAUUUUUCAUCGUGUGUGCAUGCCCAUCCAUUCUCCUUUUUAAGUUUCUGGAUGUAAUUUUUCCAUCGCCUGGAGUUGAUCCGCCGAUGAAAGAAACGCGUAUUGGCAUCUUCUAGUUAAGGUUCGUUAUUCUGCUUUCUUGAUUCUUACGUGCGCGUUCAAUGACAGCUAGUCCCAUGGCUCUUAAUUUGAGUCAGCUACGUAGGAGCUGCUUGGGCUCCGUAAGCGGUCAGUGUUCUUGUGCUAUGUCCAACCUCAGUAUCACUUCUAGGGUCAUAUGCAUCUACAUUUUCACAUUUGGUAUGAGGUGGCUGCUCCACUCCUUCAGUGCAACGGCUGUGGCAUGUAGCUUGUGAUAGAGUCUAUGGAAAGGCUCGACGUGUGGUGACUGCAUGUUCCACGCUCGGGUUACUGUUUCCUUGAAUCCUAGAAGCAUGUCUAGAAAUUCUCAAAUUUGAAGGAUUUGGGGCAUCUUGGCCCACUCUGGUUGGAAAGCAAGAUAGGACAGUGGUUAGAUAAGGAAGUUGAUAGGGCGUGUAGGACAUGAGGACUGAAGGCAUCUUCCCAUUCCGCAUUUGCAAAAACUCUGUCAAGCCUAACAGGGGUCAGAUUACGUCUUUCAUUGCUCCAAGUAAAUCUUCUAUUUUGCAGAUGAAUCUCACGUAAAUCACUAUCAUCAAGUGCCUGUUUGAACAAGUUCAUAAGCCUCAAGUUCAAUUUGUUGUUAUUUUUGUCGCUCACUUUGUAUAUGAGGUUGAAGUCACCUAGGACUAGCUAUUGAGAGCCAUGAGGAGGCUUUUGCGCUUGUAGUUCUGCUAGAAAUUGCGGUUUGUCGUUGGAUCCGGUUGGGCCGUAAACCACUGAGAGUGUGAAGAAGUUUGCCGUUUCAUGCAUUGUUACCCUUGCUGUUAUAUGAUAUUCUCCUACGAUCAUGUCAGUGAGCGCGACGUGAGUGCUAUUCCACAACAAUAGGAUACCGCAGCUGGUGCUAGAGAGGCCCCAGCUGGUUUGUAGGAGUAGCUGUCAAGCCUGUAACCCCCUAUAUAUGCGGCUGUAAAUUUGUCAAUGAUGCUUAGCUUUGUUUCUUGUAGGCACGCAAUGUGGCAUAGCGUGUUAGAGAUCGUCUCCCAUACCGUGUCCCUCCUCGCUCUCUGAUUUAAGCCUCUCACCUCCUCGCUCUCUGAUUUAAGCCUCCCACGUUCCAGCAUAGCACUUCAAGAUUCAUGCAUGAUUUGAUAGACUCUAGCCGUAGGAAGACAGGCAAAGCAGGUGAAGCAGGCAAAACAUGGGCGAUUCAUCACCAGCAGGUUGAGCAGCAGACAUACAGGGAAUCUGAUCUUAGACAUGAAGUGGCGAUGCAUAGUUGCAAGCAUGAUUGAACGACCAUUGCAGUGUGCUGGUUUUAAAGUUACAGACUCAAAGACAGGCAAGUCACAGGAGAACUGUAACGUGCAGCAAGUUCUUGCAGAGGUAACAACUUGGAACAUUGCAGAUAACAUGAUAAUUGGAGGACACUGGAAGGAUUGCUGCGCCUGGGUCAGUUCGCCGCCUGAAGAGGCAGCUGGGCAGCUGCUGCUUGGACGGCUUCCUCCUGGGAGUUGUUGUCGGCGUCACCUGCCCCUGGGUGGACAGCAGCUUCUCCCUGGAUGUCUUCGAUUGCAUCGCCUGCCACCCUUGCCAUUGCUUUGUCGAGCUCCUCAGCAACAGGGUCAUCGAGGUUGAAAGCCGCCGUCAGCGCCGCAAUCACGUCUUGCGGCAACGGUCCCUAGAACAUGGCUAAGAAUUCCUGCAGAGCAGCCUCGAUAGGCUGAAGUUCGUCAGUUAGAAGACCCAGUUUUCGAUAGAGAUUCUGUUGUGCCUGUCGGACCGCCGGCAUAGGCCUACGGUUGGACAAUCUUGCGCUACGUCGUACCGUCGACAUGUCGAAGACGCGUCAUGGAUGGCAGAUUUUGGUCACCUUCUGCUGUUGCUGCUGGUUCUGGUCCUCGUCGUGUACCUCCGUUGGUGAAACCUGGAGCACUUGCUCCGGCCUGGUGAAGAGCGCGCUGACGACGGUGUUGUCCUGUCCUCGUGUUGUCGCGGCCCUGCUGUUGAUGUCAGUAGCCCCUCCUUCAGCGCCACCGUGUGGCCCAGCCGUGCCGUAUGUGCUGUCGGUGGGAGCGGGCGCCAUCUGUUCAUCAUGAAGAGGGUCAGAGCGGAGGAGUGGUGAGCAAUGGGCGCUGUCCAGAAUUGGCGAUGUUGGUGAGAACUCCUGGUCCAGGCCGUGCAGUGCAGAUGCACCUGGAGGUCUUGUAACGCAGCAUCAACCUCCUGAAUGGAGACGGGAGCAGCAGAGACACCGUGAAGCCCCGCCGUGUCGUCUGUGCCGUCAGUGGGAGUAGACGCCAUCUGUUCAUCAUGAAGACGGUCAGAGGAGGUAUGGUGGAGUGGCGAGCACAAGGCACUGUCCAGAAGCGGCGAUGGUGGCGAGAGCUCCUGGUCCAGGCCGUGCAGAUGCACCUGGAAGUUCUGUAACGCAGCUUCGACCUCCUGAACAGAGACAGGAGCAGCGGCCGUGCUUGUGGUUGUGGCCUGGUGCUGCCAAGUCCUCCAGUAUGCGUUUGUACACAUGGGACACCUUGAUCAUCGGCGGAUUGAUUUUGUCCUUGCACCCACGCUCCUUGGACCAGACUUCAUCCCCUUCAUGUGGCAGACGGAGUGCGUCUGCCAAGCUAGCUGCUUUGUUGAUCUAGUCGUAGGAGGUGUACAGCUUAGGUGCUAUGUCAUCAUCUUCCCUUCCUUCCUGCACAGAAAAUUCCUGGCAGCCUCCUUCAACGUGGAGGCAUGGUUAGUGAACAGAAUUCUGGAGCUUCAUGGCUCUCUUGUCGCGCAGAGGACCAAACAACGAGAGCUGCUGAGGCCUGCUAGUGUCGGUGAUGGCGUGUUGGUGCUGGCGUCCCCUGUGCCUGCUUCCACCACCCCAAGUCCAGCACCUGGGCGAACGCUCCCACUCGCGGCCAGCCUCUCCGCCCGUGACCUUGUGUGCAUUGUGGGUGCGGCGAGCGCGGUCACCGUGCCCGUGGUGAUCAUGGUCGUCGUCGUCAUUGUUCCUCCGGUGCCAGACAUUCCACUUGCUGGUGUGGUAGUCGUUGUUGUAGCCUCUUCGCUGGCGGUUUUCUCUGUCAUCUCACCACUCGCCCUUCCCCGCCGCACUGCUCUGACCAAGGCGAGUUUGGUCCAAGCGUGGGGGUGAGCACGGCCGUGCUUCACGUUCCAUCGCCCUGCGUGGCUUCGUCUCCCCGUCGAUGUAGCCAAGAUGCUAAGGAGGAAGCCGGCAGAUCGCAAGCGUGCACACGACAUCCUGUCGUCGAGAAUGACGGACGCGAGCGUGUAGUCCUGGACCUCCUCGAGGUGGAUGAUGAUGCAGUGCUUGACACCGCGUUGCCACUGCCCGAGCGGUGCCUUGGACACUAACACAGACUUCAGCCUGGCAUCGCGCGCUCGACCGGUGAACAUGAGCCAGGCGUACUUGGGGAUGGAGCUUGGGUUCGCCGUCAAGCCCACAGGUUGAUGGUCUUCGUUUCUUCCGGCUGGUCAAGGUUGGUGUCGAUGGCUUCGAGGGUGCAAUUGCUGCUGAUGAGGCAUUCCGCGAUGUCAGCUUGCCAGGCAUGCAUUGGCACCCCGUUGAGGCAGAGUCUGACCUGGAAGAGGAGGACGGCGCCCUCAGCAUUGCAGAGACUCCUCCGUUUGGUGAAGAAGACUUCCACAAAGGACACUUUGGCCUUGCCCUUCUGGAGAGCUUCUGUGCAAUGAUGACUGUGCUUGAACUUGAUUAGAAAAGCCUCAGGAAAAUGGCGCGAGACUGUCACCUCUUCGUGGCGCAGCUUGAAGUCCUCCCUGAUGGCUCUCUUGACGUCGCGUGGGUCGAUUGGUUCCUGGCCGUGCACUACCCAGGUGAUCGCCACCGCUGUUUCCCACUCCCGCAGGUCGGCGUCGAUGUCCCGGUUGCUUGGACGAGGCAGUCCACCUGCUCCGGCCUUGUCGCGGGAUCACCGAGUCUUGACAUGGCCAUCGAGGGUGCGGGCUUUGGCGGUGGAGGUAGUUGUUUACGAGGUGGGGCAGAGUUUGGCGAGGUGGAGGCAGAGCUUGGCGGGGUUCCUGCUCCCGGUUGUCAAUGCACUUUGCAUGAUGGUGUGGGUGCUGAACCGGUGAGCUCCUCCUGUUGUGGUGCUUGGUAGUGCAGGACUUGGCGCGGUGGUCUGAAGCCAAGCAGAUGAAGCAGCUUCAGUUGGUUCUGGCACGGAACGCUCGCAAGCUUGGGGAAGACUGAGGUUAGGGGUGGUCGCAGGUGGAGCGUCGUGGAGGGAGGCCGUGAUGUUGUAGAGGUGGCCGGCGGGGUGGACUUGAAUGGUGCACUUUCCUCCACCAGUACGGCUGCCUAACGGGCACCCAGCCAUCCUGAGGAGUGAAUGAGCCAUUCUUGCGCCGCGCACCGGUCACCUCGGGCGCGUCUUCAUAGGCGGCGGGGUGGCAGGUGGGUGGAGGAGGCGUGUGGCAACGGGUGGAGUUACUGCUCCGAACAAACACAGUAAAGGCGGGCUGCAGAUUUUGAAAUCGCCAUGUCGAAGCUGGAUCCGCCAUAGUGAAGCCCUUGACGACCUGGGCGUAGGUACCACGGAGCUGGGAGCGUGGUCCUACUGCAAAUCCGACAAGACCUGCGCAACGGAUCUUACUUGGGAUGCUUCACUAGCCUUGGAUUUGCAGGGAACGGCUCCGGCGGAAGGGGAUCGGGGGGUGCGAACGCUGUCUAGAUCUUCAGGGGUCCCUCCCGAUCUGCCCGGGACCUGGGUGCUGGGUGAAAGGCCGGCGGUGGAGAUGGCCAGGAGGCUGCGGAGGCUCUGGGUGUGGCGUGGAUGCGGCGGAGGAGUGUGGCUGGUGGCGGGGCUGGGGUCGCCGCCGACGAGGGCGGAGUGCGCUGGGUGGGCAUCUUCUUUCUUUGUGUCUGUUAUUCGUGUCAGUAGUAUACAAUUAAUCUUGACCGUUGGAUAUUUGUAUACUCCUUUUUGAACACUAGCAUAACCUAGUAUUGUGUACCGUAAAAGAGCUCUACUUGGGAGACUUCGGAAUCGCAAGCCUAGUUCUUGAUUCAAAGUCAGAAACAGUUGGGCGAUUUGGUUAUAAUAGUUCAGUUGCUGUGUCAGGAACUAUAGGAUAUAUAGCUCCAGGUACAAAUCAAGAAUAUUGUCAUCUCCAGUUGCACAUGAAUAUUUUAACUUUAGAUUAACCUAACCAGUGGAUCUUAUAUGCGUUCUCUAGAGUAUGGUCAAAGUGUUCAUGCAUCGACCCCUGGGGAUGUUUACAGCUUUGGAAUAGUUCUUCUGGAGAUGCUAAUAGGCAAAAGACCAACCGACUUUAUGUUUGAGGGUGAACUCAGCAUUGUUAACUUUAUGGAGAGGAACUUUUCAGAUCAGAUCUUAAGUAUCAUUGAUUCUCAUCUCCAAGAAGAAUGCAAGUGCUUCAUUCAACCAUUGGCGGAAGCAGAAAAUGAGGUCCAUCGAUGCUUGCUGUCCCUGGUGCAAGUUGCUCUUUCUUGCACCCGUUGAUUACCGAGGGAACGAAUGAACAUGAGAGAAGUAGCUGUUAACUUGCACGCAAUCAGAAGGUCAUAUGUUGGAGCAAUUAAGCGCAAGUAAGCUAUGCAUCGCUCGAUCUAGGAUGGUUACCUCAGUUUCAUUUUUUAAUACAAUAGGCAUAAAGAAGCUGGAUCAGCAUGCUGAAAUUGACGAAUUAUCAUGCUAGGGAAACUGUAUGCACGCAGUGGGCGGUGAGUUUUCUUCUAGUACUAGUCAUACUAAGGUUUAGGGGUGUAAACCGAUCGAAUGGAUACCUCCGGAUACGAAUUUAUACGGACAGUGUCAGUUGUGUCGGAUAAGAUAUAUACGGUAUCGACAUCCUAUAUAUCUGACUUUGGAUGACUUUGGAUGCUGAAUAUACGGAUUCGGACAUGGAUGCCCCUCCAAAUGGCUUCAAAUUCGAAUACGGACAGACAAUAUCCGUAAUAUUUCGAACAUCAGGCGAUUGGGAGUUUGUAGGCAUGAAAAGAUUUUGGACACCGCUAACGAACGUCCGAUCCGGGCGCUAGGAAUCGGACGAUAGACCUACAGUAAUUACCGUCACUUAGAAACAAAUAAAACCCACCUACCCGACCCGCGUGCGCCCUCGUGUCACGACACACUUCACUUUCUGGAUCUCCAGGACAUGUAACCCUUCCCUGCUUUGUGGCUCUUGAGCGAGCUUUCCCCUCGCAUGAAGUUGACUACACAAGAGACGAAGAGGGAGAGAUUAGCGCUGGGAUGAGUAAGAGUAACGUGAAGAAAGUAGCAUAUACAAUACAACAUUGAGAAUCAAUAUAUGCAACAACUGAAAAUCACUUUUGCAACAUCAAGAACAUGAAUCCAACUACGUCCUCCUUGCAUGCAUCUAAUGAAACAUUUAGAAUUACCUCGUGCAACAUCCCAAAACACAAACUGAAAAAUCUGAUAAAAACAGUCUCGGCUAGUUGCAACAACCAAAACCACACAUCUCAUAAAAACAAUCUCGACCAAAUCAACUGUUGUAACAACACAAAUCAUCUCUUGCAACAUCCCAAAUAAUUUUUUGCAACAUGCCAACAUCCCAAUCCACAUGUGCGCAUACCAUGCCGGCUCAAACCAUUGCCCCCAAAUCCAUCAUGCAACAUAAAAAAAUAUGUCUUGCAACAUCAGAAAUUACCCGCCGCAACAUCAUUCAUGCAUACCCAACACUCCAAAAAUGUAGCGGCAUGAAGAGAUUCUCGUUGUGGUUGAGGAUGAGCACGGCGACACAGAUGAGGAUGAAAGUGAGGUCCCAUAGAAAUCGAGCAUCAUCACAAGGCGGGAAUAGGCCAAUCGGUGUGUUGCUCCUCCACCAUAUUCCGCCAUGGCCUACUGCAUCCACAUCGCCGAGCGCCCUUGCAACAGCCCCUGUGUGCAGCACGCUCGGUGGCACAACCCGCUGGCCACUGUCGUCGAGGAGCAGUGCCGAGUCCAGAACGUCUCACAACAGGAUCUCAAGGGACAUGGUGUUCUUCUCUACGGAAACGGAUAAGAGCAGAAGAAGAAAGGAAGGUAGAAUGAGUGGUCGAGAGUUACCUGCGUACUUCAUGGCGUUUUUAGUAAAAGUUCAUGUGGGCAGAGAUGAGACACAUAUUCACGGUGGAAAGUUGGCCAGCAAAAUUUGUAAUUAAGCAAGCACUAUGAGCUGUGAGCGAGCGUGUUAGGUUGGAUGAUCGGGUAGUAGCAUUAUCGAAAGAUUUUUAUAGUAUGUCAGUUUGCUUUGAUGGUGAUGUGAUCUUUUUUUUGACAAUUUUCCAUCGUAAUUAAGACACGUAGAGAAAAUUACAUCGGGCGGCAGUGCUAAUCAAUCUGGAAGUCCACGAUCUAGCUAAAAGUCAGAUUUGGAUCCCAAAUCCAAAUCCCAAACUGCAACUACCACCAAUCGAUUAGUUCAAAGAGCAAGGAUUAACGGGAUCGUUCGUAUACCGUUUAUGCGGGCGCCGGCCGGACAAUUGAUAGCCCUGUCAAGCUCGUCCGCAGAUGACGCGCGCGUCGCCUGUAUGCGCGGCGGUGGAGUCUAUCCGCAACGAUGAGGUGAAAAGCGAUUUCUCCAAGGUAAUCUAUGCGCCUGGGCCUUGGGUGCGCCAAAUACUCCGUCCGGCCACCUCUUCAGGUUUGGAGAGUCAUCAAAUUCAGAAGGCAAGGUUUGGAGAAUCUUCAGGUUUGAAUAUUGAAAUGAAACUGAAGACUGCAUCCUGGGAUGAUUUAGACUUCCCGAAGACAGUUUGUAAUCAGAGAAUGCAUUAUGCAUUCAAGUGACAGCUCUUAAAAGACUAGUAGUAGAAUUCUAACAUGUCCUCAUAUUUCCUUGGAGAUAUCAAUGAGCAUGAUCUGAUACCUACAUCUAGAAAUUACAAUUCUCACUUGGACUUUUAUAAAGCACCCGGCACUUAUGUCCAGGAAUUCGCAAUCGAUCGCAGAACAAAGCCUGCACAAUCAUUCAGUGAGCACCACAAACGUACCAUAGCUGAUUUGGAAACGAUAAGUUUCACAAGUAAACCAUUAGCCCAUUACACGUGCUGAGUUUUAGGCUCCCUUUGGCACGGCUCAUCCCAAAACGGCUUCACCGGUGAAGCCAAAGCCGGUGAAGCUAAAAAAACUGGUUUCACCCGGCUUCUAGUUCAUUUUAGUCCCGGCUUACAAAACAGCUUCACGCUACAGUGUCUCGAUUUGCGUGAAAUAGAUGAAGCUAAAGUCGAAAUAAGCCGUGCCAAAGAGGGCCUUAUCAGCAUCCGUAGGCGGACGAGAAAAGUCAGACGAAGUGUCCCAGUACGGCUACAAAGCAAAGAGCUGGACUAGCAGUAGAGCUGCGGGAUUCGAGGCUGGACAUGCCGCAACAACCUUGUCCAGCUCAAAUAGCGACAGCACCCGUGGGUGAGUGAGAUGGACGUUGAAAAAUCUGCAGUAACCGGCGAGUUUCGCAGACCCGCCAGGGUCUUCGUUGCCUCAAGUUGGGCCGUGUUUAGUUGGGGAAUUUGGGAGGUGCCAAAUUACUGUUACAGCACUGUAGCACACUGUAGCGUUUCGUUUGUAUUUGUGAAUUAUUGUCCAAAUAUUGACUAAUUAGGCUCAAAAGAUUCGUCUCGCAAAGUACAACAAAACUGUGCAAUUAGUUUUUAAUUUCAUCUACAUUUAGUACUCCAUGCAUGUACCGCAAGUUUGAUGUGAUGGGGAAUCUUCUUUUUGCAUAGUGUCAAAGUUGGGAGUUGGGAGUAACUAAACAUGGCCUUGGGUUCGAUGUCAGGUGGAGGCUGAAAAGCGGCUGACCGGCGAGUUCGAUGGCCUCGAGAAUCUCCUCUGCAACACCGGUCAAGCUAAAAUAAAGCGUUCAGUUGGGUUCGAUGGUUUUGUGCGGCGUUCUUGCGGUGCGGCAUCGGCAAUGGGGCCAUGGGGGCAAACCGAACAUGCUGUUUUGUGGUUGUACCGGCCUUGUACAAACUGCCAUCUGAUGCUGUCCAUCGUCAAUGAUCAGUUUGCAGGAAUGUUAAAAAGAUGGGUUAACGCUAAACGCAAUGACAAGUAGUACAAAGGGAUCAGCCCGAAAUAUCUCUGUUCGUUUCCUGCUGAAAAGUAAAAUAACUGGACAAACAGUAGAAAGCUGGGAUUAGAGGUGCGCAUGCCGUAACAAUCUUGUCGAGCUCAAAUAGCGAUGCGGCGCAUGGAUGGAGACACGGAGGCUGAAAAUAGGGCAACUCUGGUUGGUUUGACUGACUUAGGGUCUUCGCUGUAACGGUGGUCAAGAAUCAAGAUAAGGUAAGAUGUCACAUUGCCUCAAGCAACGAAAGUGUGUGGAUGUGAGAUGUGCUGUUAAACUGUCUUGGACCCAUGGGUACCCCCAAGCAAAGUUCAUGGCUCAUUUUCUCAAUGAAGGAAACUUUAUUGAUCUUAACCAAUUACCUUGAUGGUACAAUCAUAUUAAGAUAACUACUGGCGACUUGGCCUCUGUACAGUUAGGAUACACAUAUAACAUAGCCUAAGUACAAGGUUCAUGCAUCACCAAAAACGACCCGGCAAAGGCAAGAAGAAAAGGCUGUCAUGUUGCGCCCUCUCGAUCCGAUCAGAGGUUGUUGUUCUCUCCUGAUUACCAAUACAUGCAUUUUUGAAUUAUCUCUUGCCGUUAGGCCUGCCAUGUUGUUCCUGACUGAAAAUUUAAAUUAGUAGCGGUUGCCACACUUGAUUUAGAUAAUCUUUUUUCUAUUGUCUACCAACUAGGCAACUAGUAAAACUCACCAUGCUUAUGAUAUUAGCUUUGUUGCUUCUGUCUUACGGAGUUGGCGGCAUCCGUUGCUUAACGAUAUCGAACACCACAGACAUGCUAUUGUUAUCUGUUUUCAGGGGGGACGUCACCAGUGAUCCAAAAGAAGCAUUGAGCUCCUGGAACACCACCACCCCCUGUUGUCAAUGGAAGGGCGUCACAUGCAGCCUCAGGCACCCAGGGCGAGUCACGACGUUGGAACUGAGCGACCAAGACUUGUCCGGCCCAAUUUCACCCUCACUUUUUUUUGCGAAAUUUUUCACCGUCACUUGGGAACUUAACUUUCCUUAAAGGUACUCAAUCUGUCCCAAAACAGCUUCUCGGGGGAGUUACCUCACCUCAAUCGCCUCCAGAAACUUCAAAUCCUUGAUCUGGGCACAAACUCACUGCAGGGCAGUAUUCCAGAUACACUCACAAAUUGUUCAAACUUGAAGCAUUUAGACCUCUCUGGCAACAAGUUAACGGGCAAAAUUCCUCCAAAAAUAGGGUUCCUUCCUAAUUUAGUUAACCUUCUCCUUUAUCAAAACAAGCUUAAUGGGACCAUCCCACCAACCCUCAUCAACGCCACCCAGCUAUGGAGGAUUUACCUUGGAGCAAAUCAACUGGAAGGGAGCAUUCCCGACCAGCUUUUGGCAAUGGCCCAAUAUAAUCUCGUUGUUACUUGGUGAAAAUAUCCUUUCAGGUUCCAUCUCUCCAGCCCUUUCCAAUCGGUCUUCUCUUCGUGCUCUAGACUUGAAUUCAAACAUCCUGGGUAAUGCAUUGCCAGCAAACAUAGGUAACAUCUUCCCUGAUCUUAUACUACUAGACCUGUAUAAUAACAGGUUAGAGGGUCAAGUCCCAGUUUCAUUAGGCAAUGCUUCAGGGCUGCAACUGGUAGAUCUAUCAUUUAACAGUUUCGCUAGUCAAGUUCCUAGAAUUUUUGGUAAAACUUCCGGGACUAAAUUUUCUAAACUUUCAUAAGAACAAACUCGAAGCAAAAGAUAUCCAAGGCGGGGAAUUCUUGGAGACGCUGAGCAAUUGUAAACUACUGCAAACACUUAUACUAAGUCAAAAUCAGUUGCAAGGAUCUUUACCAAAUUAUAUAGGUAAUUUGUCCACCAGCCUUCAAUGGCUCGCGUUAGGUAUAAACAACUUAUCAGGGUCUGUUCCUAUGAGCAUAUCGAACCUAUCUGGUCUAACAUUGCUUCAACUAAAUACAACAGCCUCAGCGGUCCAAUUGGAGAGUGGAUUGGAAAGAUGAAAAACUUACAGGGUUUAAUUCUCCAGGUGAACAAUUUGAUUGGACCAAUCCCGUUCUCCAUUGGUGACCUUACUCAUUUGGAAUUUCUCUUUCUCGCACAAAACAAUUUCACUGGUACCAUACCUACCAGUUUGGGAUACCUUCAACAACUCUCAAAUUUGGACCUUUCCAACAACAAUUUACAUGGUAACCUACCUGCAGAGGUUUUUAGUUUCCAAACAUUGACUACAUGUGUUGAAGGACCGAAGGGGCGACCAGAGGGGGGUGAAUGGGAGCCUAUAAAAAUUCUCAACGAAAACAAGGCCUAUGUCCCAAACGCAACCCCAAAGCACACUGCGCGUCGUAUCGUCAAGAUGACACAAGUCAACUCGUGACAAGCUCACCCUAGGAACGAUUUGACACGCUCAAGAUAUAACGGAAGCAAGACAUAAAAUGACUCUAACAAGUUUGCUCAAAAAUAUGAUUAACCAACAUCACUACUAGCUAAUCACUCAACUAAGCAUAAAAAAAAAUAAUAAUAAUCCAAAAUGCUAUGCGUGAUUAGCUAAUGAGAGAACAAAAUAAUUAACAGCUAGCCUUGAUUAGCAAAAGAUAUAUCAUGGACAAUAGCUAAACAAGAUGUCACAGAUAGAUUAAUUAGCUAAGUAAAGGAAAUAACGUAGAACUAAUUAUUGCAUGGAAUUAACAAAAGAUAAAAGAAUUGGCUCACUGGUCUCGUGUAGAUGAAAUGCUCCUGGUGACCUGCUUGUUAGGAUAAGCUGGGCUUGACUUGCUUUGCGUAAAGAAGCUCCCUGGCUACGAGCUGGGCCUGCAAGUCACGAGAUGGACCACCAGGUGCUGGCCUGCGUAGCGCACGCGGCCUGGUGCUGACCUGCCUGGGCCUGUGUCGCUGCUGGGCUGUGGCUGGUGGGCCGCCUAGCGAUGGGCCACGAGCUGCAGCUUUGCAGCACCACCGUUGGACUGCUGGCCUGCUGCUGCUCCACCUGGUUGCCUGCGCGCACGAACAGAAGCACGAACGCAAGAACAGAAAGAACAGACCAGAUAAACGCAAGAACACCCGAAACUUCGAACGAGAAAUCCUCCUUCAAAUCUCCAUGAAUCGAGACAAAACUUGAGCCACAGAUGCGCAACCCUAAAGGCUAAUAGAUCCAUGGAAAAGAUCACAAAAAGCUCAAGUAUCCAUCACGGAUUUUGGAGAAAACCGAAACCCUAACUCAAGAACGCGAUUUGGGAAAAACUCAAAAUCAAGCCGGAUUCGUGAGGGAUUUGAAAGGGGAUCAUAUCACGAAUGCUCUCCAAGGUCCUAGCAACAUUUCCCUUCAACCAAUCUCACGAGAUUCGGGCUCAACCAUGAUGAACGAAAAUUCCCCAAAAAUAGUUCCGAAAAUAGGGAAAAAGAAAAACGCUCGGGAAUCAAAGAUUUAGCACGAUUUGAGACAACAAAUAAAGCUAAAUCACGAGAACAUCUUCUAUACAAGAUGAGGACUAGCCUCCUCCCUUCAUCCACCCACUAAAGAUGAAGAAAUCAAGAGAAAAGAGUAAUCACUCCCUAAUCCCCCUCUCUCCUCUCACUUUAAGCACAUGACUAGCCUCUAAGCAAAUAGAUAAUAAGUUGCUAAGCAAAGAGGUGCUGAAAUAACCAGCCCCCCAUCCCUAUUUAUAGUCCAGGACGAAAGACUAUACUACCCCUACAGCUACAACUAAGAUAACUACCCACGCAGGGGCAUUUUGGUCCAAGUUUUUAUCCGUGCAUCGGACGGACACGCCGCCUUCACGACUUUGCUUCGCCUCGAUGCAAGCUUCGCGAUGACACCACGUGCCCUCCUUCUCGAAGCUCCGACCACACCGGGCUCGCCCCCGGUUUUGAGGCCCAAACCGGGAAACCUGCCUGCGUAGUGGUUUUGAGGCCCAAACCACCCAAACCGUCCAUUGACGCGUGUCCGGCCUCCGCCAAGCCUCCCGCUUGACUCGACCGACGCCGUCUCCAUCGUAUCAUGCCCUCUCGCCAUUCCGUGCACCAUGUGGACCGCCCGUGACUUCGCCCGGACUCCUCGGGUCCAUCGGUCCAAGCCUACUCGCGUUCAUCCUUCACCGCCCUUGGUCCAUCGGCAUGAACCUUUCGCUUGACCUUCACCGCACGCCGUCGACCGCCACGUCGCAUCCUACACCUGCACAUCACAAGCCAAGAGAAACAUCAAACCAACACAACGUUGUCAAUCACUCAUCAUCCAAGGGUGACCACCAUUGGUCCUCAAUCUCCCCCUUGAUGAGUGCAUUGACAACACCCCACAAAUUCAUAGUAUUGAAACAGAAAAACAAGAAACUCAAAAUAGAAAAAUCUCAGUCCCCUAAGAUAAGGGCAACGGCUCUACACAACUGAGACAAAAUCAUGUGAUCCCUCAAGAAGAGGCAGAAAACGGGCUCAACACCAAUCACAUGAAAAUCCAAACUCAAAACAAAAAACCGGCUCCUCAAGAAGAGGUAAAUAGCUCAACGCGACCGGUACAAGGGCAUAAGAGCAUAACAAGAGUAUAACAACUCAUAAAUACUCCCCCUGAACAUAUGCACUCCCCCUGAAAUCAUGCAUACAUGCAAAGUCUCCCCCUUGAUAGAUGAAAAAGUUUGUGUAGAUUUCUCUCCCCCUUGUUGACAAUGCAAUCAUCAAGAAAAGCAUGAAAGCACAAAGUGCAUGCAGAACCUAACAAGCUUCUCAAAUAUAUCACAAUGCACUCUCAAAGGCUACUAGGGAGAUAAAGCUUGAUAGAUCAUAAGAAACAAUAGCAUCGCCAACAAGAUGAUAUCAAGUUACAACAGUGGAGGUGAAGCAACUAUCAAGUUUUAGCAAUGUAUAAAAAGAUCACCGCAUGAGCAUUCACCUAGUUAAGAAUCACCCAAGCAAGAAUAGACUAGUCCAUCAAGAGCUCAUACUAGGAAAAUCCAUUCUCAACAAGAGAUCAUUGCAAACACCCACAUAUGCAUCCCAAGUCAUGUUUAAAGCUUGUUGAAAACAAGUGUCUACUUCUUUUGGUAGACAUCUUGUGACAACUAAGCAAGCAAUAAUAUCAUAUUAAGCACAAAAACUCGGUGAAUUUAUGAAGUUUUCAGCAUAUUUCUUUUCAGUAUUCACACAAAGCAAAAUACAUGAAGUGCCUUUGCGGCACAAAGAAGCCAUGCUUCCCCAAGGGGUGCAGCAUGGGCUAAACAUUUGCAAUGAUACCUAGAUCUUUGACCCAAUUGAAAAGAACAUGAAUUCCAAACAUAAGCUAGAUAUGGAACCAGUAUUCAACCAAGGGCAAACCAUAACCAAGCAUCUACUCAUGGGUGAUAAGCAAGUUAAUAGAGUAGAAUUUAGCAUUGAAUUUCAAAAAACAGUUAUCUCAACAAGUAUACAAUAUCAUCAAGAGCAUAACUGCACAUUGCAUCCAAAUCACCAAUCACAGCACUACCUCACAAAUAGCAUAAGGGAGUACACAAGAUAUAUAGGAGAAGCUCAUCUAGUGCAACAUGAUACAAAAUGCAAUAUGAUACAAAAUGCAUGGAAACUAAGCUAAAAUGAUACAGAUGAACAACAUGCCAUACCCAAAUGUGAACUAAGGUAAAGCAUGACAUGAUGUUCAUAUGUAUCAUCCACCACAAUAUAUCACAAAAAUAGCAUGAUAAGAUAUACAUGAAGAACUCAAAGCUAUCAUGAAAAAGUGACUAUCCUACCAUGUUUUAUACAAAAAUGAUACAAGUAUAAUACAAGAGAAGCUCCAAAAACCCAACUCAGAAUGGAAAGCAAACACCCAACUCCCCCCGCAAACAAGCAAAAGUGGCUUGAUCCAGGGGUUUGGUGAAAAUGUCCGCGAGUUGGUUUUGGGUAGCAACAUAGCCAAGGUCAAUAUCCCCUUUCUCAACAUGAUCUCUCAGAAAAUGAUAUCUCACAUCAAUGUGUUUAGUUUUUGAGUGGAGAACGGGGUUCUUGGCUACACUAAUGGCACUCGUGCUGUCACAAAGAAGAGGUACACGAGUAAAAUCCAAACCAAAGUCUCUCAAAGUGGAAAUCAUCCAAAGCAGCUGAGAACAACAGCUAGCAGCAGCAACAUACUCAGCUUCGGUGGUAGACUGAGCAACACUAGAUUGUUUGCGAGAAGACCAAGAGACCAAAGACGAACCGAGAAACUGGCAAGUACCCGAGGUAGACUUGCGAUCCAAGCGACACCCAGCAAAGUCCGCAUCGGAGUAUCCCCGGAGCGUGAGUGUCGAGGAGGCAGAAUACCACAAACCGAACUCAGGGGUAAAGCGGAGAUACCUCAUGAUCCUCUUCACUGCUUGACGGUGAGAUGUCCUUGGUGAAGCCUGAAAACGAGCGCACAGACACACGACGAAGUGUAUGUCCGGCCUCGUCGCCGUCAGGUACAAGAGGGAGCCGAUCAUGCUUCUGUACUCCUUCUGGUCCACCGGUUCGCCAUCUUCAUCCGCAUCUAGUGCCGUCGUCGUACCCAUGGGUGUGGAGAGUGGCUUAGCAUCAGCCAUGUCAAACUUCCUCAACACGUCCUUCGUGUACUUCCCUUGGUGCACAAGUGCACGAAGGUUCCUUCCUUGCUUUGCUUAAUUUGUAGUCCGAGGAAGAAGGUCAACUCACCCAUCAUCGACAUCUCGAACUCCCUGCUCAUGUCAUCUGCAAACUUGGCAACCAAAGCAUGAGAAGAACCACCAAAGAUAAUAUCAUCCACGUAUAUCUGAAUAAUCAAUAAGUCAUUGCCUUGCCUGAGGAGAAAGAGUGUUUUAUCAACUGAUCCCAUUUCAAACCCAUUCCCAAGCAAAAAGGAUUUCAAUCUAGCAUACCACGCUCGGGGUGCUUGUUUUAGGCCAUAGAGAGCUUUCUGGAGUUUGAAAACACGAUCAGGAUAUUUAGGACUCUCAAAACCAGGGGGUUGUUUCACAUACACUUCCUCCUCUAUGAAACCAUUUAGAAAGGCACUUUUCACAUCCAUUUGGAAGAGCUUAAAACCUUUAGCCACAGAGAAGGCUAGAAGGAUUCUAAUUGCUUCCAAACGGGCAACAGGGGCAAAGGUUUCCUCAUAAUCUAUCCCCUCUUUUUGGCUAAAACCUUGGGCAACCAACCUCGCUUUGUUUCUCACAAUCAACCCAUCCUCACCUUGUUUGUUUUUGAAAACCCAUUUUGUUCCUAUAGGAUGGCAAUUUGGAGGUGGUUCAACUAAAACCCAAACCCUAUUUCGCUCAAAGUUCUCCAACUCCUCAUGCAUGGCAUUAACCCAAUUUGAAUCAGAUAAAGCAUGUCCAAUAUCUCGGGGUUCGAAAGAGGCAACAAAUGCAGAAUGUGCAAAGUGUGAAAUAUGCCUAGAGCUGUGCCUAGUGGUGCGUUCAUGUAAGUUACCGAUCAUCUGUUGUGGAGGAUGACGACGCUGAAUGUGCCGUGGAGCCUCUCGCUCUGAAGUCGCCUCCCCCUCAACAGCAGCUGAAUCACUCUGAUCUUCUUCUUCUUCAUCCUGUAGUGGUACUGGUUGAUGGCUUGAAGUAGUGGAAGUAGAGGUAGGGCCAUCAACUCUCGUAGUCGAAGUAGAAGAUACAGGUGCAACAGCUGGAGCUCGGUCAAUCUCAUCAUCCUCUUCCUCACCACCAUCUACACGCUCUUCCUCUUCCUCAAAUAUGCUUUGCCCCAUUUCAUGUUCACCUGCAACUUCAAAGACAGGAGUUGUGCAAGGCAUAGUUUUAUCGAAUGUAAUCUCACAAGUUUCCACGAUCCGGUUAGUUUCAAGGUUAAGCACACGAUAAGCACGACUAUGAGAAGCAUAACCAAGAAAAAUCCCAUCCGUAGAACGAGACUCAAAUUUAUCCAAAUUUCCUUGCUUGAGAAUGAAACACUUGCAACCAAACACUCUCAGAUGACUCACUUUGGGGGAACGUCGAUGCAUCAGCUCAUAAGAAGUUUUCUUCAGGAAAGCUCGCAAAAAGAUUCGAUUGGACACAUAGCAAGCAGUGUUGACGGCUUUGGCCCAAUAUUUUCUAGGAGUCCUAUGCUCAUCAAGCAUCGUCCUAGCCAUUUCACAAAGGGUCCGAUUCUUCCGUUCAACGACACCAUUCUGAGGAGGGACAUAAGGCGAUGAAAACUGGUGUUCAAGACCAAGAUCAUUGCAAAAGGCUUUAAAACGAGCGUUUUUGAAUUCUGUGCCAUUGUCACUGCGGAUAGCUCUCAUGGCAUCUUUUGGUCGCUCAUUUCUCAACCUCAAGAUCAAAUCUUGAACAAAAGGACAUGCCUCAUCCUUAGAUUCCAUGAAGAAAACCCAUGAAUACCUCGAAAAAUCAUCAACGAUCACAAGCACAUACCACUUCCCACCGACUGAACAAACACGAGCUGGACCAACAGUGUCCAUACGCAACAGCUCGCCUGGAUGUUCAGUCAUCACCUGAUUCACAGGUGGAUGGGAAGCAGCAACCAUCUUCCCAUGUCGACAGGGAGCACAAACAAGAUCUUUCUCAAACUUUAAUUUAGGCAAACCACGAAUAAGAUCCAAAGUACUCAAGCGGGAAAGCAAAUCAAAGCUCAAAUGACCCAAUCUCCUAUGCCAUUUCCAAAGUUCAGAAGAUGAGCCAGCCACUAAACACCGAGAGAGACCAAAUGACUUGGAAAAAUCAACUCGAAAUACUUGACCCUCGGGGACGAUCAUACACACAAGAUCACCUCGAGAGUCUAAAAUCCUUGAGGUCCCUUGCUUAAAACGGACCUCAAAACCAUCAUCAAGCAGUUGCGACACAGAGAGCAAAUUGAAACCAAGAGAAUCAACUAGAGCAACUCGCUUGAGCAUGAAAUUCUCACUCACCUUGAUAACACCUUCAGACAACACCUUACCUUUGCUAUUAUCCCCGAAAGUGAUGUACUCCUUGGUCAUCACCGGGGUGAGGCUGGAGAACCAUCUGUGAUCACCGGUCAUGUGUCGAGAGCAACCGGAAUCAAUAAGCCACGUGUUCUCCAGGCCUCCGACCUGCUCAAACAAAGGGAGACCAAGGAUGAGCAAAUGACUCAACACUGGGGUUAGAAAAACAAGUAGAAUACCAGUGUCGAACCAUUUGCUCAAGAGUGGGGUUAUCAAAAUCAACCAUCUCUCAUCUCACAGGAGGACUACGGCCAACGCUAGGGGGAAAACGUGGUCCGUUGUAGCUCCGAGACUCAAAGCCACAACCAUAUUGUCCUGGGCCAUAUUGAUCAUGGCGAGGAGCAUGCCUAGCAAAAACACGCGAAGGAGCAAAACGCACACUAUCCACACGACGAGGUGGAGGAGCUGCUCUAGGCGCAUGUACACCAUGAGAAGGGUGGUACAUGUCCCUGUUGCCCCACUCACGCUCACGCCUCAAAGCCUUCUUCUUGCGAAAGCAAAACUCCUCAAGGUGACCCCAUCUCUUGCAAUACUCACAGUGGAAUCUAGCAGGCUGUUUUGGCUGAGGAUUCACUCUAGGUUGUGGCUUGUCUUGGGUUUUUGGUGGAGGUUUCUUACGAGCAAUAUCUGGAAGUGUGUCAAGUUUGUUCUUGAGGUGGUUUGGCUUUUCCACCCAAAUGGCUUUCUUGGGUACUUUAGGUGGUGUCUCAAUGAAAAUUCCAUCUCUCACACACUCAGACAAGUUUUGCUCACAAGCUGGAUUGGGUUGCUCUCUAUUUUUAGUGGGUGACUCUCGAGGGGUGUAGUCAAUUGGUGGCUCACACUGAUUGUAGCUUGGUUUCUUUCUCUCACCACUGUUUUGACCCACCUUCUCACACAACCCAUCAAAGAACUUGUGCAACCCAUUAAAAAGACAUCCCUUCAUAACUGACCCAAGCCCAAAACCAUCAGCCCUUUUGAACUCCUGAAUCAUCAUGCCUAACUGAGGUUCCCUACUUGACACCCAACUAAGAACAGUGCGCAAGUAGGAGUUUUCAUCCUCAACAUGUUGCAAAUUAAGCUUGAGUUCAGGACAAACAGUGCAUUCAGGAAGUUUAGAUCUAGCAAUAAACUCAGACUUCUCUAAAGCACUAAGCUUAGCACAUGCAUCAUCCAACUGAACUUGCAAAGCAGGGCAAGACUUGCAUGCACGAAGCAAAACAGGCCUAUUCUUGAUCUCAUCUAAAGCAGCCCUAGUCAAAUCCAAUUCAUCUACCAACAAAGCAUGCUUAGAUUGUAAAGAUGCAAGACUAGCCAUAUGAACACCACAUUCAACACACUCAACAACAUCAGAAACAGUAGAAGCAGAUUUAAGCAUGUCUAUCUCAAUCAAGGCACUUUCUAACUUAGCCUUAAGCUCAACUCGCUCUUUAGCAGCCUUCUUAAGCAGUUUAUCUUGAUUGAUUAGGCAAUCAUUAAGUUCUUCUAUUUCUAGAGCAAGUUGUUCAGGAGUAGACUUUACCUCAGUUUCUGUGUCGGAGUCACUUUCCUUGUCAUCCUUCUUGGAGUUGAGAGCCAUGACACAGUACCCGUCGCGGUUCUUGUCGGAGUAGAAGCAGAGGCCAUUGAAGUUCUUGCCGUCCUUCUUCUUUGCCUUGCGGUCGUCGUCCUCCUCGCUUGAGCUUGAGUCGGUGUGGUCGUCGGUGACGGAGUCGACGUCGCUGAGGGAGGCGAUGAAGGCACGUGCUUUGGCCUUCUUGCGAUACUCCUUCUUCUCGCGGUCGGUGUACUUCUUCUUCUUCUUGGUGCCGUCCUUGUUCUUGUGCUUGUUGUAGUCGUACUUGCUCUUGGUUUUGUUCUUGUCGGGGCAGUCGGCGGCGAAGUGGCCUGGCUUGCCACAAUCGAAGCAGUUGUUGUUGUUCCUUCGCCUGUUCUUGCGGUUGUCAUUGAAGCGCAUGAAUCGCCUUGUGAUCAAGGCGAGCUCAUCAUCAUCAAGAACCUCCAGCUGCUCCUCUGAAACAGAAACCAAAGAAGACAAGGCAAACGACAUAGAAGAAGAGUUACUCAAAGACUUAGGCUGUCCAGAGCCUGACAUGAGAGCCAUACUAUUUGGAUCAGUAGGGCCUCCUUGUUUUGCUCGGAGCCUCUUGUCAACCUCCGUGGAUUUCAACUUGGCAAAGAGUUCAUCAAUGGAAAGUGUUUCAUAAUUCGGUGACUCGAUGAUAGCAUCAACCUUCGUACCCCACACUUCGUGAUCCAAGGCAUGCAGGAGCUUUAAAGCUCUAUCAUGAUCAAUGUAGGGUAAGACGAUGAUAUUUGCUUUCAUCUUGUUCACAAUAGCUAAGAAACGCUGAAACAAAGCAUCGGCAGACUCACCAGGCAAAUGAACAAAGUUCUCAUACUCACGCCUAUAAGUCUCAAAGAGUCUAGCCUUCACCUGACUGUUUCCCUCGUGGAAACUCUGAAGUCGAGACCAAAUCUCAUGAGCAAGAGAGAGAUCUUCGACUCGAUCGAACUCAGCACGACUCAGACUCGCAAACAGAAUAUCAACCGCCUUGCUGUUGGCGUGAUACUUAUCCCUUUCAUCCUGAGUCACACGAGUAGCAGGAAUCACAUAAGUCACAUCCUGAGUGAUUUCCCAAACCCCUGCUCCCCUACUAUUAAGAUGGGCUCUCAUGCGAGUUUUCCAAUACCGAUAAUCAGAGCCAUCAAAGUAGGGUGCAGCGGUCGAGGAAGAACGCUCAGAGGUCGCCAUAAUAGGUUUCGAAACCGAUUAGGGUAUGGAGAAACCUUAACCGGCUCUGAUACCAAUUGAAGGACCGAAGGGGCGACCAGAGGGGGGGUGAAUGGGAGCCUAUAAAAAUUCUCAACGAAAACAAGGCCUAUGUCCCAAACGCAACCCCAAAGCACACUGCGCGUCGUAUCGUCAAGAUGACACAAGUCAACUCGUGACAAGCUCACCCUAGGAACGAUUUGACACGCUCAAGAUAUAACGGAAGCAAGACAUAAAAUGACUCCAUCAACUUUGCGCAAAUGAGAUUAAGCAAAGACACUACUGACCACAAGCAAACCUCACUUUAUCUGAUCAUGCAACUAUUAAAUAAAGAUACUUAUCUAACAUACGAGGAUUAGCAAAGGAAGGUGCUAAUUAGAUAUCUAAACAACCAGACAACAAUUAAUUAGCAAUGUAUUAAAAUAAAUGACUCGCACAAAAGAAUUGCUUACAGUGGACCACUUGCUUGCUACGCUAGCUAAUCUGGUGCUAGGCCUGCAGGGAAGCUUGGGCCGCAACUUGUUGGCCUGCUGGCUUGCAAACUGAGCUUCACGAGCUGGGUCGAAAAGCUGGCUUCCUACAGCUGAUCGGAUGGGCUGCUAGCCUUGAUCUGCUCCUGCUAGGCUGCUGCUUCACGGCCCGCCUGCCGGUUGAAUCCUCCUGGGCCGUGCGUGGCAGCAGGCCUGGGUUGCGGUGUGGGCUGGUUCAGCUUGCUCCUCCCGGUGGACUGCGACCUGCCGCUGGCGAGCUGCAGCUUUGCAGCACCACCGUUGGACUGCUGGCCUGCUGCUGCUCCACCUGGUUGCCUGCGCGCACGAACAGAAGCACGAACUGGAGAACAGAAAGAAAACGAAGAACACCAAGAACUAGAACCAAACUUCAAUUCGUAAGAUCUCUUCCUAUACUUCGCGGAUCGAGAUGAAAUCUGAAACAAGGAUGCAAUACCCCAAGGGCAAAUAGAUCCAUGAAACUAAUCCUGAAAAGCUCAAUAAUUCAUCACGGAUUUUGGAGAAAACCGAAACCCUAACUCAAGAACGCGAUUUGGGAAAAACUCAAAAUCAAGCCGGAUUCGUGAGGGAUUUGAAAGGGGAUCAUAUCACGAAUGCUCUCCAAGGUCCUAGCAACAUUUCCCUUCAACCAAUCUCACGAGAUUCGGGCUCAACCAUGAUGAACGAAAAUUCCCCAAAAAUAGUUCCGAAAAUAGGGAAAAAGAAAAACGCUCGGGAAUCAAAGAUUUAGCACGAUUUGAGACAACAAAUAAAGCUAAAUCACGAGAACAUCUUCUAUACAAGAUGAGGACUAGCCUCCUCCCUUCAUCCACCCACUAAAGAUGAAGAAAUCAAGAGAAAAGAGUAAUCACUCCCUAAUCCCCCUCUCUCCUCUCACUUUAAGCACAUGACUAGCCUCUAAGCAAAUAGAUAAUAAGUUGCUAAGCAAAGAGGUGCUGAAAUAACCAGCCCCCCAUCCCUAUUUAUAGUCCAAGACGAAAGACUAUACUACCCCUACAGCUACAACUAAGAUAACUACCCACGCAGGGGCAUUUUGGUCCAAGUUUUUAUCCGUGCAUCGGACGGACACGCCGCCUUCACGACUUUGCUUCGCCUCGACGCAAGCUUCGCGAUGACACCACGUGCCCUCCUUCUCGAAGCUCCGGCCACACCGGGCUCGCCCCCGGUUUUGAGGCCCAAACCGGGAAACCUGCCUGCGUAGUGGUUUUGAGGCCCAAACCACCCAAACCGUCCAUUGACGCGUGUCCGGCCUCCGCCAAGCCUCCCGCUUGACUCGACUGACGCCGUCUCCAUCGUAUCAUGCCCUCUCGCCAUUCCGUGCACCAUGUGGACCGCCCGUGACUUCGCCCGGACUCCUCGGGUCCAUCGGUCCAAGCCUACUCGCGUUCAUCCUUCACCGCCCUUGGUCCAUCGGCAUGAACCUUUCGCUUGACCUUCACCGCACGCCGUCGACCGCCACGUCGCAUCCUACACCUGCACAUCACAAGCCAAGAGAAACAUCAAACCAACACAACGUUGUCAAUCACUCAUCAUCCAAGGGUGACCACCAUUGGUCCUCAUGUGUGCUUUCAUACAACAAACUAGAAGGUCCUAUGCCUGAGUUUAGCAAUCUUAAACAACUCACUGAACUACGUCUGUCAUCCAACAGAAUUGUUGGUGAAAUCCCUGCCACUUUAUCUGACUGCCACUUUAUCUGAAUGUCAAGAGUUGAAUGUCAUUGAACUAGACCAGAAUAUUCUAACAGGAAGCAUUCCAUUGCCUUCAGGUAAUUUGGCAACUUUGAACAUGCUCAAUCUUUCCCACAACAAUUUGUCAGGCUUCAUCCCAACAACUCUAAAGCAUCUGAAUCUUUUGACUCACCUGGAUCUUUCUUACAAUCACCUCCAAGGAGAAAUACCAAUCAAUGGAGUGUUUGCAAAUGCAACGGCUGUUUCCCUCAACAACAACAACUGGGGGCUUGAUAGAUCUCCGCAUGCUUGUGUGCCCUGCAGUUACUUGGAAAAUAGAGUGGAAACAUUAUUUGACCAUCUUACUUAUUCCAGUAUUUAGCUUCAUGUCACUCGCGAUGUCAAUUUAUAUUACAGUCCUUGGGAAGACAUCAAGAAGGCCAAAUUUAUCAUUACUUUCUUUUGGUAAGAAAUUCCCUAUGGUUUCUUAUAAGGAUCUAGCUCAAGCUAUAGCUAGGGAACUUUUCAGAGUCCAACCUAAUUGGAAGGGGAAGCUACGGUUCAUUAUAUAGAGGGAAGCUAACUCAAGCUAAAGUCCAAGAUGCUAUUAAGGUUUUUGACCUUGAGGUUAGAUUUGCAUAUAAAAGUUUUGCCUCAGAAUGUGAGGCUUUGAGAACCAUUCGGCAUCGGAAUAUUCUUCCCUAUGGUAAUGAUUUUAAGGUCCUAAUUUAUGAGUUCAUGUCCAACGGGAGUUUGGAUACAUUGUUGCAUCAAAAACAUGGUGGUGUUUCUCCAAAACUUUUGGGCUUAUCUUAAAGAAUAAGCAUAGGUGUUGACAUAGCCGAUGCAUUGGCCUAUUUACACCAUGACUGUGGAAGGCCCAUUGUCCACUGUGAUCUGAAACCAACUAAUAUCUUUCUUGAUGAUGACAUGAAUGCUUAUUUGGGAGACUUCGGCAUAGCAAGUCUUGUUGUUGAUUCUAGGUCAAUAGCAGUUGGACAUUCAUGUUGCAGUAGUUCUCUCACUAUCACAGGAACUAUAGGCCAUAUUGCUCCAGGUAUAAAUGCCAUCGCCUCCACUAUUUGUAUACUAUCUGUUAUGCACACAAUAAUAAUUUUAUUUUUCAAUUUUUCAGAGUAUGCUCAAAGUGUUUAUGCAUCAACCUGUGGGGAUGUCUAUAGUUUUGGCAUAGUACUUCUGGAGAUGUUAUAGGCAAAAGACCAGUUGAUUCUAUGUUUGAGGGUGUGCUCAGCAUUAUCAGCUUUGUGGAGAGAAAUUAUCCAGAUCAAGUGUUACAUAAAAAUCAUUGAUGCUCAUCUUCAAGAAGAAUGCAAAUACUUUAUUAAAGCAAUGGCGGCAACAGAAAACAAGGUCUAUGGAUGCCUGUUGUCGCUCAUGCAAGUUGCGCUUGCUUGUAAACUUCCAUUUCCAAGGGAAAGAAUGAGCAUGAGAGAAGUCGCCAUUAACUUACAUACAAUCAGAAAAUCAUAUGUUGCAGCAAUUAAGUGAGAGAAAACCAUAUGUGGUGUUAAGCCAAGUUGUAUGUACUAUGUAGUAUGUAGUACCAGCUCAUACUAAUAUUUGUCUUUAGAACAUUUAGAAGUUGGGAUUUGAGGUGCUGUUUGAAUUUUUUUUUUUGGUAUCUCUGUAAUAUGAGUAUGUGACUUGUUAGAAUCGAUCCUAUUGAUAAUACAUAUAAAGGGCAUGUUAUCUCUGUCAAGAUAAUUCUAAUUCAUUGGAUAUUAUUUAUUAUGGUAUCUGGAACACGAAAUACAUAGAGUGGAUCAAGAAAAAAUGGAACUAUGAUUGAUACUCACUAUUUAGACCCCGCAACUAGACUGGAAAAAAAUUCAAGUAGUUCUUAAUAAAAAAGAAAUUUUCUUCCAAUUUUGUUUGCCCAAAAGAGAACUUUUUUUCUCCUUCAAUAAAUGAUCUUCAAGCGGAGUAACGGUAAUGGAAUUAGAGAGCAGCUGCAGGGAUUUUUCUGAUUAGAUGCUGCACAUUAUUGAUGCAAUGCUCAUCUCCAAGAAGAAUGCAAGGGUUUUAUUCAAGCAAAGCUCAAACAGACAAGGGCGGAUGCAGGAUGGGAGGUUUGGCGGGGGGGGGGGGGGGGGUUCAUUUCCCUUCCCCUUCCUCUAGCACCCCCUUUCUUCCUCCUCUCUCCCUUCUUUCCUCCUCUUCUCCCUUCUUCCCUCUUCUUUCCAUGGAGUUCCUGGGACCCCCACGCUGGAUCCGCCCCUGGAAACAGAUAAUACAGUGAAUUCAUGAUUGUUAUCUCUAAUGCAGAUAGCUCUUUCUUGGACUUAUCUAUUCCCAAGAGAAAGAAUGAAUACGAUAGAAUUUGUCAGUGUAAGUUGCAAUCAAUCAGAAUGACAUAUGUAAGAGAAAACAGUCAUAGUUCAUAUUUAGUAGAGUAUUUUACAAUAUGGCAGGAAUCUUGUGUAGGCAGUUUAGGUUCUCUUUGAAUGCAAUGGGCACAAAGUUGGCAAUUCAGCCUAUGUGUUCGCAUGUUAAAAAAGAAUGAGGUACCCUGCUAUAAAGCUGUAACCUGUAGGUGGUGAAUGAUGAACAGUGUAUAGUGCCAUCAUAUUAAGAUUGGGCUUUUGAGCAUUUGGAAAAAUGGUUUUGAUAAGGCAUCAAUAAAUUGACAAAGUACUCAGAUCGCUUCUAUGGUAGUGUGUGACUGUAACACUGAGUGGUGUUUCAGAAAACUUUAUGAUAAAUGGAAUGACGCUGCUAAUCUGACCGCAAGUCCGCAACCUAGCUAACAACCGCUCGGAUCCCUAAUCCGAACCUCAAACUACAGUCAUUCCAAAAGUCAAGGUCGACGAGAUCCUGAGCGUACCGUUAGUGCGGCCGCUGGUUAGCCGCCUGCUUUUUUUUUAUGAAACAGGAGAGGCAGAUCCCCUGCUAGUUAUAUAUUAAUAAAUAAAAAUAAAUGUACAAAGAUAAGAAAAGAAAAAACAGAAUUACAAUACAGAUAGCCAGAUGUCUAUACUAGGAUGGUACUUCUUUGCUUGAUGCAUAACCAUGCCAAACUCUUUCCUGAAUAAUUGUUUGCAGUGCAGAGUUGCAGACACCUAGUUUUCAAAGAUAAAGUUAUUUCUGCACGUCCAUCUACUCCAUGUCAUGAUGACAAUAAUCUCCAUGAAGAAAAGCCUAGCAAUCUGAUCUUUAAGGGAAUUUAGGUUGUCAUACCUAGAUAGAUUGUCAUCUAUGUGCAAGCCUAUCUGUUCCCAACACAAUUUAGCAAAUGGGCACCACAGGAAGAGAUGAAGCAUAGUUUCAAGGUUGUUGUCAUUGCACGGUACACAACUGUAACUUUGGAGAUCCAUAUUCUUUCUCUGCAAAAUAUCUCUUGUAUUGAGUCUGUCCUUAAGAAGUAGCCAAAAGAAGAUCUUGUGCUUGGUUUGACAGCAGCUGUUCCAUAUCCAUUUAAAUGCUGGAUGAAUAUCUAAAUGGCCUUUCAAUGUUGUAUAUGCUUUUUGUGACCUGUACGUGUUUGAUCCCCAUAUGUAUGUCCAAAUGUCACGGGCUCCCUGAUCUGAAUAUUUCCAAUGCUAUUUUGUAAAUGCAGAAAUUGAUCAUAUGCUUCUAUGGAUAGGGGCAGGUGGAAAAGUGAGUGCAGCUCUUCAGUGUUCAUCCUUAGGCUGAUAUUUAUGUUCUUUGCAAAUGAGAACAAUUCUAGGAAGUUUAAACUAGGUACCAUGCCACACCAAAAAUCAUUCCACUGGUAAACUGAAUUUCCAUUAUGGGGGAUAGGAAUGGCCAUACCUUUGUAGAGAUGUAAGAUUUUUUGAAUGUGUCUCCACCAGAAUGAUCCUAUUUUCACUGAGCCUGGAAGCUUACCAUUGCUGUAGUAAUUAUCUCAGAUUAGAUGAACCCAUGGUAAGUCUGCAUGGUUGAAGAAUUUAUGCAAGUUUUUCAAAAUGAGAGCAUUAUUCUGAGCUUUGAUAUCUGGUACCCAAGGUCUCCUUCCUCCUUUGUAGACACACCAUUUCCCAUGCAGCUUUCGGUAGCUUCUUAGCAUUUAAAUCAGAUCCCUUCCAAAGGAGAUGCUUUCUAUAUUUAUCAAUCUGCUUUAUGACAGUGGCACGUAGUUUCAUAGUAGACACGAUGAAUGUUGGUAGAGAUGUUAAGACUGAAUUAACUAGGAUAAGUUUACCACCCUGUGAGAGAAGGUUUGAUGUUACCAAGAUUCUGCUUUCACACUUCUUGACUAGAGGCAUGAUGUCCUUUACAGAGGGUUUAGUGAGGCCAAGGGCAUCCCCAAAUAUGUGAAAGGCGGCUAUGUCCCAAUUGCACAGCCCAAUGUGGAUGUCAGGAGAGAUAAUUUAUCUUCAGGAGUGUUAAUUGGCACCAUCAAUAAUUUUGAGUAAUUUACUUUCAGGCCUGAUGAUGAGGCAAAGCUAUUCAAUAGAUCCCUGAGAGAGGAUAAUUGUGAUUCAUCACUUUCCAGGAUUCAGCCACCUGCUUCGCCGUCCGCCGCUGCCCGCAACUGCGACUCUCCACGCUCCGGCCCCAAAUGACGCGUGCCGCCUGCGCUCGCGUAGUGGCCGAUUUCAUCCGCAACGGCGCAGUGCCGCCAUGGUGGGAACCACUUCGUCGCUUUGCAACUGUGGUGAGAUUUUGGAAAUUUUUUAUUUUUUAUUUUUUUAUUUUAGCAUUUUGUAAAAAUAUAUGCCUAAAUAAAAAAAAUUGCAAAUCUAGACGCAUACCGUCAUUUGAAACGGCUAUAGCCAAAUAAACCAGCAGAAGGUGUACUAUAGCAACCUUACUGCCGGUUCAACCGGCGAUAUCUCUCCUCUCUGGAUAGCUCAUCUUCAAAAAACCAUAACUUUUCAUAUGAACUCAGGUGGACAGAUCCCUUGGACCCUAAUCGAAAUCCCAGAUUGGAUUUUGGAAUUUUUUAUUUUUUAUUUUUAUUUUAGCAUUUUGUAAAAAUAUAUGCUCAAAUAAAAAAAAUGCAAAUGUAGAUGCAUACCAUCGUUUGAAAUGGCUAUAACCAAAUGAAGCGGUGGAAGGUGUACUUUAGCAACCUUACCGCCAGUUCAACCAGCGAUAUCUCUCCUCUCUAGAUAGCUCAUCUUCAAAAAAUUAUAACUUUUCAUAUGAACUCAGAUGGAAGAUUCCUUAGACCCUAAUCGAAAUCCCAGACUAGAACUAGAACCGCCACCUAGCUACAUACUUGAAUCAAACGAACAGUGAGGACCUAGCUAGGAGAUCUUCCGCGUACCGUUGAUGCAGCUUCUGGUCGGCUGCCUAAUGCUGCUGGCCCGUCCGCCUCUCCGUUUCGUCCUCGAAGUCUCAAACGCGCCGCCUCUCACCGCCCGUCGCGCGUGGAGUGGCGCGCGGUGGACGUCGCUGCUGUGUUGGCUUAGCCCAAUCGCGCUGUUCGUUGGGCGAGGCCGAAUGCGCUCUGUUGGUUGGCCGGGCCGAUCGAUCCGUUCGUGCCCAAGAGUUGCGGGCUGCAACAAGAGUACAAGACGCAGAAUGAUGGUGGCUGAACAGGCCUAAUGGGCCUCAUAAGCACUCAGAAGUCCACCACUGCAAAUCUCCAACUCAUGCGAAAAAAAAGUUGUACGCACAGAUUAUUUGGUCUCUAGUGUGUCCUUCAUUUAUGCAUAAACUAUGCACGUUGUGAUUUGUAUUAUUAAAAAAUUAGAAUAAGAUCUCUGUAUAAAUUAGGCGCUUCCUCUAAGGAGACUGAGUUAGCUAGCUCUUACACCUCCAUAUCAGAUUUUUUUUACGAGGAAGAGAGAGUGCAAGGAGAGAGAAAGUGCAGUAUCUCUUUUCCAAGAACUAGCUUAUAACGAGAAGGUAUGUUCCAUACUUUAUUAAUUAAAGAGAGGUUGUUGGAGUAGGAUGCUUUGAGCAACGUGCUAUUAUAUGAGUUGGAUAAGCUUAUAGAUAGUGCAUGUACUAACUCAACCGUAAAAAUAAGUUUGCAUAAUUCAUCAUGGAACGACACACUGUGGUCAAUAGAUCUUAGUACAAAGUGUUGGGAUCAAAGACCCGAACAGAAACCGUAAGAGAGAGAAAUCAUAUAAUCAGAUAGGCAAAAAGUUUCUCUUCCCUAAAGCUCUAGGCUCUAUUUAGAGGGAGGAGCACAUAACUAUUUAUAUUUACUCCAUUAAUAAGGUAAAAUAUUACAUAUAACUCCCUAAACUCUACAACGAGGUCUGUGGACAUUGCAAAUAAGUCACAUACCUUACAAAGAAACCCUUAGAUGUCGCGAAUGGGUCCUCGAACCACUAAUUUGAAUCUCUUUUAUACAAAAGGGGUUCCAAGUCUUGGCAUCCUAAGGCGCCCCAACACGGAGUAUUGACAAAAUUAAUAUGAACAUGGAUAUUUAUUUGAGCUAUAGACUCAAACCUUAAGUGAGCAAAUUCCACUAUGUAAAAGCUAACUAGUUGCAGUAUGCUCAGUUUGCUAAGUUGCGAUAUUUCUAUCGAACCUCGUAAAUAAAGAUCGUCGGCCAAUAAAGACAUUGGCUUCUUUAGUAAUUCAUGGUAAUGUAAGACAGUGGAAACUAUUCGCAGUUUACCAUAAACAUAUAUACCUUCCGUAAUGCAUACUAAGAACAGGCACUUCAAUCAAAUAUCCUCGAAGAGAAAGUGCUUUUGGCCUAUAACUGAAUUGGGUUUCAAACUUUCAAUCACCAGAUAUCCUCUCUAAUUCGUACAAUACCCACCGUUAGCAUUCUUAGCAAAAUCGUGAGAAGCACGGCCUCCAAAAAUCUGAUCCAGAUCGAAUACUUACAGGUACAGGUUUACUUGACCGGCGGCGUUAGUUGGCCAGGAAAUAAAACCAGUGAACAGAUUAAAUCCACAAUCACUACUACUUCACUAGAAAGAACCAAAAUGACUAUGGAGACAAGAAUCUUGUAGCGGUAGCAUUCCACGAGUUGAAUUUUGUCAGCAUCGUAUGUGGCUGACACAAGUCACACAUCCGCGCAGAAAAAUUUCUGUUCGAUUCGCUGAACAGUGACCGCAGAGCUCUUGGAUUAAAAGCGAUGGACAUGCCGCAACAAGCUAGUCCAGCUCAAACAGUGACCGCAGUGGCGUACCUUUGAGGAGAUGAAAGCUGAAAAGCCGCAUUAGCUGCCAAGAUUGACGGACUCAAGGUCGUCGCUGCAAGGGCAAGGGCGAUAAUAACCUUAGCAAAGGCGUGACAGUGCCACUGCCACAGCCCACAGGGCAUCGCCGCAUCGGAGGCGUGUGGACGUGAGAUGCUGUAACUGAUAAUACAAGCUGCUCACCCAACGCACUGCUUGUGGAUGAAAUGGUGAUGUAAAAUCGUUUUUGAACCCUGGAGCCCUGAGCCAGCUGUGCAUCCAACUCAAAGUUCACAGUUCAAACACCAGACUGCCAAACGGCAGGACCAAGCUCGUCAAAACCGCUGCUGCUUCGUGCGCGCUCCAUCCUGCCGAUCAGAGGUGUUUAUGUUCCUUCUCUAUGAGUAUUUGCAUCUUUUACGUGUCUUAUUUGCAUAUAAGAGGAGUGCUCUCAGGCUUCCUAAUAUUUUAUUGGUUGUCAGUGAUGUGGGGGCAUUUGACAAAGUCAAUGCUCCGCGUUUCCUUCGCUUAGUGCUCUCUCGCAGUAUAGUAGGCGAAGCUCAUAGUUAUAGUCAGAUGGCAUGUACGAGGCUAGGGAUAAAUUCGAAUUAUGGAAUCAAAUUUGGAUAGCUCUACUUAGAGCAGUUCCAGUGUAUUAAAAAAAUUGAAUCGUGGAUGUGGAAAACCGAACUGAAUACACUGUGAACAUCGGACAGUGCAGCUAAAAAUUGCACUCCGCAAACGUCCACAUCACCAUUGCCGGUCACUCAUCACGCCUUCACACGCCGACGAGCUGCACCCGGAGGUCCUCUGAUGAAGCCUGCCGGUCACUACAUGCAGGGCACGGCAGAAGCAGUAGGCCUGGAGAUCUCAGCGGUGUGUGCUGAGAUGGAGUAGAGUAUCCCCAGUCACUUAAUAAUUUUUGUGAAUAGGACCAUUCUAAUAUCUCUUUCGUUAUUAUUGGAAGAGUUAUUUUUGGAAGAGUCAGAGCAACUUCAAAAACUUUCUUAAAUUACCCUUAAUACCUCAAUUAGGGAGAAAAAAUAACCUCCAACAGCUUCAAAAAACCCCGCAAACAUACAACGACUUCAUAUCCCGGCUUCCUCGCUCCGCAUGUUUCCACCAGCUCUCGGCACUCGCAAUCCGUGAUUUUUUUCCCGCAAGAGGCGACGUGGCACGUCGUUAUUUUUCUCCCCAUGAAAAAGUCACUCGUUUUCUUUUUUCUCACCAUGAAAACGUCGCUAGUUUUAUUCUCCCACACGAACAUCCUUUCCUACGGACAAAAAAGUCGUUGGUUUUCCUUUCACGGUGGAGAGUGCCCCCGCAAAUGGAUAAUGUCUAGCACUUAAAGUUUUUAGCAACUUUUUUCUAGGUACUCUUGGAGGAGAGGAACUUUUUAGCUCCCAAUAUUUUUUAGAAAGGUCCCCGGUUUUUGGAAGUCUAUUUUUUGCACUCUUGGAGAUACUCUCACAACUCCUUUAUUUGGGAAGACUUGGGAUGCAUUAUUGGUUUGUCCAAUAAUUAUUGGAAAUAAAGCAAAGAUUAAGGGAGUCUGUUGGAGCACUAUUUUUCAACGACUCUACCAAUAUGAUACGUGGAUUGGGGAACGGGGAUGAUCUGUUGGAGAUACUUUUAAACAAUCACGACUAAAAAAAUGACCUUUCGUCCACUUCCUUAGUAUCGAUCACAUUUUAACCCGAUACUAAUUGUCGUUGUCAAGAUUAGCGGGUCAAGACUUAGACUAGUAAAUUUCUUUUAUGCGCGUGAGGCUUGAGAUGGUGGCGUGAGAGACACGGGGUUUAUACUAGUUCAGGUAAAGGAAAUACCCUACGUCCAGUGUUAGGAGCUGCUCGUGUUGCCCACGUGGGGUUCUGUAGUAGGGGUUACAGAAGUGCGAGAGAGGGAACUGGUCCCAGGUCUCUUGGGUGUGCACUGAUGCUCUAGAAGGGUGUGUGUGUGUUCUGUUGGCUUGGAAGCGUUGUGGUGCUUUUUGUUGUCCUUCCAGCCCCCCUGUCUCAGGCCCCCGAUUCCCCUUUUAUAGCGUAAGGAGACCACCGGGGUUACAGGCGAGACCGAGUAUGGGGAGAAGUAAAGAGAUAAAUAUAGCUAGGUAAAAAAUACAACACGAAAAGGGGGGAAACAAGUUCCCAGGUCACCGGCGUCCUUGCCGGCCUUCGACUUCCGCCGGCGCGUUUGCCGGAGGAGGGUGGCUGCCGUCGCGUCCUGUUGAUGGCUUCCUUGGCAACUGUAGCCGCCGGGCGUGAUGAUGGCAUUUCGCCGUGACCCUCGUGUCCGUUGGGGGAUACGGUGGAUCCCGCCAUCCUACUGACGGCCCGCGGAGCGCGGACAUCGCAUCCCUGCCGUCGGGCACGCGGGGCACGAGAACAGGCGAGGCUUCCCCCUGCUCCGGGCGGCGCAGGCCAUGAGUGCCCUGUGGCGAAUGGGUGGAGGCCGCAGCUACUGUAGCUUGUACAGUGCGAUCGUGCAUGGGUACUUGCAGCAGGUUGCGUGAGGGGCGCGGGCAUCCUUCUUCCUGACAGACCUACGACGCAUUUAUGGCGAGAUCGACAGGGGGACCCACGAGAUCUGCGCCCGAGGCGGAUACUCGUCUGGUGGGCUCGGGUCAGCCCGACCCCCUACGCUUGGGGUCAGGUGAGGCGGAGACCUGCGGCGGGGGGUCGGACGCUCCCGACCCCAGACCUGCGGUCGGGCGAGGCGGAGCUUGGUCUUCCAGAUGCCUGACCCCGGGAUGCAGGGUCGGGGAGGCGGAGCGUGAUUCUCGCCCCCCGUGUUGGGCUGGAGGCAGGCUUGUUACCUUAAGUGGGCCUGGACCUUUACAUUUUGUUGUUUCCAUGGGCUUGGGGAAAUCGUUAAUAUUUCCCCCCAACAGUAGCCCCCGAGCCUAUGGUGGAGCGGGGAUGCUCCUCCAGAGGCUGCUGUCAUCGCCUGUAUGGGAUCCUUGCAGUUGAUCCGGGACGGGAGGUGUUGUUUGGAUGGCUUGACCGAGGGGGUCAAUUAGGCGACGCAUCCUGUGAGCGACUCGGCGCGGGAGGACUUCUUGUCAUUCCCUUCCGCCUGCGAGCCUUAAGUCAAGACCACCCGCGUGGCCUUUGGUUGCGAGGCCAUCCCCGAGCCCCUGCGCAUUGCAGGGACCGGUCGGAGGCUAGGUCGACUUUUGUUCGUUACCCUUCAAGCGUUCGUUCGCUAGGACAGAGGGGGCGAGCCGUGCCACGCUAUCCUCGUCAGACAAUCCGUGGUGCUCGUUGAGCUACUAACGAGUUGAUUCGAGUGGGAUCCAGGUCCCCGUUCGGGGGGGUGCGGCUUGGGCCAAGCUGGUGGCGUACCCCAGGCUCCGGUCAGCCAGUUCAUAUAGUUUCCGAGUCCGUUCGGUUGGAUCCGGGGGCUCGUUGCCUUUCUUCGGGGAAAAACCAUGAACUUUGAUGCCGGUCCGGACUCAAAUGUGAGAUUGAGAUGCCCUGGGCUGUCGCGUGUCCGGGUGAUGGUCGCUAGCGGACCCGUCUCUUCUCACCCCUCGCUCGGGGGUACCCUGAGGCGGCUGUCGAACCCGUGGUGGGCCAGCCUUCGAACCUCUGGAUCGUAAUGGGCCGUAGGGGCAUUUUCAGCCCCGUAUCCCUUUUUACCUUUUGAUGGGCCUUGGGCCGAAUCGUAGCGGAGGUCGCGUCUCGGGCCGGACGUGGAGGAUGUUGUGUCUUGGGCCGGACGUGGGAGACGUCGUGUGCGUGUCUUCCGGGAGACAAAGUGGUGGAGGGCGCCGACCCGCGAAUCGAGGGAGGAGGGGAUGUUUCCGCUGUAGAUCGUGCGCACAGUUUCCGAAAAGGGAGCGGGCGUGACGGGGAUGUACCUGGUGCUGCAUUUAUUGCGAUAGGGGCGUCUGUUCUACUUCCCUCGCGCCUUCUCUAUAAAAUGAGAACUUCGCCUCGCUGGUUCCACCCGCCAUCUGCCUUCAAGCCUUUUCGUCUCCUCGCACGCCCUUAGCUUUUCUGCGCCCGCUUCGUCUUCCUCCGCCCAAUGCCGCACCCUUUCUCCCCAUCCUCCGUCGAGUUCUUCUCCCUCCGGCGAUGGGAUCCUGGGCGCGUUCCCACUUCGGCCCCACGCGCGCCGAAGGCCUAGUGAGGAAAGGCCUCCUCUGCGAGAGGACGGAGGUGGACGAGUGGGAGCUUCCGGGGAUGGAAGAGGUGCCGACGCUGCCCGCCGGCUAUGUCGUCUCCUUCGCCCACUUCCACGAGAGGUGGUUCGCGACUCCUGCAUUACUACGGGCUUGAGCUGCAGCACCUCAACCCCAAUGGGAUUAAGCACAUCGCGGUGUUCGUCGCGCUGUGCGAGGGGUUCCUAGGCAUCGAGCCCAACUUCUCGCUGUGGAAGUAUUUCUUCACGGUCAGCCUGUACCAGAAGGCCGAGAAGAAGGGGAGCCAGCAGCGGUCGUCCCCGGUGCCGAUAGGGUGCGCCGGUUUCCACCUCCACCUUACUCGCGCCAAGGAGUACAUGACGAUGAAGACCGCGAUCUCCCACAAGGGGUGGCACCAGCAGUGGUUCUACGUGAAGAACUAGUCCAACUCCCUCUUGCCGGAGUUCACCGGCCGCAUUAUUGAGGCGGCGCCGGAUGUGUAGGCGUACGGCCCGGUGGAAAAGGAGAAGAAGCGGAUCUCCGGGCUGCUGCAGGCCAUCAAGCACCUGAAGGGGAGGGGACUGACCAGAGCCGGAGUCAUCGGGGCGUACCACGCCCAGCGGGUGGCACCGCUGAUGCUCCGGGUCCGCUCGCUUGCCUAUAUGACCCCCGGUGCUCCGACCGAUGGCACCGUCCUCGCGACGGGCGCGCUCGCCGCCUCUGAGAUCCGGCAGCGGAUCCGGGAGGCGCUGGAGGACAAGGACGCAGAUUACCCGGUGCCGGGCCACCGUCUGGUGCGCCCGGACGAGAAUUUCAUCGACCUGGUAAGGAUUUUGUGCACCCAUUUCCCUUUCUCGUGUUUCUUGGUCCGCCGUUCUAACGCGGGGCGUUUUUUGUUUGUAGGGUAGCAUGACCCGGGUCGUCGACUCACGCCCGCCGGUGCCGGAGGACGCCGAGUGGUGGCGGCAGAACCGUCUCCUUGCCGAGAAGCAAAAGCAACGCAAGGACAAGGAGAUGGCGAAGAAGAAGAAGAGGGCCGCCAAGGAGUUCCAACGGCGGCGGCGGGGACAGGUCGUGUCGGAUGACGACGAUGACGACGAUGAAGAGGAGGAGGAGGAUGACGAGGAGGAGGAGGAGGAAUUUAUCCUGUCCCCCCGGCCGGGCGUGCUUGUUAUCUGGGAGGCGCGCUCCCAAACGGCCACGGGGGAUGAGGUGAGCAAGCCGCCUGCCCGGGACCCGGCCCCGCAGAGUUCUGGGGCCGCACCCCAGGGGUCGGCGCGGAGCGCCCCCAGGAGGUUGGCGGAGCCGACCCCUGUCCCUGCGCCUACGGCCCAGGAGCAGAGGAGUGGUGAUAAGCGGCCGUUGCCGGAUACCCCGGGGUCGGCGUCCGGCCCGGAGGCGAAGCGCGCGCGCCGCCCUUGCGCUGGGGGAACGUGAGUUGAAUUUCCUUGGGAAUCUCAUUCCUUUCCAUACAUUGUGUCUGUUUCCCUUGAUGUUGUUUGUUGUUUCGCAGUGCCGCCCCUCGAGGCCUCGUCCCACCGCUGGCGCCCAAGAAGGCACUGCGGGUGCUGCCCGCCUCUGCGGGGCGGACCGCGGCUCCGCCGGCGGCGAGCGGCGGGGUCACCGGCGAGACCGCGGGUCCUUCCGCGGAGGUGGCUCCUGCGGCGGUAUCUGGUGGAGUGGUGCCACCGCCGAGCACGGGAUAGGGUCUGGCCCCGGCUCCGUCCUCCGCCCCUUCGGCCGACCCCACGGUGUAGAUUGUUGCGCCUGGGUGUCCUCCAUCCGGGGAGGUGAUUGACCUCGACGCCGACGAGGGGGAGGAAACGGCGGCGGUGGAGACGGGGCGGUUGCCCUAGCGGCCGCGACGGGGACGGCGUCAGCGAUGGGGGAAGGAGAGUCUAUCCCCGCUGCCAUGGUGGGGCGGCGGCGAUGGAAGGGGGGAAGACGCCCGCCCCGGCGGCUGCGACGGAGGAGGAGGCGGUGACGGUGACGGGGACUUCCGCCCGGGGAGCCACAGCGGAGGUAGCAGCGGCGGCGGAGGUAGAAGUGCCUGCUCCGGAGGCCGUGACGGGGGCGGGGACGCCUGCCCUGACAGCCGCGACAGAGGGCGAGGUGGCCACAGGAACACCUCCUCCGGCACCUGCGUCGGAGGCGGUGGCGCCGACGGGCGGGCCCGCGGCGGCCUCGACGGGGAUGGGGGUGCGUGUGCCGAGACCGUCCGUGAGCCCGGCGGCUUCCGGGAUGGUGGUGCCCGUCUUGACGGGGUCAUCGGGGUCGGCCCCCGCCCGUGCCUAGACCACUUCCGUUCCCAAGGCGUGGAGCGGGUUCGUCCUGCGUUGGUCGUCUCGUGACAACCCGCAGAGACCCCUCUUUACGUUGGACGACGCCACGGAAUGGGGAAAGUGGCAGGCGCUGCUGGGCGGACUCGUUAACAUCCGCGUGGCUCUGUCUUCGGCGUUGGGGGAGCUGGACGGCGUCGUCUUCCCCGGUGGCCAGGUAUGGUAUUUUCUCUAUUGACGGUUGCUUUCCUCCCGUUGCUUUACCCCUGAUGGCGUACUGUCUUGCAGGCUCUCCAAGAAUGCAGCUGAGGAAAAUUCGAUUUCCUCCAGCUCGAGCGGGGGCUCUGGGAGCGCUUCAACUUGGAGAGGCAGCGGACCGGGGAGCUGACCAUGUAGGUCGCCGCCGCCCAGCAGGUCAUCGACGACCUGCGGAGGCGCGAACACGCGGCAGGCGGAGGCCAAGUUCCAGGUCAUCGCUGAGAGGGCUCGCUGUGAUCGCGAGGAGUUCCAAGCAGCUACCGAAAAGGCCCAUCACAACGCCGAGGAGCUCGCGCGGCUGAAGGGGGAGCAUGAGGCCCUUCAGAAGACCAUCGAGCGCAUCCGGCGCGAGCAGCAGAAGGCCUGGCAGGACCGGGACGCCGAGAAGGUCCGGAAGGAGGAGGCCGAGAAGGUGGUGGCCAACCUUGGGGCAGAGGUUAGCCAGCUCCAAGUGCAAGCGCGGGAGCUUCAGGCCUCCGUGGCCCAGGGGCUCGACCGGGAGCGCCAGCUGAAGGCCCAAUCCAAAGGUAUGACCCUGUUUAUUCCUUCGUCUUUGUGAUGUCAUGGUGAUUUUUGAUUUGGCGGGUCCUUCUGGGUGGUCCUUGCAGGCGAGCUCUCCCGGCUGAGGGAGUUGCUUGACGUGGAGCGCGGUGAACACGGCGACCUGCGGGAUGCUGUUCGCGUCGUCUGCGACGGCCUCGGCGUGGUCCAGGGGGAGGGGACGAGUUCGCUGGUGACUUGCGUCCUUGGGACGUACCGCCGGGCCCGCGAAAUUGCCGUGGUAGCGCUCCACACCGGCGUGAGGCGAGCCUUCGGGGUCUUCGGCUCCCACUGCUCUGGCAUCAACUUCGCCGGGAUGAGCGGGGGGUACGCCGCCGGCUACUCCAAGGCUGAGCUGGACAAGAUCGACGCGUCGGUGCUCAACCCGGCGGAGGCCUUGGUGAAGCUCCUGGAGGAUGAAGCCAUCCCUCCCGAAGAUCCCCGAACGAGUUAACUGUAUCGGGCUGGCGCCCAAGAUGUAAAUACGUUAAUGUCAGACUUAUUUUGUGGUGGCCACAGGGGCUUUUUCUAUGGAUUGUUGUAAAAGAGUUUUCGAUUCCCUUUCUUGUUUUUUGGACUUGGAAAGUUUAGAGCGCGUUGUCGGGUGUGUCAGUAAGCUUUGCUGAGUGAAGGCACCGUAGCCGCUGGGACGUAGGUUUUUCGCAGUCCGAUCAAUCUUACCUGAACACCGUUGGUGCACUUUCUCCUUUUCAUGCCCAAAAGUUUAGAAAGGGGGUCAGCUCGGAAAGAGAAAGUGUUUUGAGAGGGUGUCAAGUGGCCUAGGGCGGAGCCCCUGAUAGCCCCCGAGGGAUGUGCGGCCCUGAGGCAGAGCCAGGGUCGGAUAUCCCUGAGUUUGAAGUGAAACUUGAAUGGAACCGACUCAAAAUUCUUUUUUCCGUAAAAUUUUCAGAUGUACGGAAGUAUCUAUGUACAAAACUUGGAAAUGAAAGCUAGGGGUAUAAACGUCUUACCUGUUUUAUGUUCCAAGCAUUGCUGAAGGUCUGUCCAUCGGGAGUCGCCAGCUUGUAGGUGCCUGGCCGCAGUACCUGCACGAUGAUGAAGGGACCUUCCCACGGAGGGGUCAGCUUGUGUCGACCCCUGUUGUCCUGGACGAGAUGGAGUACCAGGUCGCCGACGUUAAAGGCUCAGUCCUGCACCUUGCGGCUGUGGUAGCGUCGUAAGGCCUGCUGGUACUUGGCCAAGUGCAGUAAGGCCACAUCGCGUGCUUCAUCGAGCUGAUCUUGUGCGUCUUCGAGCGAUGCUUGGUUCCCUUGUUCGUCAUAUGCCCUGACCCUCGGCGAUCCGUACUCCAGAUCGGUGGGCAGGAUGGCCUCGGAUCCGUAUACCAUGAAGAAUGGGGUGAAGCCAGUCGCCCGACUGGGGGUUGUCCUCAGACUCCAAAGGACUGCGGGAAGCUCUGCGACCCACCGGUCGCCGAACUUUUUGAGGCGGUCGAAGAUCCGUGGCUUGAGACCCUGGAGUAUCAUGCCGUUGGCUCGUUCAACCUGCCCGUUCGUGCGGGGAUGUGCCACGGCCGACCAGUCCACUCGGAUGUGGUGGUCGUCGCAGAAUUGGAGAAACCUCUUUCCAGUGAACUGCGUGCCGUUGUCCGUGAUGAUGGAGUUGGGGAUUCCGAAACGAUGGAUGAUGUUGGUGAAGAACUGCACUGCCUGCUCGGACUUGAUUUGCGCAAUCGGUCGUGCUUCGAUCCACUUGGAGAACUUGUCGAUGGUGACAAGCAGGUGGGUGAAGCCCCCGGGCGCUUUCUUGAAUGGCCCGACGAGAUCCAGCCCCCAGACCACGAAGGGCCACGUGAUGGGGAUGGUCUGGAGCGCUUGCGCGGGCAGAUGAGUUUGGCGCGUGAAGAAUUGGCACCCUUCGCAGGUGCGGACCACGUGGGUGGCAUCGGCGACCACCGUGGGCCAGUAGAAACCCUGCCGGAAGGCAUUGCCAACGAGGGUUCUUGGCGUGGCGUGGUGGCCGCAGGCUCCGGCGUGGAUGUCCUGGAUCAGCUCCUUUCCCUGCUCGAUUGGGAUGCAACGCUGGAGGAUGCCGAUGUGGCUUCUAUUGUGGAGCUCCUGGUUGAUGAUGACGAAGGAUUUAGUGUGGCGCGCGAUCCUGCGCGCCUCCAUCUUGGUCGUAGGGAGCGUGUCGCGGACGAGGUAGUCGAGGUACGGGGUUCUCUAGUUGAGCGGGGGGUCAGGCCCCGCUGCUGGGUCUGCAUCGAUUUUCAUGACCUCGGGGUCAGCCUCCGAGUCCGCGGCAGGCGAGGCGUUGCCGACCCUGGUGGGCGGCGCGUCGCUGACCUCUCCCGGGUCAGGGCCCGAGUUCAGGACAGGUGGCGCGUUGCCGACCGCCUCCAGCUCUUGGGAGCGGAUUGAGGGCUUGAGUUGGUCGCUGACAAAAAUACCGUCGGGUACGGGUUUUCAUCCGGACGCUGCCUUCGCCAACUCGUCGGCUGCGUCAUUGAAACGCCUUGCGACAUGGUUGAGCUCUAGUCCAUCGAACUUGUCUUCAAGCUUGCGAACUUCGUUGCAGUAAGCUGCCAUCUUGGGGUCGUGGCAGCUCCACUCCUUCAUGACUUGUUCAACGACCAGCUGAGAGUCGCCCUGGAUGUCCAGCCGCCGGAUGCCCAGCUCGAUAGCGAUGUGAAGCCCGUUGAGGAGGGCCUCGUACUCCGCAACAUUAUUAGAUGCAGGAAAGUGGAGGCGGAUCAUGUACCUCAUGCGCACGCCUAGAGGAGAGACGAAGACGAGGCCUGCUCCGGCGUGGGCCCUCAUCAGUGACCCAUCGAAGUACAUUGUCCAGCACUCCUCUUUUUCUGGGGCCGGUGGCGUCUGGAUCUUUGUCCACUCUGCUACAAAGUCGGCUAGUACCUGGGACUUGAUGACAGUGCGGGGAGCAUAGGUGAUGCCCUGGUCCAUGAGCUCAAGCGCCCACUUCGCAAUCCGUCCCGUGGCGUCCUGGUUUCGAAUCACUUCGCCGAGAGGGAACGACGAAACCACUGUUACCGGAUGGGAGGUGAAGUAGUAGCGCAGCUUCCUCUUCGUGAUGAGGAUGGCGUAGAUGUGCUUCUGGAUCUGCGGGUAGCGUGUCUUGGAUUCGGACAAGACCUCGCUGACGAAGUACACCGGGCGCUGCACCUUGAGGGAGUGUCCGUCCUCUUCUCGCUCCACCACCAGAGUCGCGCUAACCACCUGGGUGGUCGCUGCGAUGUAGAGCAGGAGGGGCUUGCCGUCGGUCGGCGGGACUAGGAUCGGGGCCUUCGUCAGGAGGUCCUUGAGCCGGUCAAGUGCCUCCUGGGCCUCGGCGGUCCACUCGAAGCGGUCGGUCUUCUUCAGGAGUCGGUAGAGAGGGAGCCCCCGCUCGCCAAGGCGCGAGAUGAAGCGGCUCAGAGCCGCCAAGCAUCCUGUGAUGCGCUGGACUCCUUUUAUAUUUCGGAUCGGCCCCAUGUCGCUGAUAGCCGCUAUCUUCUCCGGAUUGGCUUCGAUGCCGCGCACGGAGAUGAUAAAACCUAGCAGCAUGCCCCUUGGAACCCUGAAAACGCACUUUUCAGGAUUGAGCUUGAUGUGCUUGUCUCUUAGCCUUUCGAAGGCUAGUUUGAGGUCGGGGACGAGCUGGUUGCCUCUUUUGGACUUGACUACGAUGUCGUCGACGUAAGCCUCAACGGUCCGCCCGAUGAGGUCGCUGAAGCAUUUGAGCAUGCAUCGCUGGAACGUAGCCCCCGCGUUCUUGAGGCCGAAUGGCAUCUUAACGUAGCAAUAGGGGCCAAAGGGGGUGAUGAAAGAGGUAGAGAGCUGGCCGGACUCUUUCAUCGUGAUCUGAUGAUAGCCAGAAUACGCGUCGAGGAAGCUAAGGGUUUCGCACCCAGCGGUUGAGUCGACUAUCUGAUCUAUGCAUGGCAAAGGAAAUGGAUCCUUUGGGCACGCUUUGUUGAGACCAGUAUAAUCAACACACAUCCUCCAUUUCCCAUUCUUCUUUCGUACAAGAACAGGAUUAGCUAGCCACUUGGGGUGGUGAACUUCCUUGAUGAAUCCAGCCACCAGAAGCUUCUGGAGCUCUUGCCGAUGGCCUUGCGCCUCUCCUCAUCGAAGCGGCGCAAGCCUUGCUUCACUGGCUUAGAACCAGCUUUGAUGUUCAAGGAGUGCUCGGCGACUUCCCUCGGAAUGCCGGGCAUGUCCGAGGGUUUCCACGCGAAAACGUCGCUGUUCGUGCGGAGGAAGUCGACGAGCGCACUUUCCUAUUUGGGGGACAGGGUAGCGCCGAUCCGCACGGUCCGACCAUCGGAGCUGCUGGGGUCGAGGAGCACCUCCUUGACGCCUUUGGUGGCCUCGAAGGAGGUGGCCGACUGCUUGGAGUCGGGCUGGUCCUCGGCGCCUUCCGCGAGUUGGACUGUUGAAUCUUUCGUGAAGGUGAUGGCUGCGGCGUACUUUCAGCAUUCUACUCGCACUCGUACGCCUUCUGGAAAGACGUGCCGACGGUGAUGACCCCAUUGGGCCCCGACAGCUUGAGCUUGAGGUAGGUGUAGUUGGGGAUGGCCAUGAACUUGGCGUAGCACGGUCACCCCAAGAUGGCAUGGUAGGUUCCACGGAAACCUACCACCUCGAAGGUGAGGACCUCCUUCCUGUAGUUGGAAGGGGUCCCAAAGGUGACGGGCAAGUCGAUUUGCCCGAGGGGCAUUGCCUGUUUCCCCAGCACGACGCCAUGGAACGGUGCCUUGCUGGGGCGGAGGCGGGAGCGAUCGAUCCCCAUGGCGUCGAGGGUCUCGGCGUAGAGGAUGUUGAGGCCGCUGCCUCCGUCCAUGAGCACCUUUGUGAGGCGCGUCGUGCUGACGACGGGGUCGACAACGAGGGGGUAGCGUCCUGGCUGCAGGACACGCCCUGGGUGGUCGGACCGGUCGAAGGUGAUGGCGGUUCCUGAUCAGUCGAGGAAGGCUGGUGUGGCAGGUUCGGCCGCGUAGACUUCGCGGCGCUCCAACUUCUGGCAGCGCUUGGAGUCGUAUGCCGCCGGGCCACCGAAGAUCAUGAAGCAGCCGUCCACCUUGGGGAAGCCAUCUUCCUUCUCUUCGCCAUCCUUCUUCUCCUCGUUGGGCUUCCACCUCUGGUCUCCCUUUACCGGGUCGCCUACAAAGUACCUCUUCAUGAGGUUGCAGUCUUUGUAGGCAUGCUUCACGGGGAACUCGUGGUUCGGGCACGGUCCCUCAAGGAGCUUGUCGGAGAAGCCGGGGGUGCCUUCUGGGGGCGACUAUCCCCGUUUGCGCUCGACAGCAGCCAUGAGGGGUGGCUUGCGCCGCUGCUUGUUUUUCUUCUUUUGUUGACGGUUGGAGGUGCCUUCGUCGGCAUCCUCCUCCCGCUUUGCUUUGCCCUUGGAACGAUCGAAGAUUGCCUCGACAGCCUCUUCGCCCGAGGCGAAGCUGCUGGCGAUGUCGAGGAGCUCCUCCGUGGUGCGCGGGCCUCGACGCCCCAGCUCGUGGAUGAGGGGUCGGCAGGAGGUUCUUGGUAGAAAAGCCCCUAUGACAUCGGCGUCCGCGACGUUGGACAGCUCGGUGCGCUUCCGAGAGAAGCAUCUGAUGUAGUCCUGGAGGGACUCAUCUGACCCCUGGCGGCAGCUCCGGAGGUCCCAGGAAUUGCCAGGGCAUGCAUACAUGCCCUGGAAGUUUCCCACGAAUAUCUCCUUCAGGUCGUUCCAGCUGCGGAUCCGUCCCGAAGGGAUAUGUUCUAGCCAGGCUCGCGCUGAGUCGGCCAGAAAGAGCGGUAGAAUGCGGAUGAUGAACAGGUCAUCGUCCGCCCCACCGGCCUGGCAUGCAAGCCGGUCAUCGCUGAGCCAUAGUCCGGGGUUUGUGUCCCCCGAGUAUUUGGCCACAUUCGUUGGUUGCAUAAAGCGCGGUGGGAACGGCGCGUUCAGGAUGCGCGCGGAGAAGGCCCGGGGCCCCGCCGGGUCGGGGCUUGGGCUGCGGUCUUCCCCGCUGUCGUAGUGGCCACCGCGGUGGACAUGGUAGCCGCGAUCGGCCCCCUCCUCCCUGUCCGCGCGGGAGCGCCUCCGCGCGUCUAGGGUGUCGCGGGUGUCACGGAUGGGACCGACGCGCCGGUGAACGGACUGAGCCCCGCCUCCUGCAGGUGGUGGUGUCCGUCGAGCGGGCGCGGCCUGGUUCGCCCUAGGUGGAGGCUGAUAAACGGAUUCGCCCCGCCUCUCCGGGGGUACAGUGGGUGCUGCCCUGCUAUCGUUCUGCCCGCGUCACCGGGACGCGGAACUUUCCGCCUGCUGGACAGCGGUGCACUCGAGUAGGUUUUGCACCUCCUGGCGCGCCUGACUGUGACGGAACAACCUCGGAUUAACUUAACUAAAGCACGAUUAAGCCGCUUGACAUGCGACACUCAUGCCUUAAUCAAGUUAACUCGAUGUGCCGUCGGAUUUCAUCCGAUUUAACCACUUAACAGGACCGAGUUAGCAUGACCCACACGAAGGUGAGUGGUUCAAGAGAAUACAACAGAUCCACCAUUAGAUUAACAAGUGGUUACACACUUGGUUAUAAAUCAGAGUUCUACAAGUUCUGAAGAAAACAACAGACGAUAAAAACAAGCGGAAGCUACUCGUCGGGGUCGGACGUCCCUGGUGAGGCCAGCCAGGACAUCAGUGAUCCCAUUCCCCACCGUCCGAGGAAGGAUCCCACUCGACCGUCCAACCCGGAGGGAGUUAGGGCGGCCAAGAGCCAACAACAAGCUCAGAAGCUGCAACUUCACCUGAAAAGAGGAGCCACAAACAAGGCUGAGGUUCUAAGCUCAACAAGACUUAACCGCCCGGUGGGAAAAACUACUCCACCACUUCUAGACAUGCAAGGCUCUUUGGCUGAGGGGUUUGUUUGCCAAAAGCGACUAUGUUAGGUCCUUGCUUUCAAGUUUUAGCUCAAAUUCUAAGUUCAUUAACCAGUCUACAUUUGCAUCUUACUCUAAGCAAACAUAGAUCCAACUUUAUGUAUAUAAGCUACUCAUCAAGACCAUGUCAUCAUCAGACUCUUUCAUUACUCAGUGUAGCAUAGCGAUCAAGCAGUCUCAAACUGUGAGAGGCAGAUGAAUCGAUUCGAGUUCUUUAACCAUGCAUGGUGAACCUAACCUCACGACAUCCGCGCACCACCGAGGGUCGCUUCCUGUGUCGGCCUUCCCCAUCAAUUCCCUAACCCGUGUCGGGCCCACUCCCUUUGGUGCAAGGUUCCACAGACCCGGCCUCUGCCGUUCUGUGACCACACUUGCCACCACGUGCGGCUGCAGGGGAACUUCGUUCCAAGGACAGUGGGAUGACCGCUCACGUCUAGGUUCAAUCAGGUACUAGGCUUCCCCAUCCCAUACUGAGUAUGAGCUUAGUACUUUCAAACACUUGAUCACGAACACCACCACUGUCGGGUCUUAACAGAUUCCAUAGACAGACGGGGCGAUCAGCCGACCACCAAAAGAGUUAACCAAAACCCUGCCCCGUCCAUCGUCCUUAUAGUUGUAACAGAAGGGGAAAAACAACCAACUCCUAUAGCUCGCGAGUGACAGGGAAUCACUCGGCUUUUACCGAUUCCUAUUUAAGGAUAGCAACUACUCAGCCCAAUAAACUAGUGUUCAGAUCACAGGAACUACGCCCAACAAACGAGGCGUUGCAGAAAGGGUUGCAGAGGGGCUUCCGCUGCGAUUGGGGAGGAGGGCGUGGGAAUCCAUUCUGUCGCGGCCGACGACUAGGCGAAGCGGCGGGCGUCGGAGGGAUUAAGCCACGCGGCGGGGAAGCUCUGAAGCGGCGCAUGCUGCGCGGGUGCGUUUGCCUCGGAAGAUCCGGGGAAAAGAUUUGCGGGUCCACCGGUCAGUCUCGGUUGUUCCACAGCUCCAAGAUUGAAAGGAACACCGCCGUUUGAGAUUUAGAAAGAACCGGUGUUUCUGGUUGGGUUUCCAGGGGUGGGGACCGGAAACUGGAGGUUGAGCACUUAAGCUCAGGGGAGCUGAGUCAGCGGAAAUUAGGGACUCAGAUUAGGAUUAACUCGGCUGAUUAAACCAGGGUCGUUACAGCCUACCCCCCUUAAAAAGAAUCUCGUCCCGAGAUUUGGGUGUAAGGGUAACCAAUGGGGGUGUGCAGUCCUUACCUCCUUGGCUGGAAAGAAAACCUCGGAAAUAUUUGUUCAGAUACUCUUCUGUUUCCCAGGUUGCUUCUUCUUUUGUGUGGUGGUUCCAUAGUAUCUUGUACAUUUUUACUUUUUGCCGUCGGGUAUGUCUUUUCUUUUGGUCGAGGACCUUGGCUGGAUACUCAGUGUAACUUAGGUUGGACUCAAUUUUAAGCUGCUCCUGCUCCAAGACCUCAGUUGGGACUUGGACAAACUUCUUCAGUUGGGAUACAUGGAAAACAUCAUGUAUGGCCGAAAGCUGUUCUGGGAGUUGGAUCCGGUAAGCAACGGGUCCACAAAUUUCCACAAUCUCAUCAGGGCCAAUGUAACAGGGAGCCAAUUUUCCUUUUACUCCAAACCGUUGCACUCCUUUGGUCGGGGAGACUCGAAGAUAUACGUGAUCACCAAUAUCAAACUACAGGGGUCUCCUUCUCCUAUCGGAGUAGCUUUUCAGUCGGGAUUGGGUGGCCUUGAGAUUUGCUUGAAUUAUCUUCACUUGCUCUUUGGCUUCUACUACUAGAUCGGGACCAUAGGUUUGUCUUUCUCCAUCUUGUGACCAAUUCAAAGGUGUCCGACAUUUCCGACCAUAUAGGGCUUCAAAUGGUGCCAUCUUCAAACUAGUCUGGUAGCUGUUGUUGUAGGAAAACUCUGCUAAGGGUAAGCACUGAUCCCAAUUCUUAUCAUAAUGGAUGACACAAGCUCUCAACAUGUCUUCAAGGAUCUGAUUUACCCUUUCGGUUUGACCAUCGGUUUGAGGGUGAUAAGUAGAGCUACGAAUGAGCUUGGUGCCUAGUGAUGCUUGUAGCUGUUCCCAAAAACGCGCUACAAACUGAACACCCCGAUCAGAUAUGAUCGUCCUAGGCACACCGUGCAGAGAAACAAUGCGGUCAAGAUACAACUCCGCAUAUUUCCUGGUCAUGUAGGUGGUGUGAACCGGAAGAAAGUGGGCGGACUUGGUAAGGCGAUCUACAAUCACCCAGAUGGAGUCAUGUCGCUGCGAUGUAAGGGGCAAUCCAACAAUGAAGUCCAUACUGAUGUCUUCCCAUUUCCAAGAGGGAAUAGGUAGGGGCUGCAGGGUACCUGCUACCUUUAAAUGGCUGGCUUUGACACGUUGACAGGUGUCACAUUCUGAAACAUAUCGUGCAAUCUCUGGCUUCAUUCCACUCCACCAGAAGAUUUGACGGAGAUCAUGAUACAUCUUAUUGCUGCCAGGAUGGAUUGAGAACUUGGAGAGAUAAGCUUCAUCUAGGAUUUGCUUUCUCAGAUUGGGGUCAGAUGGUACAACAAGUCGAUUUCCAUAAUACACUCUCCCAUUCUCAUUCUGUCGGAAUUGCUUAUACCCUUCAUCCUUCAAUGAAAUCUUCCUUUUGAUCCGCCUUAUUUCCUCAUCCUCUAACUGUGCUAACCCAAUUUGGUCCUCUAACACAGACUCAAGGGAUAUAUGGUCGAGGGUUCCAUGGGAAACAAUUUCCAAACUGAGCUUUCCCAUCUCUUGGCACAGAGUCUCCGUGAAGUUGGUUGCCAUCAAGCAAUUGCAAUGAGUCCUGCGGCUAAGAGCAUCGGCCACCACGUUGGCCUUGCCGGGGUGAUAAUGCACUUUCAAAUCAUAAUCCUUUAUCAACUCCAACCAUCUUCUCUGGCGCAUGUUGAGGUCGGCCUGAGUGAAGAUAUACUUGAGGCUCUUGUGAUCGGUGUAGAUGUUACAGCGGGUGCCCAUCAAAUAGUGCCUCCAUAUCUUUAAGGCAUGAAUCACUGCUGCCAACUCAAGAUCAUGGGUCGGAUAGUUCAGCUCAUGAGGUCGUAACGCCCGUGAGGGAUAGGCAAUGACUCGGUUGUCUUGCAUAAGAACACACCCAAGUCCAGUGCCAGAGGCGUCAUAGUAUACGUCAAACGGCCUAGAAGGGUCGGGUUGAGCCAAAACCGGGGCUGAGGUUAGCAAGUGUUUCAAGGUGUUGAAGGCUUCUUCACACUUGUCGUUCCACACAAAUUUGGCUUCUUUCUUAGGCAGCUCAGUCAUCAGUUUAGCUAUCUUGGAGAAAUCCGGAAUGAAGCGCCGAUAGUAGCCUGCUAAUCCAAGAAAACUUCGGAUCUGGUGAACUGAAGUGGGUGGCUUUCAGUCCAUGAAUUCCUGUACCUUGCUGGGGUCAACUGCUAUGCCAUCCCGAGAGAUGGUGUGUCCCAAGAACUUGACAUUCUCUAACCAAAACUCACACUUGGAGAAUUUGGCAUAGAGCUGAUAAUCUCUCAACCGUUGAAGAACCACACGAAGAUGAUCGGCAUGUUCUUCUUCACUCUUGGAGUACACCAGAAUAUCAUCAGUGAACACCACCACGAACUUGUCCAGUUCGGGCAUGAACACCGAAUUCAUGAGAUACAUGAAAUAGGUGGGUGCAUUGGUGAGUCCAAAAGACAUAACUAGGUACUCGUAGAGUCCAUAUCUUGUGGAGAAAGCAGUUUUGGGAAUAUCACAGGGUCUGAUCUUGAUUUGGUGAUAACCGGAACGAAGAUCGAUCUUGGAGAACACUCUGGCUCCAGCUAAUUUAUCAAACAAGACAUCGAUGCGGGGAAGUGGAUACUUGUUCUUGACAGUCAACGCAUUGAGAGGUCGGUAGUCCACACACAUGCGUAGACUUUCAUCCUUCUUCUUCACAAACAAGGCUGGGCAACCCCAGGGUGAAGUACUAGGUCGGAUGAAGCCUUUCUCCAACAGAUCAUGAAACUGGGUUUUUAACUCGGCCAGCUCAGCGAGUGGCAUCCAAUAGGGUCUCUUGGAUAUCGGAGCGGUGUCAGGCUGCAGUUCAAUGGCGAACUCGAUAUCUCUGUCUGGCGGCAUGCCAGGUAAGUCAUCUGGAAACACAUCCGGGUACUCGCAGACAACAGGAAGGUUUUCUAUCCGGGCUUCUGAUAUAGGGUACGCGCAAGGAAUUGCGUACUCAGGGUGGGUCAAGGAUAGGGUAGAGCUGCCAUGAAAGGGUGAGUUGAUGUGGAGAGCUCGGGCAGCUGCAUCUAGGACCACUUGGUGUCGGGUCAUCCAAUUCAUCCCAAGGAUGAUAUCUAUUCCUUCUAGGUCAAGGAUGAUAAGAUUCUCCCUAAAAAGAGUUUGGUCUAGCUGGAUAGGUACAAGGGUAACUAUCUUGUCUGAGGCUAUCUUUCUUCCCAGAGUGGAGAUCACAUAUGAUCCUUUAGUGUGAUCGACACUCAGCUCACAUCUCUCUCUAGUCUUACUCCCGAUGAAGCUAUGGGAAGCUCCUGAAUCAAACAAAACCACAACAGUUUGAUUAAGGACAAGGAAGGUACCCAUCAUCACUGGCGCACCUUCGGGGAGCUCAGUCAAGCUGGUGUAGUUGAGCCGUCCUUGGCGAACUUGCACCUUAGGCCUUCUUCCUUUGUUCACCGUGGGGUUCUGGCCAGGCUGUUGAUUCUUGUUCCUAGGACAGUCCUUGGCAAAAUGCCCUUCAUUUCCGCAGGUGAAACAACGAUUGCUAUUCACAGGGCGCGCGGUGGUAAGGUCGGCCGGGGCGCCUGCGGUUGAAAACCAGGAAAACGAGGGGCCACUAGUGGUGGAGGGCGAGCAAUCCAUCAUCCCGAUUGUUGGGGCCUGUGGGGCAUCUGAGGGGGAACCAUCUUGAAUCUUCGAGCUGGCGGGCUCGGUAAUGCCACUGAGGCCUUUCUCUUCUGGUCAGCUUUAAGAGCCUGCAUGCAGUCCUCUUGAGAGAUGGCCAAAUUCACCAAUUCAUUGUAGGUAUCCACCUUGAUGGGGUUCAACCUCUCCUUGAGUUCCAGGCUCAAGCCUCUGCGGAACCUGUCCCUUUUCUUCUCGUCGGUAUCUGCAUGAUAGCCGGCAUAACGGCACAGGUCAUUGAAGGCUUGUGCAUAGUGUAAGAUGUCACGGCUUCCUUGGGUAAGGGCCAAGAACUCGUUGAGUUUGCAUUCUAGAAGACCUUCUGGAAUGUGAUGCCCUCUGAAAGCGGUCUUGAACUCGUUCCAGCUGACAGCAUGGUCGGCCAGCAACAUAGCAUGGUAGUGAUCCCACCAAAGCCGGGUGGAACCACGCAGCUGUUGAGCCGCGAACCGGGCUUUGUUCUGGUUGGGGCACGGGGCGGUGAGGAGUUCGAACUUGGAUUCAAUAGUACAAACCCAGGCAUCUGCAUCGAGCGGGUCUUCCAUCUUGUGGAAGGUCGGGGGCUGCGUGCUCAAGAAGUCCUCAUAACGAGCAACUUGAGGUUGUUGAUGAGCUCUCCCUCCAUGGGGCUGCUGUUGUUGUCCUUGUACAAUGUGCCUUAGCAGCUCAGUUUGAGCCGCUAGGAGGGCUUCCAGCGAGGGUGGGGGCGGAGGCGGAGGAAGAUCCUGCCUCUGCUCGCUACCGCUGGGCACAGAGCCAGAUCGGGUGCGGUGCGCCAUCUGCAAGAGCCAACGUUCCAUUAAUUCCAUAACCUCAGAAGUAUUCCAAUCAUGCGGGAACGUAUACUUUAAAUCCUCAAAAUGCGACUCUUGCCGAUAGUGCAACACAACAGCAUCUCUUAUUAAGGAGAUACACACUUCCUCCUGCCAUCUUAGUUAGCCACUAUCUUAGUUCUGCACACAACUUCGGGCGAACCAAACCGUAUCCCAUGGGCUCCACUAUAUCCGACCUUAGGCCAAGGGGUCGGGCUAAGCGAAACGGUGCAACCAGGGGUCGGGCAAGGCGGAGACCGGCUCGAGGAGUCGAGCGCAUCCGACCUUGCAACUCGGGGUCGGCCAAGCUUUGGACAGACCCACAGAAAAUGGGUGUGUGGUCACAACACAAAACUCACACAACUUGGCAUCCAAAGCGUGUCGCAAAAAGGGUCAAAAGUCAAGUCAAGAUCUGAUUUCACUAAGAUCAUUUCAUUGUUGUUCCCCAAAACAUAGGAGGAAUACUCAACUCAAGACUAACCUAUCACAUCACUAUCCAAAACUUAGGUUGCCGAGGAGUACAACAAAAGAUUAGAUUCCCACAGCUCUCAACCUAUGAGGGAAUGCUAUGAGUCGGAGAAGGGGCGUCGUCCUCUUCCAUGUCCAUACUGGACGCUCCUAUUACCUCCGCAGGGUCUUCUUGUUCGUCCAGUUGCAUCUCAAGGGCAUGCAUGGCAUCGAGCUUGGCGUGGUGCUCGUCCAAAUGAGCAUUAGCAACUGCGAGCUCCAUCUCAACUUCCAUCUUCUCUUCGGCAAGCUCGAUCAUGCCAUCCACCAGGUAUGUCACUUCUCCCUCGAGUUCGUAGAUCCUGGCUUGCAUGUCAUGGAUCUAUAUGCCUCUCUAGAUGAGCUGAUAUGAUCAUCCCACCAAGUCUCUCUUGGCGGCGUUGAAAUGCCCUUGGGUGUCUAUGGCUAUCCGAGCCAAGACAGCCAUCGCUCGGCCUUGAACCUCAAUCAGCUGAUACAAGGCUGACAUGCAUCUGGUGGUGGUAGAGAUGGUCACCAGUGAAUGGGAGGUUGCCAACACCUCCAUGUUGUUGACGCGAUCAAGCCACGUGGGGUCUAACCGAUCCCUGGUGGGAAACAAGCUGAUUGGGUCUAAGGUGACCUCAAGCGGGUGUAACCGACAUAACUGGGUGAGGAUCUGCAGAGCAGCCGACUCCCAGGUGUCCUCCAGAGCGUGUCCGCAAGUCAAGACUUCGAGCGGGGGCCACUCGGGCUGCACAGGGGGUGGAGGUACAACCAGCUGCACGUUGCAUCUCGGCACUCUGUGCUCCUGGUACAUUCGUCCCACGUACAGAGGUGGGGACUGGUACCCGAACCACCUCAAGGUAUCUCACAGAAUAGCAGGAAAACCCUCAAAGUGUAGGCACGUAGAGUGGGAAACGCCGUCAGCGCCGUACAACACGUGUCCGGGGGCAGCCAUCUGAACCAAGAACCAAAACAACGUGAGAUAGAGACUCUAAGAAGAAGAACAGGUCGGGCAGAAAAGGUACUCGGAUUUUCGACCAGAGCGCAAGCUGGAAAGGAAGCUAGAAAUCCUUAAAGCGAAGAAGAACUUUUCCAAGGCAAGGUUGUUCUAGGGAGGUGAUUUCACAGAUUUUUUUUUCAUGCCGCAUGCACUGCCUACCUCGUUCUCUCAACCAAAACAACUGCCAAAACCCUUGGUCUUACACGGUCAGUGCCAGUGGCAAGGCAACCAGUACGUCUCUCCCUAUAAUAGCUAGUCGGUUUCUAGUAGCGUCUCCUAAGCGAACACGGUUAGGAUACCUGCAGAAAACACAGCCACCUGAACCUUUCAUGCCAGCACCCACGAAAGCAUCCCCAAGCAUUACCGUUCACUAUAGAAAUGACACCCAUGCGUUUAAAGCUGCAUGGACAGCACAACAACCGUGGAAACAGGCCCCCUUUGAAUGGAACCGUAUAACCCUUCGCAUGCUCGUGAUGCGGAAUCAGCGCACGUAUAAUAGACGUGGGCGAACAACCGUGAUGAUAGGCUCGUUGGAAUCGAACCAUACCACCCUUUGUAUGAGUUAACAUACGGAACCUCUGCACACGUGUGAUAGACGUGGGCGAAACAACCGCGAUGAUAGGGUCCCUUGAAUAGAACUCCCUAUCAACCCUCGCAUACUCGUGAUGCGGAACUCGGCACACGUAUGAUACACGUGGCGAAGUGCUGGGGGUUAGCAAGAUAACCAAUAAGUAAUAGCCACCUGAAGCAACCCAAAAUCCCCUAGGUCCUCUCGUGCUAAAGUCAUCCUUAACAAUCAUACGAGAUUUUUCAACAUUUUUCUUGCAAAUUUUAUUCAGAAAGAACGUGUUUUAGGACCCAUCGUGUUCUCUGUCCUGCUAAACCAGCUCUGAUACCAGCUGUGGUGGAACCACCUCGGAUUAACUUAACUAAAGCACGGUUAAGCCGCUUGACAUGCGACACUCAUGCCUUAAUCAAGUUAACUCGAUGUGCCGUCGGAUUUCAUCCGAUUUAACCACUUAACAGGACUGAGUUAGCAUGACCCACACGAAGGUGAGUGGUUCCAGAGAAUACAACAGAUUCACCAUUAGAUUAACAAGUGGUUACACACUUGGUUAUAAAUCAGAGUUCUACAAGUUCUGAAAAAAACAACAGACGAUAAAACAAGCGGAAGCUACUCGUCGGGGUCGGACGUCUCUGGUGAGGCCAGCCAGGACAUCAGUGAUCCCAUUCCCCACCGUCCGAGGAAGGAUCCCACUCGACCGUCCAACCCGGAGGGAGUUGGGGCGGCCAAGAGCCAACAACAAGCUCAGAAGCUGCAACUUCACCUGAAAAGAGAAGCCACAAACAAGGCUGAGCUUCUAAGCCCAACAAGACUUAACCGCCCGGUGGGAAAAACUACUCCACCACUUCUAGACAUGCAAGGCUCUUUGGCUGAGGGAUUUGUUUGCCAAAAGCGACUAUGUUAGGUCCUUGCUUUCAAGUUUUAGCUCAAAUUCUAAGUUCAUUAACCAGUCUACAUUUGCAUCUUACUCUAAGCAAACAUAGAUCCAACUUUAUGUAUAUAAGCUACUCAUCAAGACCAUGUCAUCAUCAGACUCUUUCAUUACUCAGUGUAGCAUAGCAAUCAAGCAGUCUCAAACUGUGAGAGGCAGAUGAAUCGAUUCGAGUUCUUUAACCAUGCAUGGUGAACCUAACCUCACGACAUCCGCGCACCACCGAGGGUCGCUUCCUGUGUCGGCCUUCCCCAUCAAUUCCCUAACCCGUGUCAGGCCCACUCCCUUUGGUGCAAGGUUCCACAGACCCGGCCUCUGCCGUUCUGUGACCACACUUACCACCACGUGCGGCUGCAGGGGAACUUCGUUCCAAGGACAGUGGGACGACCGCUCACGUCUAGGUUCAAUCAGGUACUAGGCUUCCCCAUCCCAUACUGAGUAUGAGGUUAGUACUUUCAAACACUUGAUCACGAACACCACCACUGUCGGGUCUUAACAGAUUCCAUAGACAGACGGGGCGAUCAGCCGACCACCAAAAGAGUUAACCAAAACCCUGCCCCGUCCAUCGUCCUUAUAGUUGUAACAGAAGCGGAAAAACAACCAACUCCUAUAGCUCGCGAGUGACAGGGAAUCACUCGGCUUUUACCGAUUCCUAUUUAAGCAUAGCAACUACUUGGCCCAACAAACUAGUGUUCAGAUCACAAGAACUACGGCAUGCAUCUAUGGUUGCAAACAACUCCUAUACGUAAAUGCACAAACACGAGAAGGAAGGCAUGUGCAAGUUUAGAAAUUUAGGGUUCAUGCUCCGGGGCUUGCCUUCAAGCGGAGGGGAGGGAAACUGUUCUUCAGCUGGGGCGGCUUCGGCUUCUGGGAUUUGCAGCUCAGCUACAGCUCCGUCUUCGGGCGUCGGGUGUAGCUCGUAGACGCCGUCAGCAAGAUGUAACCCUACACGAAUGCAAUGCAGGAGUUAGUGUUUAGACGGCUAUUUCAACAACACUUGCCGUUUAAGCUCGAACACUUGUAGCAAGGCUACAGAAAAGGUGGGGAAGUUUGCUUUAGUUGGUGGAGAGCAAGAUAAAAGGGUCGGAUGGGAAUAGACUUGUGGUCUGACCCUUAAGCUUUAAGGGAUAACUGUGUUCAGGGUCCUCAGACUUGACACAGAGAAAUCCCGAUCUUUUACACAGAUACCCUCGGGUCAAGGAAACAGAUACAGUCGAGUCCUCGGGCGAGGCGGAAAAGGGUCGGCGGAACAGACAGGGUCGGGCGAGACGGAAAGAGAGGUCGGGCGAACCGGAAAGGGGUCGGCAGCUUACCUUCGGUUUAUAGGUGAAGCUUGGGGUCGGGAAGGAGCAGACUUGGGCGGAAGGACUUAAGCACUAAGGCUUGGGUGGCGGCGAUGUCCGGCGGUGCUCUAGCGGCGGCGGAGCUUCUUGUGGGCAACAAGGAAGCUCUAGCACAGCGCGGAGGGGCAGACGGCUGGGUGGACUGGGGAGAAGCGGACUUGAGCGGAGAGGGGAACUUCUCAAGAGUUUUUAGUGGGAUUGCUCAAGUGUGCUCCGAGUAGGGGCGGUGAAAUAGCGAAGGCGAAGGAACUUCGGUGGAACUCUGGCAUUCCCUUUUUAUAGCUGCGCGGGAGAGAGAGUGUUGGAGCAGCACGAAGACCAGAAGAAAAGGAUGGAGUGCGCUGCCAUGGCGGCGAUUGAGCGGCGUAGGCGCAGUUUUGCCGGGGUUGAGAUUUGGCGGAGGCGGGCGUCGUCGAGCGGCGGAUUUGAUUGGUGUGACAGGGAGAAAGGUGCUGCAAGCGAGGUUGCAACAGGCGAAGUGAUAGGGCGAACAGUGUCGUGGUCGAGCACGAAACAGCGGCAUUGCCGGAGCACGGCACUGGUGGGGCGAGAAUAAGGAGCUGUUGCUGCCGGAGUCGGGGUUGGCGAGGGAGGAAUCAUCGCGUAGCGAGUUCAUGGGCGGCACGACUGUGGAGAGGUGGCGGAAAAGUCGGAAGGCAUCGGGUCUUGCAGCCGAUGAUCCGACGAGAUGAUGGGCGCGAGCCGUGAGGCGGUCUGACGCAGCAGCGGCAAAGCUCUGCCAUGGCGGCGAUGGGGCACCAUGGCGCGGCCGGCGAGGGCGCGAGCGAGACGAGGCGUUGCAGAAAGGGUUGUAGAGGGGCUUCCGCUGCGAUUGGGGAGGAGGGCGUGGGAAUCCAUUCUGUCGCGGCCGACGACUAGGCGAAGCGGCGGGCGUCGGAGGGAUUAAGCCACGCGGCGGGGAAGCUCUGAAGCGGCACAUGCUGCGCGAGUGCGUUUGCCUCGGAAGAUCCGGGGAAAAGAUUUGCGGGUCCACCGGUCAGUCUCGGUUGUUCCACAUCUCCAAGAUUGAAAGGAACACCGCCGUUUGAGAUUUAGAAGGAACCGGUGUUUCUGGUUGGGUUUCCAGGGGUGGGGACCAGAAACUGGAGGUUGAGCACUUAAGCUCAAGGGAGCUGAGUCAGCGGAAAUUAGGGACUCGAAUUAGGAUUAAGUCAGCUGAUUAAACCUGGGUCGUUACACUGACGCUCCUCGGGCGUCACCGGCUCGGGGAGUCGUCGGAGUAGGGCCGCCGCAGCGGUGAUGUUCUGGUUGGCGCGGGUGAAGAGCUGAGGGCGCUCUUCGUCUGCACAGAUGCGCUGCUGGACGUCGCGCGCACGUUGUCGUGCCCCGCCUUCGUGGCGGGGGCACUCGACCUCUUGGCGGGGCGCCGCGCGCGCCUCCGGUUGUCGAGGUCGCACCGGGGCCUUGGCGAUCGCUCCGGUUGUAGCCGCGGCGCGCGGUGGGGGAGUCCUCUGCCUCCCCUCGGCGCCAUCAUCAUUGGACGCCUUGGAGUGCACGUCGAUCAUGAGGCACUCACGCGAGGGGGUGGUGGCUCCCACUGUUGGAGCCAGCGUUGGAAAUUGUCCUCACCACACCCACUAGCUCGUUGCUCGUAGGCGACGCGGUCAUGGACCACGCCAAGAGACGACCGUAGGUCGUCCCGGCAUUGCGCAGCCCGAAGAGACGCCCCUCUGAGGGAAGUCCUCUGGCGCGCGCCUGGCCGCUCGCCGUUAUCCCGGAGGCGGAGUCGGGAAUGGUGGGAUGAGCGGGCAAGACGAGGAGAGGGAUAAGCUCGAUCCCCUCCCCGAUGGCGAGGAAGUCCAGACUCCCGAAGCGGAUCAGAGAGCUCGGGGCGAAGCUGGCAUCGUGGCUGGCCAUAUCAAGUCGGUGUUGUAUGCGCAAAGGUCCCCUACCUGGCACGCCAAGCGCCAAGUGUCGUUGUCAAGAUUAGCGGGUCAAGACUUAGACUAGUAAAUUUCUUUUAUGCGCGUGAGGCUUGAGAUGGUGGCGUGAGAGACACGGGGUUUAUACUGGUUCGGGUAAAGGAAAUACCCUACGUCCAGUGUUAGGAGCUGCUCAUGUUGCCCACGCGGGGUUCUGUAGUAGGGGUUACAGAAGUGCGAGAGAGGGAACUGGUCCCAGGUCUCUUGGGUGUGCACUGAUGCUCUAGAAGGGUGUGUGCGUGUGUUCUGUUGGCUUGGAAGCAUUGUGGUGCCUUUUGUUGUCCUUCCAGCCCCCCUGUCUCAGGCCCCCGAUUCCCCUUUUAUAGCGUAAGGAGACCACCGGGGUUACAGGCGAGACCGAGUAUGGGGAGAACUAAAGAGAUAAACAUAGCUAGGUAAAAAUACAACACCAAAAGGGGGGAAACAAGUUCCCAGGUCACCGGCGUCCUCACCGGCCUUCGACUUCCGCCGGCGCAUUUGCCGGAGGAGGGUGGCCGCCAUCGCGUCCUGUCGAUGGCUUCCUCGGCGACUGUAGCCGCCGGGCGUGAUGAUGGCAUUUCGUCGUGACCCUCGUGUCCGUUGGGGGAGGCAGCGGAUCCCGCCAUCCUGCUAACGGCCCGCGGAAGGCGGCCAUCGCAUCCCUGCCGCCGGGCGCGCGGGGCACGAGAACGGGCGAGGCUCCCCCCUGCUUCGGGCGACGCAGGCCAUGAGUGCCCUGUGGUGAAUGGGUGGAGGCCGCAGCUACUGUAGCUUGUACAGUGCGGCCGCGCAUGGGUACUUGCAACAGGUUGCGUGAGGGGCGCGGGCAUCCUUCUUCCUGACAGACCUGCGACGCAUUUAUGGCGAGAUCGACAGGGGGACCCACGAGAUAUGCGCCCGAGGCGGAUACUCGUCUGGCGGGCCCGGGUCAGCCCGACCCCUUACACUUGGGGUCGGGCGAGGCGGAGCGUGAUUCUUGCCCCCCGUGUUGGGCCGGAGGCAGGCUUGUUACCUUAAGUGGGCCUGGGCAUUUACGUUUUGUUGUUUCCAUGGGCUUGGGGAAAUCGUUAAUAUUUCCCCCCAACACUAAUGUUAAUGUUAGCAUUAGUAUUGGGAUGUAACACCACCCGGUACUAAAGGUGCCCCUUUUUUCCCCUUUAGUACUGAGUGGCGUUAUGACCUGGUACUAAAAGGUCUAGAACUUUUUAGUACCGGGUCAUAACACCACUUGGUACUAAAGGGACACUUUUAGUAUCGGGUGGUGUUAUGACCCGGUAUGAAAGGCCCUCCACGCGUUACUUUAAAAGGAUAGAAUAUCUACCUUCAUCACAUGUGCUGUGUAGGUGGGAUGGUAAGGAAGCCUAUGAAGCUUGAGGUCGUGGGUUUGAAUCCCACAGACCGCACAUGACGCGAGACUUUAUUUUUUGACGCAAAACAAGUGUUACCAACCGGUACUAAAGGGAUCCCUUUAGUAUUGACGCAAUACUAAAGGCCACCCUUAGUACCGACACAGCAAUACCUGUUGUGCAACCGGUACUAAGGAGGGUUUGGAACCCAUACAGAAAGCGGAAUCCCCAGUAGUGAGUGAAGAAGCUAUCUCGGUGGGGGAGUGAAGGCACGUAGGCCUAUGAUCACGUAUGUUUGUUUGGGGUGGUUCCGAGUGAACGUGGAAGGUUUGUUUUUAUGAAGGCCGGGGUGUUUUGUUCCUUAAAAAUGGUUUUUAAAAGUGAAUUUUCACCCUUAAAAUAGGAGCGGAUGGAGCGAUUUUCAGGGACGGUUUAUAAGGAGCAUCGCUCCUAGAAAUUAAACCACCAAACUAGGAAUAAUCCUUUAACCAUCUGAUCCCCCUCUCUUAUCCUCUCCUCCACCCACACAUCCUCUCUUCUCUGUCACUUAUCCUCCCAUGCACUGAUCCUCAUGCAUUCCUCCUCUUUCCCCAUGUUUUCCUCCACUCCCACGUAAGAGCACACAAGGACGAGCGAUCACAGGCUGGAGGUUGGUGGGCGGGUGGGCUGCUCCGGCGUGGUGGCAGGUGCGGGCGUGCGGCGGCGCGCCUAGCUCAGGUGCCGGAGGUGUGGAAAGUACUUUUUUCUGCACUAAAAAUUCACAAUUUUUUUCUGCACUAAAAAUUCACAUAACCUUCAAAAGUAGUCUAGUUUGGUGAAUUUAGUUUUAAGGUUUAAGUGAUGCAUAUGUGUUUUCGUGCAAAAUGGGUUCAUCUGCAUCUGUUUUAUCACCACAAAAGUUUCAUGAAUUUUAUAGGUGAUUUGAAGGUCGUUUUGAUUAAAAGAAAAGAGGUUAGAUCAAAUCCACGGGUUACUGUGCGAGUUAACUGACAAACAGACAAAAGUGUCAAAUAAGAAGUUUAACUUAAUGUUUAAUAAGGAAGUUGAAAUUUUCAAUGUCAAAUUAUAAAGCUCCAUAUAUUUUAACGGUAUCAAAUAGUGAAUUUUCACUUCCACAAGAAGACUGAGAAAACCUAUAUGGGAUCAAGGCGAAGCCUUGAGAAUUGGGUUCCAAACAAACCGAGGCAGGUGGAACCGUUUUUUUUCCCACAAGGUGGAACUGGUUAAGUACUGCUAGGAGCAUAGCUAUUAGUCUAUUAGCAAGGACCGCACACAAUAGGCUUCGGCGAAAAACAUCAUUAAGGUGCUAGGACAGGAGGGAACCAAGAACCAAUUGUAAUCUCUUACCACAUUAGUGUUAUAAAGACUAUUGUGCUUGUGCCCCGAAAUAUUUUUAGCAUACAGUGGUUGCGAGGAUAUAAUAAUAGCGUAAAUUGUAAACUGAUGUUUGGUCCCCCAUGUGUAAACCAAAUUUUGAGGAGUAUAAAGAUAGAUCGGUUGAUCUUAAUUAUUUCAUUGAUGAUGCGUUUAUAUCUUGGAAUAUCAUAGUCACUUGCUGAUCAGAGUGUGCUGCAGUUGGCCGUCUGGAAGGAGAGCUGGCCCUUGCCGAUGUCGAAGAGGAGGUGCAUGUUCUGCUGCUGGAAGUUGCCGAUAAUGCUUAUAUCGAACGCUUCCAUGAUAGCCAUGCAGGCCGUCGACUUGUCUAUUGGCGCCCAGUAGUUCUCCGGAGGCAGGGCCAUGUCCGCGCCGCCGCUGAAGUGGAACACGAGCGUCGGCACAAAGCUGUCCAAGUCGCCCCGUGCCACACACAGCGCCAUCCCACCGCCAUCUCCCCCCGGAGGUGGCACGAGGCUGCCGUUCAGCUGCCGAGCAAGCUCGUCGGUUAGCGGCUUGUACGCGUCUUCGACGAGCGAGGUGAAGGGGCUGCCGGAGUCGAUGAUGACCCCGCCCGCCCAGAACCCCUGGUCAAGGCGCCGGAGAUCGAACACCGAGCUCUGGAUGGGCAGCUUGGUCUUGCCGACUGUGAUCCCCACCAGAGGGAGGUAGUAGAACAGGCUGUAGGGGUAGUCCUUGGGGUUCUCCGCGAACGGCAUGGACGUCACGGGGCCGCCGCCGCCGCUCAGGCUCGCCGCGGCGCCGACGAACAGGAGGCUCGACGCGCCGUUGUUGUGGAAGUAGGGCGUGAGGCAGUAGGAGAACUUGGUGGCGCCCGUCUGGGAGACAAGCGACAGGCGUCCGCGGCCGAGCCCGAUAAGGCCCGACGCGCCGCGGAGCGCCCCCUGCGUGAGCCGCGUGAAGCUCACGCACCCGAAGGCGAGCGUCGCCACGCCGGACUGGAACGCAAAGGCGUCGGUGCUGAGGAAGCCGAUGACGCUGCCGGCGCCGUAUAAGACCCGGAACGUGCAGCUGCCGUCCAGGGCGCAGAAGUGCACGCUGUUGGCCGCGCAAGCCCUGUCCCUGCACGGCACGGGCGCGAAGCUGCCGGAGGCCGAUGCGUUGAAGUAGGGCAGGUCCUGCCGCUCGCAUGACUUCCGGAGGCAUGCCGUGGACUGCGUCCAGAUGAGGUCGCUGCCGGUGUCGAUGAGUGCCUCCACGCGCUGCGGCGGGUCGCCGAUCAGGUACUCCGCGAUGUACUGCCGGGUGGCCCAGUGCACGGGCGCACUCACGCCGCCGCCGCCGCUUGCACGCAUGGAAGCCAGGCGCUGCUGGGUGACAGCGACGGCACGCUGCACGCGCUCCUCCGUGGUGUAGCUCCCCUUGGCGUCGACGUGGGUGAGCUUCAUGCGGAUUCCUGUGGCGCUAGCGGUGCCGCCGCUGCAUGUUAGGACAGCGCUGAGGCACAGGAGCCCGAGUAAUACCAAUGUCGUUGGCGCCAUUUUCGAUUUCAACUUUGUUCUUGCCGAGACUUAUUGUAGUUGUAGCCGUUUAAUACCAAUGUGCAUGUAUGUGCAUCAGUACAUGUGUAUACACACCAGUAGAGAAUUGGCUUUCCAUGCGCCCCCUUUUGUCCCGGUUUAAAGUUGGCCCGGGACAAAAGGUUCACCAACCGGGACUAAAACUCGGUCACUGGUGGGGGCCUCACCAACCAGGACCUUUUAUCCCGGUUGCAAAGGCUAGUGGGAAAAAAAGACUCUGAGAGGCCUUUUAUCCCGGUUNNNNNNNNNNNNNNNNNNNNNNNNNNNNNNNNNNNNNNNNNNNNNNNNNNNNNNNNNNNNNNNNNNNNNNNNNNNNNNNNNNNNNNNNNNNNNNNNNNNNGCAUAUCUCGCCCCCGUAUUGGGCCGGAGGCAGGCUUGUUACCUUAGGUGGGGCCUGGGCCUUUACGUUUUGUUAUUUCCAUGGGCUUGGGAAAAUCGUUAAUAUUUCCCCCCAACACUAAUGUUAAUGUUAGCAUUAGUAUUGGGAUGUAACACCACCCGGUACUAAAGGUGCCCCUUUUUUCCCCUUUAGUACUGAGUGGCGUUAUGACCUGGUACUAAAAGGUCUAGAACUUUUUAGUACCGGGUCAUAACACCACUUGGUACUAAAGGGACACUUUUAGUAUCUGGUGGUAUUAUGACCCAGUAUGAAAGGCCCUCCACACGUUACUUUAAAAGGAUAGAAUAUCUACCUCCAUCACAUGUGCUGUGUAGGUGGGAUGGUAAGGAAGCCUACGAAGCUUGAGGUCGUGGGUUUGAAUCCCACAGACCGCACGUGAUGCGAGACUUUAUUUUUUGAUGCAAAACAAGUGUUACCAACCGGUACUAAAGGGAUCCCUUUAGUAUUGACGCAAUACUAAAGGCCACCCUUAGUACCGACACAGCAAUACCUAUUGUGCAACCGGUACUAAGGGGGGUUUGGAACCCAUACUGAAAGCAGAAUCCCCAGUAGUGAGUGAAGAAGCUAUCUCGGUGGGGCUCGGGAUUUUUUUUUUUGCAGCGCCGGCCGUGGUGACCCGUUUUGUCCCGGUUGAUUUAUCCCGGAUGGAUUUUUAGGAUAUUUGCACCUUACCAACCGGGACUAAAGCCCAAUUUUCUACUAGUGACAGGAAGACAAUUCUGAUCUCCAGCUUGUGGGUGAGCAAUGGGUGGCCAUGCAAAAACGGCUGACUACACGUUGACUCUAGUUACUAUCAAAAUAAUUAUAUACUGCCAGAGCUUGAUGACGACAGGACAAUGCUGCCAAGGCUCAAGUGUACGAGGAAUAAUACGUAAUAAUCUGGGUCUUUCUCGAUUGAUUCUAAUUUCUAUUUUCUUCUCGCGAAGACUUUAUCCGUUGGACGGUGAUAGUUAGAAUGGAUCAAGAUUCCAUAUGGGCUAAUAAUUUUAAGAAACAUAGAAUUAUAAAAUAACAAGUAUAAAUUCAUAGCUACUAGAAAAAUAAUCUCUCAUCUCACACCUUAGUACCGACCACAUUUCAACUUGGUACUAAUGCUAACAUUAGUACCGGGUCCAAAUUUAGUAGCCCUGAAGGUCUUUUAGUACUGGAUCAUAACACUACCGGUACUAAUCGUGUGCUAUGACCCGGUACUAAAGCCACAAGGACUUUUAGUAUUGGGUCAUAACACCACUCGGUACUAAAAAAGUUACUUUAAAAGAAAAACAUCUCUUAGUCCAUCACAUGUGCUGUGGCGGUGAGAUGGUAAAUAUUUAACAUUAUUUAACCAUAAUUUAAAUCAUUUAAAAGGGUCAAAGUAUUCAUAAUAACAUUAGGAAACAUGAAAAUAUUCAUAAUAACAUUACAAAACAUGACACGCCAUAAGAUGUAGAGAGUAAAAAUGUAAAAUGAAAUCUAUAAAACAUAAUUAAGCAUAGAUAUUACAAUAACUUAGAUAGUAAAAUUUAAUAGUAGGAUCAUGGGCAUGCAUGAUCCCAUAGGAUCCUACAUCAAGGGUCAUGAUAGAACGGAACUAAGAUCAACAAUGGGAUCACAUGAGCAUGUUUCGGCUCGGCGCUUCAUAUAUUGUGUAAUAUUCGAUAUUUUCUUGAAUCUUUUUUAUCUUUAUUUUCACAACGAUGUUUACACUUUCGCAUUUAUGGGCAGUAAAUCUAUUUAUGUAUAAGCUAACCACACAUAGUAUGAAAUUUAUAUUUCACUAUCUGGUUGAAAAGGGAAAACAAUUGUAGCUACAAAAUUGAAUUUUUAAUGAAUACUCAUCUUCAGCACUAAAGCUUGAGUAACAAACUUUGUAGUUAUAGAAGUAAUCAUGAGCAUGAAGUAGUUAGACGUUGAAAAACUAUCAACCAGCCAUUUCCUAUUCGCUAAUCCUACAUUUAAAACUGGUCUAUGAAAUUAGUUGUCAACAUAAGAAUAAGAGAAAAAGGAAUUUAAGGACUUGCAUAACUUAUUUUUCAUCACAUAGACUUACUACUUAAUAGACAAUUUUUACAAAGUUAUUUUGUCAAAGAAAAUGAUCAGCUCCCUAACUCCCAACAACCUAGUGAAUCGUGGCUGCACCUACAUGAUUCAUAUUGAAGUUUUAGGAUACCUGUUGCACAUGUUGCAUUUGCAUGAAAGAGAACGGCACUUGAUAAGAUUUGUGGGAAUUAGAUGUAGUUGAUCAGUUACUAUCACUUUCGUAAUCAUUAUUAUCAUGCUAAUACUCCUAAGACAAAAUGUUCUACCUUUCCAACAGAAGAACGCGAGAUAAUUCUCUUAUUUUAUGAGCAACUUAGAAAUGUAAUUACCAAUAACUCAUUCAUGUAUUUAAGAAUCAUUAUGCAGUAUCCUUGAUAUGCAAGAUUUUUCUUGCUAAAGGAAUAUAAUAUUAACCAUUUCCUUUUAUUUCAUUGAUGGUUUAAAUGAUUUUAAUGAAAUGCAAUGGAGUUUCUGUUCCGUUAAAAUCUGCUGCAAAAUACCACAAAAAUCAAAUCCUGGAGAGAAAAAAAAAAUGAUUCCAUGUAUAGGGUAGCCGAAGGGGUUUCGUUACAUAUUUUCUGCUAAAUUGAUACUAAUGCUGGUCCGACCUCAAAAAACUUUUCAACAUUUUGACAUCUCUGAACUCUGAACUUUACACCUUGUUGAAGCCGUUACAAACAGCGGUGGACGCAACGCAGAGCACACGUCAAAGACUUUUCCCAGAUACCAAAUGAUAAGAAAAGCAUUGGUUCUUUUUCUGCAACGUCGGCCAGUCGGUGACCCGGUGCGGCAGCUCACGUCAGAUGUGCCGGCCUGACGCCUGCCUGAUCAUGUUGUUCGGUUCAGAAUUCCUUCAUCUUUAUCAAACCCCCUCCCUAAUCUCUUUCUUCUUGAGCAAUAAGCAGUGCACGUGGUGCGGAACGGGUUCUCACGUGGGGGAGGAUCCGGGUCUUUGCUUGAUCUGACGGGAAAAAGAAAUUGGUUUGCAAGUGAUGGUUGGCCCUUCACAUUCUCUCGAGCUUCCUGUGAUGUUCUUGUUCUCACUCCCGUCAGUUGGCUUGUUUUUUUCGAUACACAGUUUGCCGAAGCAUAUUGAAAAAAUUACCCCGUCUGCUUUUUUUUUUUGAGACUGAAUCAUUCCUCAAACCUGGGCCGGAGCCCAGAAGCAAUGUACGCUUCAGACCAUCAGAGUGGGCCCCGCUGCUAGAUUUCGGCAGUGACUGAAGUGGCCCACGAAACCAAUGAUGUAAGGCCCAAGAAGUUUUCUGUUGAAGGGAAUCAUACUCACUAGUGGCUAGUCACGGUGCUGCUACCUGCACGUGUGCAAACUGGUAAGUUUGACGGACUCAAUGUCUUCGCAGCAACAGCGGUCAAGCUAUGAAGUUAAGAUAAGCCGUGACAGUGGCGGAUAAGAGGAUGUGUAUGCGACGAAGCUGCAAAAACUGUUCUUAAACCCCCCGUGAGAGCAACUCCCAUAGAUUGAUUUCUUCCUUUCCCUUUCCUUUCCCUUUUAUCUCCAUAUAAGAGAAUUACCUUUGAAAGUUCCAAAGUACUAGGUAGAUUUGCUGCAGCAAAUCUCAUUUCCCCUUUUCCCUUUCCAACUUCUCUUACACAUGGAACCCACAUGUCAUUGACAUUAUAAAUUUUUUUCUUUUUUUUCUUCUUCUUACUUACCUUCUCCUUUCUUCCCUCUUGCGCCCUUCCUUCUCGCUUGCCGCAAGUGGCGAGCGCAAGAUGGCGGCCUGGGCAGAGCCGGCGUGUGGCGCGCCGUGGCGACCAGGGCAGGGUGUGCGGGCCGGCCCGCAAGGGUGCGCGAGCACUGGGCACCCAAAGCGGCCCUCCGAUUAGCCGCUAGCGCGCGGGUGAAGUCUAGGGCACCGGGUAGGAGGUAGUGGGCGGCGCGCCGUGCGGUGCCCGCAGGCGAGCGCCAACAGCGGUGCCAAAGCAGGCCCACCAACGAGCUCACAGGCAGGCAAGCGAGUGGCACGCGGGGCGUGCAUGGCGACAACAUCGGGCGGCCAGGGAUGCUUCGUGGCCUUGAGAUCGUGUGGCAAAGAGAAGAGGAAGGAAAGUGAGGAGGAGCAAUCCUCUUCGAAAAGGGAAGAGGGAGGAAGAUAAAGAGGAUUGAGAAAAAAGAAAGGGGAAUAUAAGGGGAUAUGUUGGAGCACGUUUCUUUUACCUCUCAAUCCCCUAUGGCUGAAAAAUAAAACGGAACUAGCGCCCGGACGUCCGUUCCGGGUGCAAAAAUCGGACGCACUCUCCACCGUCGAAUUCAAUACGUGUCAACCGUCAGAUGAAACACAGGGAGAUCGGGACAAGUCCGCACCAACCACAGAAAAAACGUACCCUGGCGUCAACUCCUUCAUGCGGGUCGGGAUAGGAGCGAAGCUCCCAGCUUCGCGCCGCCGUCCAGAUCCACCGGCGACGAGUGAAGAUGGCGCAUAUCCUUCAAAAAAUAGAACUCCCCCCUCCAAAUCAACCACAUGGCGGCCACCCGCCCCCCAUUGUUGCUUGGAACCCCUCAGAUCUACAGAUAAUUGACCUCAACACGCUACCAGGUAUGCCGCCCCCCAUUGUUGCUCGGAAUCCCUAAAUGUUGCAUUGAAUUCUUCGAGCAAGCGUGAUAAUUCACUUCAACACCCACCCCCAGGUCUUUCGAGCAGCAUCCAUGGGGGAUUGGCAUCCCAAUCGAGUCACCAGAAAUGGCAGGUAUGAUUUCGUUUGAAACACUAGAUGUGACAGAAAUCUUAUACAGUUUUGCAACAUCUAAUGAUAACAUGUGGCACAUUGAAAAACAGUUAUUGUAACAUCUCAAAAUGCUCAUGGGUUAACUGAAUGUUACAUAUAAGUGUUGCAACAUCUAAUGAUAGCAUGUGGCACAUUGAAAAACAGUUAUUGUAACAUCUCAAAAUGCUCAUGGGUUAACUGAAUGUUACAUAUAAGUGUUGCAACAUCUAAUGAUAGCAUGUGCCACAUUGAAAAUCAGUUAUUGAAACAUCAAAAAUUGUAUGUGCUAACUGAAUGUUGCAUCUUACUUCGAUGUACAGUUUUUGCAACAUCUGAACAUUGAUUUCGCUAGUAACACUAACUGCAACAUUUAUUUGCAGGUGAUGGAGCAUUGGUUCCUGUUGCGAGCAUAUCAACACACUCAAAUGAAUAUGUUUCAGUACAAGUUGGUGCAAAUGAAGAGGUCUACCAUGAGGAUGAAGACGUCGUAUGCUCACAGCCUAUUGUGCCGAAAGUUGGGAUGGAAUUUGACACGAUACAAGAAGCAAGGUGGGUUUACAAUGAGUAUGCCAUGAAGUUGGGUUUCAGCAUAAGAGUGCCUUCUUCAAGAAAUAGCAACGUCACAAAGGAGCUGAUCAGAAAGGAGUGGGAGUGUUCUCAUGCUAGGAAGCCAGCUCUUGAUGGAGAAGAUGAUGGAAAGGAAAACACAUCAGCGAGCACAUCAACAAAUGACACUGCAACACAGUGGGAUCGAAAAAAAGAGCAGCAACAGCUGUGCUUACCACGGCAACAAGGAAGCGCAACACUAUCAAAAAGUUGGACUGCAAAGUUCAUAUGAUGGUUGGCUUGAGAAAUUCGAGGUGGAGAGUGAUUGUAAUGCAACCUGACCAUACUCAUCCCAUGGUGUGAAGGCGAUUGGGGUUAGGAAACACUUGAGGUCCCACCGAAGCAUCUCGUGAGCUGAUUAUGAGCUGCUGAAAACACUACACCAUAGAAAUAUUAGCACAACACAGAUCAUGGGGGUGCUUGCUGAUUUCCAUGGGGGGCUUGGCAACCUUACUUUCAGCAGCAAGGAUGUUUCAAACAUGAGGACACACUUGAGAGGAGGUCUCACCUACAGGGAUAUGGAUGCAACAUUAGAGUAUUUUCAAAAGCAACAAGCUGAAAGUCCUUCCUUCUAUUAUGCAACAAUGAUAGAUGAUAAUAAUGUUGUUAGAGGAUUGUUUUGGGUAGAUGGGAGGACUAGAGAGCUGUACAAGAGUUUUGGAGAUUGCAUUUUCUUUGACACAACAUAUUGCACCAACAGAUAUGACAUGCCAUUUGCACCAAUUGUUGGGAUAAAUAACCAUUUGCAUAGCAUACUGCUUGGAUGUGCAAUGUUGCCAGAUGAAACAAUGGAAACAUUUGUUUGGGUGCUAGAAAGGUUGAAGGGAGCGAUGGGUGGGCGUGAACCAACCAACAUAAUGACAGAUCAGGAUAAAGCAAUGAAAGCAGCAAUAGCAUUAGUGUUCCCUAACGCAACACACAGAUGUUGCAAAUGGCAUGUCCUGAGCAAGGCUAAUGAUAAGCUUGCUUGGCUUAUUAGUGAGGAAGAAGACUUUGCAAAGGAGUUUGACUACUGUGUGAACAAGACUGAAACACCAGAAGAAUUCGAGAUGUUGUGGGCAAGCAUAGAGGACAAAUACCACUUGCAGGAAAAUGAAUUGUUUCAAAGUAUGUCUAGUACAAGGAGGAUGUGGGCACUUGCGUACUUCAGAAAGUACUUCUUCCCCUUCACAAGCACAACAGGAAGAUCGGAAAGCAUGAAUUCAUUGUUAAGAAAGUUGUUCACCCUCAGGACUCAAUGUUGCAAUUUAUAACACAAUAUGAUUACAUCAUGGACACCAGGGCAGAAAGAGAAAAUAAGGAGCGUUGCAAGGGAGAGAUUUCAGAUCCACCACUAUGGGGAAGGUAUGCUUUUGAGAAGCAAGCUGCUGCAUUCUACACCGGUGAAGUCUUUGGUAAAUUUCAAGAGUUGUUGCGUGAUUCUACAAGAUACAAGGUAGGGGCUGUUGAAAGUGAUGACCAGGGUUGGUCCAUUCAAAUUGUGCACCCAAAUUCAACUAGAGUCCACAUGUUCACCAUUGAUAAAUAUGCAACAUCAUAUACAUGCUCUUGCAACAUGUUUGACCGUGAUGGCCUCUUGUGUCCUCAAAUACUAAAAGUAUUCACAAACAGGGAUGUCGAAAAAAUUCCAGAGAAGUAUCUACUUAGAAGAUGGUCAAAGGAAGUGACUAUAAUGAUACUGGAACGCCUCUUGGGUACAGAACCAGCAUUUGGUGUCCCAACCACAAACAAGCUAAGGUACAAUGCAUUAUGCAGAAAAAUGACGUCACUAGCAGCUGAAGCUUGUUUGGGUCCUGAAAAGUACAUUGUAGCUUCAGCUGGGAUAGAUACAUUGGUACAAGCAGUCAGGACAGCAAGGGGGUCACAAGAAAUGCAACAAGAUGAAGCGUCCAAUGUUGCAACAGGUCAACAGUCCAAAACUCUUGCUGUCAUGGUAAAGAAUCCAACAAGAACAAAAAGUAAAGGGAGACCAAAGGAGAAGGUGGAAAGGUUCAAAUAAGUAGUGGCACAAGCUAAGGAAAAAGCAAUGAAAAAGAAGGCAAAAGGAAAGAAGACAGCCCAAAAAAUCCCACCAUGCUCAUAUUGCUUUGAAGAUGGUCAUAGUGUACAGACUUGCGCGUACAUGGCCAAGGCGGAGGCACUUGCAAAGGAUCUCAAAGAAACAGAGGUGAAGCUCUGAAUUUUUAAUUAUUCUUUUAUUAGAAUGAGCUGAAACACGUAUUAGAAAGUACUGCAACAUUUCAUUUUAUGAACUGCAACAUUAUGUCUCAUUUAUACUAAAUUUUUUUUUGUGAUGCUGUUGUUAUGCCCAUGUAUGAGAUUGAGCCUUGUGGUAUUGAUAUUAGACCAUGAGCUGGAGAUGAAUUAAACUGCAUGUUGUGUGGCAUAAAAAAAAAGAUGUGAUGUAUCAUUGCGACAGUUGAUGUUGCAAGUUCAGUAGUUCGGUGUUUCAAAUGUUAUGAACGCUUGUUGCAAAAUAGAAAUGGCGCGACAACAUUAUUGCAACAUGGUUCAGUAGAGUUUGCAACAUUAAAAUUAUAGUACAGCAACAUACUACUUUAAUGAUGUUUCAUCAGUUAUCCAUGAAUGUUGCAAACAAGAAACUAAAAGCCAACAUUUCUGCAACAUAGUAAAGCAGAAUUCGCAACAUAUAAAGUGCACUACGGCAACAUAUAAAAAAACUAAGCUGUGGUAAAAUAAUUGGUAUCCCACAAUCCUGAAUACUCCAUACAUCCACAUUUCUAAGAUGAUUGUUAGCUAUAUACAGAGACCUAAACUCCUAUAUUGCACAAUGAAACAUGAUGUCACUACUUCUGGUUGCAAUACUUUUCAACAAACUCGCUUGUCAGGAUAUCAUUUCUUGGAGAAAGUAGGAGAAUGCCUGCAGCCAAUUUCCUAUAGUUUGCAAUCAUGUGCUAAAAUAGGGAAAAAGAAAACAGAAUUAGGUAACAAAAAAAUUGCAGAAGUAACAUCAUGUAUUGGGGUAAAAGAAUUAGGUAGCCACAUUGCAAUAAGACAUACUGGCUCAAAUGUGGUGUCCAUCUUCUUCCCAUUCCAAGACUCCAUAUAUAGAAUUGUGUAUAACCCACAAUCAUGCCUAAAAAACAAAAAGAAUUGGGUUAUCAAAAGAAACAUGGUGAGAAAAGAUGAAAAAACUGCAUGAAUAAUUCUUUAUGUAAGCACAUGAAUGAUGAAAAACUUACAAAGAUUUUUGAUGCGGGUAGUCCGUGGGAUAUUUCCAAUCAAACAGAGAGAUGUCUUUGUUUAGCACCCCAGCUUGUAUACAUGCUUUUGAAAAAUUGGUGACCUAAAAAUAGAACCAAAUGGUACGUUAUAUACUAUUGAAACAUUUCAAAUCAGCAGCUGCCACAAUGAUAAUUAACUAUUGAAAUAUUGCAAAAUUAAAAGGUUAAUUGUCUGUUACAAUCUACAACCUCUAUAGUUCUGCAACAUCACAAAUCAUCAGGUGCAACAUUGAUUUUCAAUUAUUGACACACCAUAAGAUGAAAAAGCAUCAAGUAACAGAGGCUAUUAAUAACAAAAAAAAAGAGGUGCAAGUUUGAGAGUACUGACCACAUUCUUGGCAGAAACAAAACAUUUCGUAUCAUGAGAUCCCCCAAGAGAAUUGAACCAGCAAAUUUCCUUUAGAAACAUGUUGACACUAACAACUACCCAAUGCCCUUCUUCAACAAUAGGGAAAAAAAACUAAAAAAAAGUAGAUAAGAAAAAAAAAGAAUGGGAAAUGAAAGGCAACUUAAUUGUGCAACACAGUACCAGAUCCAUUUUUGAGAGAUCCCAAGACUUGUUCAACUUUGUCAAAGCCGUGUUGCAGCUGUCUUGUAUGAAAUUAUCAGGUUCAAUUUUUAGCUUGUCCUUGAAAAAAAGUUAGAAACUAUAAAAAUGAAUGCAGGGGCACAUAUGAUGGUAAUAAAAAAUUGCAAAACAGAAUUCAAAUCUUACAGUAAGAAUAGUAGAUAAAGCAAAUUUCUUAACGAUGUUAUUGUCCUUCUCACGCAAUUCAACUUCUUCAAUGUUGAAUUCAUAGGACCAUAAAGCCAUCACGUGGUUAUUAAUUUCCCCCCUUUGCUUGAAGGAUCCAUAGAAUUCAUCAUAAGUAACAUGGAAGCCGUCAAUUCGAACAAAUGGUGGGGCUGGGAUAAAAAAAACUAAAUUAGAAUUUGAAACAUCUAACUAGACCUACUGAAACAUGUGAAACAUAUAGAAGGAAUAUUGGGGGAAAAAUUGAACUGCUGUAACAUGAGUACUACAUAUUUGAAACAUCUAACUAGACCUACUGAAACAUGUGAAACAUACAUAAGGAACAUUGGGAAAAAAAUUGAACUGCUGUAACAUGAGUACUACAUAUUUGAAACAUCUAACUGGACCUACUGAAACAUGUGAAACAUACAUAAGGAACAUUGAGAAAAAAAUUGAACUGCUGUAACAUGAGUACUACAUACUUGAAACAUCUAACUGGACCUACUGAAACAUGUGAAACAUACAUAAGGAACAUUGAGAAAGACAUAAAGAGUUGCUCACGGUUGUUCUUGUUCAUCAUUAUUCGCAUUUGGAUUGAUUGGCACUUUCUUCAUUAUCCUCUUGCUGAGAUACUUGUUAUAUGCAGUAACAAUUUCAUCAUCUAACUUAAUUCUCUUCAAUUUCUUUCCUUGGUUCAGAUGGAUGGCAGCCCUCUUCCUCCUAUUUUUCUUGUCAAAUGUACUUGACCCAGGCUUGUUAACAAUAGUCUCAUCAAUGGUGAGAUCAGCUGCAAACACAAGAAUAACAAAAUACUCAAAUACGUGUAAGAAAAGAGUAUUGAAAAUGGAGACAAAAAAAGGUAAAAAAAAAGUCACCCAAAGUAGAUGCUGCUGCCGCUGGGGUCAAACAAUCUGUUUCAAUUCCUUGGCUGGACAAGAGAUCAAAUGAAGGGAUGUCAUCAAGAUAACUUGAAUCGUUGCUUCUCUUGUCAAUAGGUGAACCAGCAGCACUGGUGGGGGCUCCUAAAGUGCUAGUUGAUGCAUCUGUUGUGGCAGCAGCAUUGGAAGUUUGCCCAUUUGAACCACCACACAUGGAAGGAGCUGCUGCAUCAACAUUAGAGGUGGAAACCCCUGCUUCAACACCAUCAUUCCUCGCCAUGUUAGCUAGAUCUGCCAUCUUGCCCAACAUUUCAAUGUGAUGCCUCCUCCAAAUAGCCAUGACCUUAUCUUUAAUUUGUGCACUGAUGGUUGUAGAGAUAGCAUCGGCAAGUUGGAGAACAUCUUGCUCCACAAGUUUAGAGUAAUGAGAAGCAACAUUCUGAUACUCAAGAGGGAUCUAUUAUAUAGAAUUAUAAAAUAAAUAAAAGAGUAUUAGCAAGAAGUGUAUUGGGACAUUGCAACAUGAUGGGAUGAAACUAAAAAUAUGAAAAACACACAUGCAACACCAUAAGAAUGUGUACUGAAACAUUGGUGAAAACAAGCUGAAACAUAUUAUAUUUUGUGAAACAGAUGUAUUUUUCUACAACACCUAUUUGUUGAUUCUGAAAGGUUAAAGAACUACUACAACAACACAAAUUUAAAUGAAACCAAACUAUGGGUCCAGAAUUCAUGUUAAUCAUAUUGAAGGAGACAUAAGUUUAUUGCAACACUUAUAUUGUAUUGUUGCAACAUUAAAGAUAUACUACAACAACAUUAAAAGUGUUUGCGCAUAGAAUGAAUUGCAACACAGAGUAUAAUAAGAUGACACAAUCAGAAACUGAAAAUGUAACAUAUUUUUUCACCUGAUGAAGAAGAUUGUUACUGGAUGGUAGUUGAUGCAGCCAUUCAUCUAAAGAGCUGACAGCAGGGAUUUCCUCAGUGGCAGCUGGGUCAGGGACUUCCUCAGUGGCAGCAGGAGCAGAAAUUCCAACAGCAGGAGCAGGGUGUUCUUGUACAAUUGGGGCAGCACCAUAAGGAGUACGGGAGAAGUCGCAAAACUGAUCAUGAAAAGAAGCAUGAAAAUUUUUAAGAAGGCAAAAAGCAAUGAAAAAGAAGGAAAAAAGAAUGAAGAAAAGAUUAUGAAAAGAACAUACAAGGAGUUUUCCAAAUGUAUUGCCCAAUGCCAGCCGGUUUUUAUCAACUGCCAAGACAAAAUCAAAGUCUAUGUUUGAAACAUUGCAAAUACUAGGCAGGUUGUAAUUCAAUUGAUGGCCUCCUCGAUCAGUUUGCAAAUCAAGAUGGUCCAUGUAAGCAAUAUGAAAUUUGAUAAGAUGGUCCUUGUAAGAGAGAAUAUAAGAAUAUGAUCAUAGAAUUAUUAAAUGGGCAGGAAAAAAGAACUUAAAAUGCUGAAAGAAAGGCAUUAAAUAACCAUACCGCUAGAAUAAUUAGACAAGAUCCCAUCUGGUGGUCUUUGUCAAGCCUAUCAGGAGUAAAUUUAUGGUACUUCUUCACUUCAUUCAUCAGCUCAUCCAACACAUGCCCCGCCCAACCAAAGGUGCUGAUUUCAGAAAUAUCAACUAGACUAUGAAGAUGUUUGAGGCUGACAUAGUUGCCUGUUCAUGGAGUGUAGAUAGUCCCUAGAGCCAACAGAGAAAAAGCCCUCACAAAGGAAUCCCUGUCCUUGCUAGAUUGCACAAUCUCUUUACACUUUGCAAUUUUAGCUCUAUCACCAUCCUUGUAGACUUCCCGAAGUUUCUUGACAUCUUCCGAGUCACCAGAUAACCUCAAAGGAAUGAUGCCAUUUUGAAGCCCAAGAAUUUUGCAAACAAGGUCACGGUUGAAUACAAUGACCUUGUUCCUGUAUCUAAACUCCCGGAGCAAAGGGUCCACAUGUUUAAGCAUCCAUUUAACAAGCUUCACUGGCAAUGAAAACUCAGCCAACGUCAACAGAGCACCAAAGCCAGCUUCAUUGAUCCACUGCUUUUGAUGAUCCUCAAGAUUAGGAAGUAGGUCGCGAAUUCUAUGAACUGAGAAUCUAGUCUUGAAGUGUUCCUCCUCUUUUCUUAACUGCACCUUAACUGCUAACAAUAAAUAAAACAAAGUAUCAGCCGUAGAAUGAAAAAUAAGAUGAAAAAAAGACAGCAAGUAAAUGAUAAAAAUGUAUAAUUGAAUGGUACAUGAAAAUUUAAUGUUUCAGAAUUUAAAAAUUCUUUGAAACAUCCCUAUUCAGCAAGUGCCACAUUGAUAUUAAAUUAGUGAAAAAAUUCAAAAUGAAUAUGUUAACUGAUUGAUACAACAUAUAACAUGUACAAAUAUGCAACAUUUCAAAAAACCAGGUGCAACAUUGAUAAAUAAUUAAUGAAACAUCUCAGAAUUAAAAAAGGUGAACUCAAUGUUAUACUCUAAACUUUUGCAACAUCUCAAAAAGCAGGUGCAACAUUGAUAACUAAUUAAUGAAACACAUCAGAAUUAAAAAGGUGAACUGAAUGUUAUAUCCUAAACAUCCUGUAAACUAUUGCAACAUCAAAGUAAAGCAGGUGCAACAUUGAUAAAUAAUUAAUGAAACAACUGAAAAUUAAAAAGAUGAACUGAAUGUUAACCUCUAAGCAUCAUCCAUACUAUUGCAACAUAUCAAAAAAUCUGUAGCAACAUUGAUAAGUAAUUGAUGAACAUCUCAAAAUAAAAUGGUAACAUGAAUGUUAUCAUCUAAAACUUUUGCAACAUCUCAACUGAAAAAAUAGCGUUGACAUGUAACCCUAACACAAGAUAUGCUAGUUCAAAAAUCCUAGAAACACUAGACGGAUGAACCCUAAAACACUAAAUGAAAUCAAAUCCGAACCAAAAUCCACACAAAAACAACGGAACGGAAUUAAAACACUCACUCAUGCGGUUGUUAUCGUUGUCCUGAAGAGCAUUGGGGGAAGGAUUUGCUUCACGCAGAUCUGGCGGAGCAGCAGCGGGUCCAAACCAAGGGAAGACGAGAGCUGCCGGCGUGAGCGCGUGCGGGAGGAAACGCCAACAUCGAUGCUUGGCUCGCCGCAAUUUACCUCCGGGGGCGGACUUCGAAGCGGGCGCGGCGACCGCAUUGCCGGCACGGAGGGCCUGGACGGACUUCGAACAGGGCGCGGCGACCGCGUUCCCGGCGAGGCGGAUGAAGACCUGGUGAUCCUUCCCACCGAAGGCGAAGAAGGGAGCGCCGGCGAGAUGGAAGAGGACUUGGGUGUCCCUCCGACCGGACGCGGCGACCGCAUCGCCGGAGCAACAACGGUAAAGGAAUGGAAUAGGGAAGGAGGAAAUGCGGCGGUUGCCGGUUGGAAAAGGGGAGCCGUCGGAUGUAGCGAACGGUGGAUGACGCGUCCGAAAAGGUGGAUGGGCGUCCGGACGCGCUGAUGAUAGCAUUUCCGAAAAUAAAAAUAGGAAAGGAGAUUUGUUGAUGUUGCUCUAAAAGUUCAGUCAGUCGAGCAACCAAAGUUCCAAAUAAACAAACUCAAAGUUCAUAGUUCUCAGUUUCUCACACCACCACCCGGCAGAACCAAGCAGAUAAAAAGGCCUGGCUAUCAGGGCUAGCUGCGUGCUCCGGCCCGUCGGCCCCUCCUGAUCAGUACCCCUACUGAACCUUCUUUGACAUGUGAAAUGCACGCAUGUCCUUCGUUCAUAAGCUGCAGAAAGAGCUACUCUGUAGCGAGUGAUUGAAUCUGCAUCGAGCAAAGACAAGCCAUGCAAAGCUGCCUUUGGUUAUCUGCCGUCGAGAGAGUGAUCCCGAGACGUGUCUGCAGGGAAGAGAAUGAAGGACGAUCAUGUACGUGUGGAGUCAAAGGCUUGGCUGGGCGGGUCGACCAUGCCAUGCAUGUCCAUCGCCACCGCAGCGCUCUGCCGCUCCUCAACGGUGCACACUGCACAGGCUCGCACGAAGUACAGGCAUCUCCUCAAAACAGAGUAUAGCACGAGUAUAAAAAGUUAUGGAACGGCAUCGAUUGAUGCUUGUGUACGAGUAUUUGUUGGAGAUGGUAAUGGUGGCCGGCUAGCACGUGAUGCUUCAAGUUAUUGCAGUGGUGUGGGGGAGCCGCCCUUGCUGCUGGUGGGCCCGCCUGAUCUCCUGGUUUAACCGGGAUGGAAAGAGGAGUCGCGCUCGCGCCCAUGCCCACGCAUGCAGCGUGGAAAAGUCAAAGAAUCAAAAGCCUCUAGCUCCUCCGAGCCAGGCCGCUCCUCAGCUCGCUCUAGCCUCUAGCUCCUCCGUGCCAGGGCGCUCUUCAACGCUUGCACAGGUUUGCGGAGGCGGUCCAUGCCGGCCGGAGUCGACUAGGCACUUCGAAUGAUGGAUCACAGAAAAGGUACAUUUGAUUUACCGAUUUUGAAGUAUUGUAACAAUGACCUGCAAAUUGCAUUGGUGGCCACAUCCGUUUCAGAUCCAUGGCUAUGCGACUGCUAGCUAGGCUAGCUGCAAGGAGGCACCCAGCAGGCUGUGUCAAAAAGGCUAUUCAUGCACACCAUCCAUUCUGAGUGUCUGUCAGUCUAGUAGUUAUGCAUGUAUACCGAUUAUUCAGCUGUCAUUCAUGGCUCGUGAGAUCCAACGACAUGUAAAAUGCAUGCACGUCGUCCUUCAUCUACUUCAAGAAGCAGUCGAGCUCGAUUCGGGGACUUGACGCUCCUCGCUCAAUAUAAUGUUGCGCACAGGCUCGGACGAAAUCGACCGUCCAGGUACGUAGGUAUCGCAAGCAAUGGGUCCAAAAGGAUCAGCCAUACACACACGCGCGCGUGAUCGAUAGUACACACAAGGAAGCUGGAUUAUUUGGGCUACUGCAGUCGUGUUGUAUAGCGCCACGAACGCCACGUCAUGUCACUUGUCACUACGGGAAUAUACUCGGAAGAGGGUGUACAAGAAAUUGUUGGAGAUGCGUCCAUUGUAUUGAUGCUUGUGUACGAGUCCGUGUUUGUUUGAGAUGAUGAGCGAUGACAGUACGAUCACGGUGGGUUAGCACCUGAUGCUUUCAGGGUGUGGAGGAGCCCUUGCCGCCGGUGUGGCCUGAUUUAAUUUGUAGUGUAGCUGAACCGGGUUGGAAAGACAUGAACUCCGUGAUGGCUGAUGAGUGGCUUGGUUGGUUGUAGUCGUGGCGGAGGCGGUGCAUGCCCCAUGCAUGCAGCGUGCAAGCCGCGCGGAGUAGUUACUAAGCGGUCAGGUCCCUCGUCGGUGCAACGCUAGGGCUACGUAUUUGGAGUACAUACUAGUACGUUGGUUUGGACUUUGCCGUAGUCCGUAGUAGAUAGCAGGUGAUCGGUGAUGAUCAUGCACGUACGACUUUAUUUUGGCCAGGCGUCGUCGCUUCGUCCGAUCGCCGUGUUGACAUGCACACCCGACACCGGCGGCCGGCAACGUGAUCCGGGACUUGCCUCUGCACUUUUCUGCUGCAGUGCAACUUGUUUAAACCUUAUGUUUUCAUUGAACUGUUUAAAUGCCAAAAAGGAGGAUGAGUGACUGUCUAGCGUUUAACGUGUAGAAAAACACUGAUUUUGAGAGAGGUAGCAUUCAUUGUUUUUUCUUUUCAUCAGUUUGUCAAUAGGAUAGUUGGAAAAAAUAAUCUGACUGUAGAUUAACUAGUAUUUCUAAAACAUAUUAUUUCAUUUUAUUUCCUGAUGUGGGUGGGCCUAGGAGCCUUGAUACCUAGUCAUCUUUCUCCAGCUCUAUUACUGAUCUAGUUGUCUCCAUCUUACUUACUGCUAUUAGCAUUUGCAGUUUGCUCUUGUUCCAGUAAACCCUGCUCCACCCACUGGCAACGCCACCAUAGAUGCUGAUCUUGCUCGAGUGUCCAUGAUGUAUGGUGGGAUCGAAAGGGUUCGGAGCCUUCUACAUGCUCGUGCUGACGUAAUGAUGACUUCGGGUGUCUUCCUUUCUGAGACGAAGCGGUACUGGAAACUGCAUGACCGGCUGCUGGCGGCAGCGAUGGCCCUUUGUGAGAAGGUUCUGAUGGACUAUGGGGUUGAGGCCCCAAGCACCCCCCGAGUACUUCUUCAACAACUUUUGAUGGAGUAAAAGUUUUGGAAACUCUGAAUGACCUUUUGAAAUCCUUGAACUCGUGUUAGGUAGUUGAAACCUGAAUUCUUUCUAGGGUGGAAGAUUUGGAGGAUCUUGUUGGUUGUUAAUCUUGUUUGUUGGCAGAAGUUUUGGAGGCGCUGGAACUCGGAGGACUUGUUAGUUUGGAUAAGUCCUUUAUCUGUGCGAUGGUACUGGUGUAGUGGUGUUAUGUGAACUUGCUGGUGCUUAAAGCCAUUUUGUCUGUUGGAAUGCAGGUCUAUUCUCGCUGCAUCUUUCUUGUGAAAAAUUAGAGAAAUUUAUGUUAUGCCCAUCUCUUUGUUUUUGCUCUUCUCAGUAGCCGGAUGUCAAGCUAACUAAUGCGUGCUACAAAGCAGGCAACCUGCGCAGGCAAGCGAACAUGAGGCAGAGGAUAGCCAAGCAAAAAAUCAUACCCAAGUUAUCUGCCGACCAGCAAUUACCGCGUUUGUGAACACGACUGCAAAGCUGACUGGCAGCAUAGGAGGAAAAUAGAAACCAUCACGGGACACAACAGUACGAUCAUUCACAGGAGUGCUAGCUACUACACAAUGCAAUUUUCAAGAUAAAAAAGGUAAAGUCAAAAUCAUUUAGCUUAUUCUCUCUUAGCCCUGUUAAUUGGGUUGGGUUUAUUGGUUUUAAUGGUUCGGUUUAUAUAAUAAGUUCAUUUGAAUUGGUUUAUAAUGAGUUGGCCUGCUAGAUGGUUUGGUUUGGUUUGGGUUUUACAAAUAAAUAGUUUGGAAGGUGUUUGGGGUGUGUGGUAUUAUUUUUGGAUCUAAAAGACUCUCAACUCGUGGGUUGAGACCCAUUAAGAAUCCAAAAGCCUGGAGCCUCAUCUAUCAAGAGUCGGACCUUAAAAAUAAAACCUCGCGUUCACACCUUAAAAUUUUGGAUAAAUUGAUCGAAACUUGUUACAGAUGAAUUAGUUUAACAGUCCGCUACUGUAUGCAAAGUAGUACGGCUGGACUUACAUGUGGGGCCCGCGUCAAGAGUCGGACCCUAAAACUAAAACCUUGUAUUCACACCUUAAAAUUUUGGAUGAAUUGACCGAAACUUGUUGCAGAUGAAUUAGCUUGACAGUCCGCUACUUUGUGCAAAGUAGUAUGGCUAGACUUACAUAUGGGUCCCACGUUGAGAGUCACAUACAAACUCAAAAAAAAGUUAACUAAUGGGUUUUUAUUGGGUACCUAAUGGGUUCUUAUUGGGUUGUAACCAUAUUUGACAAGUAAUUUGUAUAACUUAUGCAAUAGUAAGUUUGGGGUGGUGUGGUGUGUGAUAGUGGAGGUUUGGUUUAGGGUGGGUUAUAUUUAUUUUCUUAUGAGAAUAGAUUGGUGUGGUUACAACAUGGGUUACAACCCAAUUAACAGGGCUAUUCUCUCUAUUGAUCGCUAUCUAAUAUGAAUCGGCAUGGGUUUAACUUCAUAAGCGAUAUCAUGUGCCCAGGUGCAUGGUGCACUGGAUUUUUACUCCAUUGUUAUUUUUAUUUUCCUUGUCUUCUUUAUUUCUUUCUGUCCUGCAUGCAUCCAGGAGUGAGGGAAACGAAAUUCAUGUGUUUCCAAGGCCUCCAACACAUUUUUUUGGUGUUCCUAACUAUACUAUAUUUACAGUUAACACUCGUUGGAGUUAUAUCAGGUACAAUAAUCUUAUGUAGUUUUCACCUAGUCAUGUUGUGAUCAGGAAAAAUUGAGUGUUGGAUGCCUACAUAACCCAAAUUUAACUCAACUACAAAGGAAAUAAACUCUUAGCCGUCAAUUGCAAAUCUAGUGAAUAAAAAAAAUCGGGCGUUAAAGCCCAUGGAACACCCGGGUGUGAUGUAGAUGUCCAUUAAGAUUCUGUUGGGUCUGUAAGAAUGAUUUGUACUUUCAUCUCAACAAAUUCUCUUAUAUUUCCUAAUAUUCCUAUUUGUGUUGUACUAUUUUGUAGAAUGUAGAGAAUGGCUACGACGAGGUUUUUGAUAGAAAAGAGGGAAUGUAGUGGGGAUUUCCUGGAAUAAAAUGAGGCAGCAGAAAUUAUUGAAUACACUACGUUGCAAAAGCCAAUCAAUCUAGUACUGCAACAUGGGGCUUCAGUCCUGAAACCUCUGCUUUUCAGCAACCAAUCAAGAAUCAUAAAAUUCAAUCAGGCCAGUAUUUUUAGAGGAAAAAUACUCAAACUUCGUUUAAAGAAAAGAGGAAUUACUCAAGUUCAACAUCAAAUCGACACGAACGGGUACAGGAAGGCAACGAACGAUUAUCAUUACGACUAUCCUAUUACACAGGGAUGCAGCAAAGUAUAGCAGUGGCAGAUGCAGCACAGUGACUAGUAGCCAGACAGCUAAUUGAGCUUCUUGGUUUUCCCCGCAGCCUGCUUGGUGACUCCAUGCCGGGACCUCCUCCGGCCAAGCGUCGUUGGCAUCGCAGUGGUGACCUAUGUUGGGGACCGCCCCACAACGCCCCUAAACGAAGCUGGCACGGACCUCUUCCCAAUAUCAACGCUGACUUCGUCAUUAUACUCUUCUAUGAAGCUGACAAUUAACUGAAGUUAACUGGUCCGAAGAUGCCCGUUCUGUGAUUUUGCAGGCAAAGAUUCCCGAAGUUGGAGCCCUCACGGGGCUCCCGACAACUUGACUUCGGGGAGGUCCCACGACCAAAGCCCAAGGUUAGCUGCUUUCGACCAAUGAAGGUGGAGAGCGCGCGGAGGCGUACUUGGUGCGGACAAAGCUAACGAGUAGGGAAAGAAGGAAUCAGGAUAGUCCUGGGAUCAUAUUAUUGUGGGUCACUUUUGUAAUAAAGAUCUUGGAAAGGGUUAGAAAUGUAAUCUCUCUUUGAAAACGACAUCUUGAGUAGGGGUUAAUUUACAGUCCUGUACGGGAUAUGCCUGGGAUGUAAUUGUUGGGUAUGGGUAUAACGGGUAUACGGAAAUGUAACUUUAUGGCCCUAUAAAGGGAGGUGAACCGUCCCCCCUAAAACGGAUACUAUUCAUUGAUAGGACAGCCACAGUUACAUUCGCUUGAGAUAUCUUUACCUUCGUAUGCUACCUCAUCUUACCUACUGUUUGGUUAAGACCCAACAUUUGGCGUCCACCGUGGUCUAACUCGACAAGUAACCUAUGAUGCCACCACAACGGAAAAAGAGACUUACAGCACAGAGAGAAGUCAGCACAGUGGAGGCCGGUCUGCUUACAUCUCCCGAGGCCACAGAUUAGGUUCUUUCGGAUAAGGAGGAACGCCUUGCAAGAGUCGAGAAAACCUUAAGGGCAAAAGCAAUGAAUAAGAGACCCGUACCCGAGGUCAACCACCAAAGCCAACAACCCACAGCAAACAAAGCUACCAACUGCACUGACGGUCAACAGAGUCAGCAGCCCGCAAUGCCCAAAGCUACUGGCCCCUCUGACCUAGACAAUGAGCUAGACUCAGUCCUUCGGGAGAUAGAAGAGGUCAAAAGAAAAAAGGAACAGUUAGCACGACAGGUCCAACAACAGAGGGAAGCCUCGAGCAGACUAUCAAAAUUGAACGAAGCUAGACGGCAGCUAGAAGCAUUACAGAAAGAAAUUGCGGAGCUUGAAAGCCCACAUGAGAAUGCAAACCAAACCACAACUUAUUUUCACCAAAGUCCCACCGUUGAUCAGGCACAGUUCCAACCCAGUCUCAAAUUCGGCCAAGGCACCCAACAUCACUCACCAGGGGUGUCUCUCGUGGUCGACACCACAUCACCGCUCUCAAUUGGGCUCCAAACCGCACCGUGGCCAGCAACAUACAAGCCAACCGCCCUGCCCAAAUUCAAUGAACGGACUGAUCCACGACAAUUCUUAAUGAGUUACGAAGCCGCCGUAGCUUCAGCCAGGGGAGAUGACGUCAUCCUCACCAAGUCCUUCAUAAUUGCUUGCGAAGGCACAACACUCAACUGGUACUCACUACUCCCUCCGCGCACAGUGAUUAGCUGGCAUGACCUCAAGGCGAAGGUCACACAAAACUUUCAUAGUUUUCAUUACCACCACACGGCCCAAGCAGAUCUUUUCCAAUGCAAACAAAAAGACAAGGAGCCACUCGCAGAAUAUGUAAGAAGAUAUGUCUAGCUUCGUUCCCAAGCGCUGCACAUUGAGAAAUCCGUAGAAAUAUCCGCGUGCAUCGCGGGCCUCACCCCUGGCCCCACAGCGUCGAAGCUAUCAAGGAAAGAGCCUAAAAUGAUGAGUGCUCUUUUCAGCAAACUCGAUGAAUACAUCAAGUCCGACAAGGACCACCGCAGAAGAGUGGCGGAGCAUAACAAGGAAAGGCAAACAAACCAGAACCGAAGCAGGCAACCUUCACCUUACAACAAGCCUCAAAACCCUAGCCAGAACCGUGUCAUGAACAUUGAGGGAAACCAAAACCAAAGCCAGAGCCAAAGCCAAAACUACAAUACCCAAAGAGGGGGCCACUUUGGUAGAGGACGAGGUCGAGGAAGACAGCAAAAAUCAUUCUACUGCGUCAACCAUGGCCAUCAGAACCAUCAUAAUACAGAGUGGUGCCCCAAAAAGAAAGAAGAAGAGAGAAAGGCUACAGAAGAAGCCGUGAAAGCAGCCGCACAUGCACCCAAAACAAUCCACCACACAACUUUUUACCCGCACCCAAGCUUUUACUCCAACCAGCCUAGCUUCGCCAAUUCCUAGCAACCAAUGACCUGGCCUCUUCCGCCGCACAUACAACCGUACCACCAAACAAUCCCGCAACAUACCAACCCAAAUGUGCCUCAGAAGCCUCAAGAAACACUACCUCCUCCCCCAAGCAUACCAGCCAUAAUGCCCAAACCAGAGCCAAGCACGCAAAACAACAACCAAAAUUCAUUACCUACCUUUGACAUGAUAAUGCCAAUCACUGGAGGCACCUCUUUAGAGUUCGAGAACAAGAGGCAGAGGCGAAACUAUUUCAGAGAAGUCAAUGUAAUCAUACCCGAUGAACCCCCAACGAAGCCAGAAUGGGCACACAUGCCCAUAAGCUUCACAGGGGAAGACUUCAAGCUCAAGACAACCUCGCACAAUGAUGCGAUGGUCAUCAAAGCGCUGAUAGCAUGAUGGACAGUUGGAAAAGUCCUAGUUGACACGGGCAGCUCCGCGGACAUCCUCUUCGCAAACACCUUUAGAGAAAUGAACAUUGACAUGAACAUGCUCGACCCAGCCGACAUCCCACUUCUCGGCUUCGGUGGAAAGCCAGUGAAGGCCUUGGGAAAAAUUGCUCUCCCGGUCUCGUUUGGGGAUCGUGACAAUGCGAGAACAGAACACAUCACCUUCGACGUGGUGGAGAUGCACUACCCCUAUAAUGCAAUACUUGGCCGCGGUUUCAUCACCAAGAUGGAUGCAACAAUUAGGCAACUAUACCUAUGCAUGAAAAUACUCGCUCACAAGGGGGUCAUAACAGUGUACGGUGACUAGCAAAUGGCAAGAAGGACACCUAGCCCCAUCAAGCGAAGCCGAAAUGUCAGCAAAGCAAAAGACCCACGAUGAGCCCAAGAGGGACAAAGAAAAAAUAAAGAUCAGUGCUUACGGCGAAACAAAGCGGUUACUCCUAGAUGGGUACAUCGCAGACAGGUUCAUAACAAUUGGAGCCAACCUCGACCCCGAAGAAGAACGCAACCUCAUCGAGGGCCUCAACAAGAACAAAGACAUCUUCGCUUGGUCCGCAGGCGAUCUCAAAGGAGUGGACAGGGAAAUCAUCGAGCAUAGCCUCGACAUCAGGCAAGGAGCUAAGCCAAAGAAGCAAAAGCUAAGAAAAAUGUUCGACGAAAAGGUCCAAGCCGUAAAGGCCGAAGUUGACAGGCUCCUCGAGGCUAACGUAAUCAGGCCAAUCCAGUACCCUAAGUGGCUAGCUAACACAGUGCCUGUAAAAAAGAAAAAUGGCAAAUGGAGAAUGUGUAUAGACUUCACAGAUCUCAACAAGGCCUGCCCAAAAGAUGAUUACCCUCUCAAGAGGAUUGACAAAGUAGUGGAUGGCGCUGCAAACAGUGAAAUGCUCUCACUACUUGACCUCUUCUCGGGGUACCACCAGAUUAGAAUCAAGAAGGAGGACGAAGGCAAAACAAGCUUCGUGACACCUUUUGGAAUGUUCUGCUUCGUGCACAUGCCAGAGGGGCUAAAUAAUGCAGGCCAAACAUUCUCAAGGAUGACGGCAACAAUCCUGGACAACCAGCUUCGGCGUAACAUCCUGGCUUACGUAGACGAUAUGAUCGUCAAAAGCGUCAAGCGAAGCGAACACAUUCUGAAUCUCACAGAAACAUUUGCUAACCUGAGGUCAGCCAAUCUAAAGCUAAACCUAGAAAAGUGUGUAUUUGGCGUUCAAAGACAAAAGAUCCUAGGCUGCCUGGUAACAACAAAAGGUAUUGAAGCCAAUCUUGAUAAAAUCAAGGCACUGACUAACAUGUCGGAACCAACUUCGCUCAAACAAGUCCAACGACUCACGGGUUGGGUUGCUACGCUAAACCGUUUCAUUCCAAGAGCGGCAGAGCGAAGCCUCCCCUUCUUCAAAACACUCCGAAGCUCCGAAACACUUGAAUGGGGACCUGAGCAAAGCACAGCAUUCCAAGACCUCAAAGAGUAACUGCAAUCUAUCACGAAGCUAUGCCCGCCAAAGCCCAAAUCACCACUUCUAUUGUACAUCUCAGCCUCAGCAACAACCGUAAGCGCUGCGUUGAUUCAAGAAAAAGAAAUCGAAGGCAAAAUGAGGCAAAUACCAGUUUACUUCGCAUCCGAAGCCCUGAGCAGCUCAAAGCUACACUACUUUGAACUCGAGAAAAUCGCAUAUGCAGUCGUUAUGGCAGCACAGAAACUGCGACACUACUUCGAGGGGCACAAAAUAAUUGUUGUAACUAGCCAACCGCUUCAUGAUCUUUUCUCAAACAGGGAAGCUUCUAGCCGAAUCGCCAAAUGGGCAUCUGAACUCUCAGAGUUCGUUGUCGACUUCGAAAUGUGCACGGCUAUAAAAUCCCAAGUACUGGCUGAUUUCGUGGUCGAUUGGACCUCGCCAAAGCAAGAGCCAAAACAACUUGAAACACCAUGGGUCAUCCACUGCGAUGGGGCUUGGUGCCGCAAAGGGGUAGGGGUCACAGCAGUGGUCACAUCACCAACAGGUGUCAGAAUCUAGUAUGCAGCGAGGCUAGAUUUCCCACCAACCGUGAAGUCAACCAACAACACCACAGAGUACGAGGGAUUGCUGCUGGCCUUAAGGAAAAUGAAAGCCAUAGGGCAACAAACAUUCAUCGUCAGAACGGACUCAAAGGUAAUCCGUGAUCACAUCGAUAAACACAGCGAGGCCAAAGAACCAGAGCUCGUUAAAUACCUUGAGGCAGUUCGAGCCAUGGAGAAGCACUUUCGGGGGUUUGAUGUCAAAAAUAUACCAAGAGCACUAAAUGACGACAUUGACAAGCUUGCAAAAGUAGCAGCAGAGGGUGAGCUAAUCCCACCCGACACAUUCUACGAAGUCAUAACCUCACCUUCGAUCAAGGAAAAAGCUCCAGCCCCCGUCAACACCAUCCAACGUUAUGACUGGCGUGCGUGCAUAAUGGCUUUCCUUAGAUGUCAUUUCGAACCUCAGAACAAGGCCGAACGCACACGCCUAAAGCAAAGGGCAAGGGGCUAUGCAAUUAUCGAGGGACAGCUCUACAAAACAGGCAUUUCAACACCAUGGCUUCGCUGUGUCGAUUAUGAAACAGGCAGCGAACUGCUCAAAGAAAUACAUGGCGGUUUUUGCGGAACCCACAUUGGCUCAAGGGCUCUAGCAGGAAAAGCAAUCCGACAGGGAUUCUACUGGCCAUCAGUCCACACAGACGCACACUUGUUCGUAGGAAGCUAUGAGGCCUGCCAGAAGACAGCAAGGUAGACACAUGCACCCUCGCUCCCGAUCCAACUCAUCCCACCUUCGUGACCUCUCCAGAGAUGGGGCAUGGACCUAGUUGGUCCACCGCCAACAGCACAAGGAAAUUGCAGAUUUGCAGUAGUUGCAAUAGACUACUUCACCAAAUGGGCCGAAGCCAAACCACUGGCCGUCAUCACAUCGACUUCGGUACAAAAGUUCUUCUGGCAAAACAUUGUCUGCCGGUUUGGAGUCCCAAGGGAACUAACUGUUGACAAUGGCAAAAAGUUUGGCUGCGUCUCAUUCACAGAUUUCUACGCUAGCAUCGGCAUAAAGAUAAAAUUCUCAUCCGUAUAUGACCCGCAAUCAAACGGAGCUAUGGAAAGGGCGAACAGUACCAUAUUCACUGCAGUCAAAAAAUGUUUGUUCGAUCAAAAAAAGGGCAAAUGGGUCGAUGAACUCCCAAGAGUAAUAUGGUCCCAUAACACGACAUAAUCCAGGGCAACAGGCUUUACUCCGUUCAAGCUCUUAUUUGGAGCCGAAGCUGUAACACCUGAAGAAAUAAAAAACAAAAGCCUAAGAGUCCUUAAGCCCGGGGAUGUGGACGAAAUUGCCCGAAUAGAGAAAGACAUGAUCAAGCUCAACAUCAAUGAGGCCAUCGAAAACCUAGACAAGUAUCAGGAAGAAACCCGAAGAUGGAGGGACCAACACAUUCGAGAAAGACAGAUCAAUGUCGGUGACCUCAUUAUCAAGAGGAAAAAGAAUUGGGAAAAUCCAGGCAAGCUACAAGAGAUUUGGGAAGGCCCCUACAUUGUCACAAAAAGUGGCAAACCUGGCUCUUUCCACCUCGUAGACCAGCAGGGAAAUACUCUCCCACACACUUGGAACAUUGAUAGCUUACAAAAAUACUACCCAUGAUUGUACAUGCUACCUUCGGCUUGCGGAACUAUAAGCAACGCCGAAGGUAACAGAAUAGUUUUUCUUUCUUUUCUUUUCUUUACUUCCAAAUCUACCUCGUUUGUAAGGUCAUGAAAUCCGGACUGCACUCUUUUCCCUGCUAGGGGAUCCAUAAUGGAGGCAAGGUUUUUAACGAGGCAGAUCCAUGUACCCCCUUUUUUCACAAAGAAAGAAAGGAAACUUCCCCUAAAAAUCCAAAUUGCGUGACCUCGCACUAGUAUGCGGAGGGGAUUUUGCGUGUAAAAGGCAAUAAAAAGUUGCAUGACCUCGUGCUAGUAUGCGGAGGAGAUUUCAUGUGUAAAAGGCAACAACAAGUUGCAUGACCUUGCGCUAGUAUGCGGAGGAGAUUUCGCGUGUAAAAGGCAACAAUAAGUUGCGUGACCUCGCGCCACAGUGCGGAGGAGAUUUCGCGUGUAAAAGGCAACAACAAGUUGUGCGACCUCGCGCUAGUAUGCGGAGGAGAUUUCGCAUGUAAAAGGCAACAACAAGUUGCAUGACCUCGUGCUAGUAUGCGGAGGAGAUUUCGCGUGUAAAAGGCAACAACAAGUUGCAUGACCUCGCGCCACAGUGCGGAGGAGAUUUCGCAUGUAAAAGGCAACAACAAGUUGUGUGACCUCACGCCAGAGUGCGGAGGAGAUUUUGCGUGUAAAAGGCAACACCAAGUUGUGCGAACUCGUGCCAGAGCGCGGAGGAGUCUACAGUGCCAUUACAGAUCAAAGAUACUGAAACCUCCAACUGCGAGUCUGUGUUAUCUGACCUCUCUCUUGCAACAUCGCAAAGGGGGGUGACGUUUUUCGAAAAAACAUAAAAAAUUUCUGCGACUUUGCAAGAGAAGGAUCUGCGAGUCUAUGUUAUCUGACCUCUCUCUUGCAACAUCGCAAGGGGGGUGACGUUUUUCGAAAAAACUUGAAAAAUUUCUGCGACUUCGCAAGAGAAGGAUCCGCGAGUCUCUGUUAUCUGACCUCUCUCUUGCAACAUCGCAAGGGGGGUGACGUUUUUCAAAAAAACAUGAAAUUUUUUUGCAACUUUGCAAGAGAAGAGUUUGUAAGGUUUGUGUCGCUUGACCUCGUAAAGGCCCGAAUAACAUUCUCGAUCUCGCUCGGCAAAAGGUCAAAAAUGGCAGUGAACACAAUCAAAGAUGAUUCCUUCACGACCAUCGACCAAGCUGGGCAGAUGCAUUUCCAAAAGCAAUACACCAAACCGACCUCGCACGAAUACAGCAACAAAUACAACAAUAAAUACGACUAUGGUUGAAGCAACUUCAGGUCGCUGUAUCAACCGGCUCUCGCAUUUUCUAAGUUAGUGGGUUGCCUGACACGGCAACCCGACUUUGACUUAUCUAACCUCGCAACAGGUCCACUUCGCUAGAAACCUACACGUUUGGACGGGAUAAAGAACACAACAGUUACAAAAUUCGAAUACAUAACAAAAACUGGCACAUAAGUACUUUACAGGGCAUAGUUUCACAAACAAAUAAAGUAUCUGACUUCAUCAACUUUAUACACCAAAACCAACAAGUCAAAGCCUGCCCUUAGCAUGCACCAACCUACUCCGCAUCAUCCUUCUCGUCGUUACCAACACCAGACUGCAAGCGCAGCUGCGCUAACCGCUCACACGCAAGCCUCUUCACAUAACCCUACCCGAAGGUUGACCACAUGCGCUCAAACAAGUUCUUCUUUGCAUUCUCCACAUCAUUAGACUUGAUAGUGCAGCCAAUCUCCGAGGCAGUUGGCACAACAUAGUUAUCUUCGGAAAUAUUCCUAAUAUGCUCGCAUCCUUGUUGUUCCAGCAAGUGAAGGGCGCUUUCAAGACAGAACACUGCGGAGUAGUCGUUCAAGCCCUCAAGGACCUCGGGGAGACUCUUAACCUCGUCCAAAAGCCACUCGAACAUACGUUCGCAUCCCUCAUCCAACGGGCAAUCAUCAGGUUUAGCGCCAAACACACCAAGGGAGGCUUUGUAAGCUUCAUGAACUUUCUCGAACCUCUCCCUUAGUGUGGUCUCAAUUUGGCUCAACAGUUUUGCCUUCAUUUCCAACUGAGGCUCCAUCUGGCUCACCUUAGAUUUCAAACCCGCGAUAACCUCGCUGUCACGCUGGGCACCCUUGCGUAAGCCUUCAAUAAUUUGGUCCUUCUCCUUCACCUGGCCCUCCAGCUCCACCACAUCAGCCACCAGACGAUCAAUCUCGUCGCCCCUGGCCUCGUAGUUCUCGCCGAGCCUGCGAGAGUCCUCCUUCAGCUCAGCAUUCUCAACAUUGACCUUCUUCAUCUCCAAGGACAUGGCAGCGAUAGUCGCCUCAAGUGAAGCUACUUUCUCUGAGGCUGCUUUUUCACUCUUAGCCAGCCGAUCCCUCGUACUCAUCGAAGAAUAAGAGACCUACAGGUUUCAAACAAAAAAAUAAUAAACCAAGUCACCAAAAACAUAACAAGGUAAAGGACAACACUCGCCAGACAUAUCACCAAAUUAUCCAGUAAUCCUACCUUCUUUACGAGGUUGGCCUCGAAGUUAAAGAGCUCUUCCGAGCUCAUUGACUUCACAGCUUGCUGAAAAUCUGCGCGUCAAAGGAUACAGUCGUAAGCGUAAUACAAAAAAAUAAAGCUAAGAACAGUAAAACAACCUACAAGCAGCUCUCACCCUCAUAUUUUCGCGCCUCAACGGCGACCAAAACAACUUCCCUAGCCUCGCCCUUAGACGUCACCACAGUCUUUCCGCCACUUAAACCCACAGCCCCUCCUUUGCCUUCGACCUCCCCCGAAGUUGCCGCGCCCGCCUUUUCACCCCUUUUUGAACCUCCAAUAUCUGCAUAGCGCUCGCAAUCUUCACCCUCAGCCCCCCAAACCAAACACAGGUUGUGCGGAUUAUAAACCCUACCUUCAGCGCAUGUAGCUAGAAUCUCCAUGCGCCCGCUCAAGCCCAGAACUUCGUUCAGUCCCUAAAGACCCGCCGGCAAAUUCUCACCUAUAUCAUAAUAUUUAACUUUCAGCCUCACAUGAUCCUCACAACUAACCUCACCAAGCCCCCCAUAGUUGCUUCUAAGUCCUUCAAAAAUCCCGCUGAGGCCUUGCCUCAGUCAAAGAACCGCAGCUUUGGUAGAAACACCUCUACAUGCUUAACAGAUCUCACAGCUUCGGCGCACACACCCUUUGGAUCAGACGAGAACGCAUCCACAAGCUUCGCCUUUUCGGCGGCAACCCUCCUCUCAUGGUUCUCAGCUUCAAUCAAGAGAGACCGCGCGCUCUUAGCCUUCGAGCUUGUAGGGGGUGCCGUGAUCUUGGUACCAGCCACUGAAGGCGCGUCAACCUUGGCACCAGAAUAGUAACACGAGCAAAAUGAGGUUUAUUAGCCCCCUUUUGAUCCGCGCGGCGGGCCCGGUGGACGAAGGUGCAAGAGCAAGGACCUCCUUUGGAGGGUGCACGGAGACAGGAACGACAUACGCCGGUUUGCUCAAGUCGACAGACGAAGCUGUCGACCCCGAUGGCAACGCGGCAGACGAAGCCCUCGCUGGAACUUCUUUCCUCUUUUGCGCCUCCAAGUUCAGGGUUUUUUUGCUUCGCUUUAGCGGCCACUUGCGACUCAACAGUGAGCUUCGCUGCAAGCAUGAAGUCAAAUUUCACCUUUUUCCUCUGCUCAAGACCAACACCCCGACGGCGCCUUUUGCCACAACUUCAGGACGAUGCGGAACCACAAUAUCAUACAUAUCAAAAAUCCAGUUGACACGACGCCCGUGUCUCACGACGGAUUCCAAAGAGUCAAAAUCUCGUAAGCUAUGUCCUCCACUGUCCGAACAAACGAGUCUGAGUCUGCACCCCUCUCAGCACCAGUUUCAAAGCAGGGGUACUGCACCGGCUUCUCGCUCCAAGACACCUCCUUCUCAACAAGCUUAAAUGGCCUCGCAAAUUCAGCGGACAGAGGCCACACUCUAGCAGCAACAUACUCCUCUAUGAGGUCACGUCCAGAUAUCAAGGGCCCAGCAGCCCUGUAAGCAGCCUCGCACUUUGUCAUAGCUGCUGUAUGAAUAAAUGACGGAGUCGUGAGCACAUCCAUCGGCCCAAAUGGCGCAUAAAAUGGGAAUCCAGUACCAACCCCAGCCAUCUCAAUUUCAACAUAAAACCAAUGCGUCAACCAGGCAUCAUCCCACUUGUUUCUCUGCGCGAAGGUAAGCUCUACCCUUGGCAGGUUCCUUUUAUCAUUCUUCCUGCGUGGCACGAAGGUGCAGCACCCAAAAUGAUUCUCACAAACACCUUUUCCAUCCUCGGAGUAAGUCCUCUUCUUCUGGAUAUGAAGUUCGUGCAACCUCGCAAAACCCUCCACAUCAAUACUACCACCAAACGUGCAUUGCACCAAGUAAGACUUAGACAAAUUCACGAUGGCGUUGGGGGUCAACUGGUGCAACCUAACACGAUAGCGAUCCAAAAUAACCGGCAGCUGCCUAUCGCAGGGAAACCGAAGCCCCGCAGUAAACAGGUCCUUGGAAACAACACCUUCACCAACCUCGGGCGCAGGUACCAUCUCAUUCCCAGGUGCUCUGCCCACCCCCUUAGGAAAGAAAUUAUUCUCCUCAAAAGACGCAAUGUCUUGCGGAGUCACUUGGGAGCGCCCGAAGUAAAGAGUGGGAAUGCACUGAACUUUCCCCCUAGCGGCUGUCUCUGACCUCGCUUCAACCUCAGCAUCCUCCUCCUUGGCCUCCUCCUUAGCUUCACCAGCCUCUGCCUCCUCACCCGAAGAUACAGCAUGAACUUCGGUCUCUGCUACAUCUUUUGCAGCAUGGCCUUGCCCACCUUUACCUUCGUCUUCAUCAGAAGACCACUCAGGCGAGCUGCUGCCAUCCUUUGUAUAAAUCCGUUUCUUUGACCUCUUCCCAUCAACCUCUCCGCUACUCGCAGACACCGACUGCGAAGUAGGACUACCCCCACCACCAGAGGCAGCCUGAAUGGCCAGCUCUUUUGAAGACAUGAUCUGUGCACUCUACCUGAUGCGGGCCACCUGUCGCACCAAAAACAGAACAGCAUAACAUUGAGAACGAAGCCAGAACGUUAAAAAGAAAUCAAGUAAAACAACCACAAUCAAGCAAGCAGGAGCUACCCUCACCACGAAAAGCGAAGAUGUCGUCCAGCCAAGAAGAUGCAACGAAGAUGCGUAGCUAAGGCGCAAGCAACAAAAAGCUAUAGCUCGAAAACGACAACGUAAAAUAUGACCCGGCCCCCCUGCAAACCUUAUAUAGGCACGUUAAAAAGGCCAAAAGACGCCUUUACGGUGCUUCGAAUCACCAACCGCCGCAUGGCAAAUGACGUUAGUACCCCCAUCUAACGGUAAAUCACCUCGGCCCACGCCGCCGUCCAGGGUGACGUUUUGAGGGCAUUUUUUGACUUUUCGCGGGAUCGGUCGAUGGCGUCUCUGACCUCGCCCACGAAGGGGCUGCUGUUGGGGACCGCACCACAAUGCACCCUGAACAAAGCUAGCGCGGACCUCUACCCAACAUCAACGCUGACUUUGUCAUUAUACUCUUCCACGAAGCUAACAAUUAACCAAAGUUAACUAGUCUGAAGAUGCCCAUUCUGUGAUUUUGCAGGCGAAGAUUCCUGAAGUUGGAGCCCCCACAGGGCUCCCAACGACUUGACUUCGGGGAGGUCCCACGACCAAAGCCCGAGGUUAGCUGAUUUCGACCAAUGAAGGUGGAGAGCGCGCGGAGGCGUACUUGGUGCGGACGAAGCUAACGAGUAGGGAAAGAAGGAAUCAGGAUAGUCAUGGGAUCACAUUAUUGUGGGUCUCUUUUGUAAUAAAGAUCUUGGAAAGGGUUAGAAAUGUAAUCUCUCUUUGAAAGCGACAUCUUGAGUAGGGGUUAAGUUACUGUCCUGUACGGGAUAUGCCUCGGAUGUAGUUGUUGGGUAUGGGUAUAACGGGUAUACGGAAAUGUAACUUUAUGGCCCUAUAAAGGGAGGUGAACCGUCCCCCCUAAAAUGGAUACUAUUCAUUGAUAGGACAGCCACAGUUACAUUCUCUUGAGAUAUCUUUACCUUCGUAUGCUACCUCAUCUUACCUACUAUUUGGUUAAGACCCAACAACCUACUCGACCGCGUACCAUUUGGUGUAUGUUGGGUCUCAACCAAACAGUAGGUAAGAUGAAGUAGUAUACGAAGACAAUGAUGUCUCANNNNNNNNNNNNNNNNNNNNNNNNNNNNNNNNNNNNNNNNNNNNNNNNNNNNNNNNNNNNNNNNNNNNNNNNNNNNNNNNNNNNNNNNNNNNNNNNNNNNCAGUCGGUGUCUGCGAGUAGCAGAGAGGUUGAAGGGAAGAGGUCAAAGAAACGGAUUUAUACAAAGGAUGGUUUAGUCUCUGCAGACAAAGGCUCUUCCGGCAGUAGCUCGCCUGAGUGGUCUUCUGAUGAAGACGAAGGUAAAGGUGAGCAGGGCCAUGCCGCAAAAGAUGUAGAAGAGACCGAAGUUCAUACUAUAUCUUCAGGUGAGGAGGCAGAGGAGGAGGAGGAAGGGGGGAAAGAGGCUAGCGAAGCUGAGCAGGAGGCCAAGGAGGAGGAUGCCGAGGUUGAAGCGAGGUCAGAGAUGGCCGCUGGGGGGGAAAGUUCAAUGCAUUCCCACUCUUUACUUCGGGCGCUCCCAAGUGACUCCGCGAGACAUUGCGUCUUUUGAGGAGAAUAAUUUCUUUCCUAAGGGGUUGGGCAGAGCACCUGGGAAUGAGGUGGUACCUGUGCCCGAGGUUGGUGAAGCUGUUGUUUUCAGGGACCUGUUUACUAUGGGGCUUUGGUUUCCCUAUGAUAGGCAGCUGCCAGUUAUUUUUGAUCGCUAUCGUGUUAGGUUGCACCAGCUGACCCCCAACGCCAUCGUGAAUUUGUCUAAAUUUUACUGGGUGCAACGCACGUUCGGUGGCAGCAUUGAUGUGGAGGGUUUUGCAAGGUUGCACGAACUUCAUAUCCAGAAGAAGAGGACUUACUCCGAGGAUGGAAAAGGUGUUUGCGAAAAUCAUUUCAGGUGCUGCACUUUCGUGCCAUGCAGGAAGAAUGAUAAAAGGAACCUGCCAAGGGUAGAGCUUACCUUCGCGCAGAGGAACAAGUGGGAUGAUGCCUGGUUGACGCAUUGGUUUUAUGUUAAACUGAGAUGGCUGGGGUUGGGACUGGAUUCCCAUUUUAUGCGCUGUUUGGCCCGAUGGAUGUGCUCUCGACUCUAUCAUUUAUUCAUACGGCAGCUGUGACAAAGUGCGAGGCUGCUUACAGGGCUGCUGGGCCCUUGAUAUCUAGACGUGACCUCGUAGAGGAGUAUGUUGCGGCUAGAGUGUGGCCUCUGUCUGCUAAAUUUGCGAAGUCAUUUAAGCUUGUUGAGAAGGAGGUGUCUUGGAGCGAGAAGCCUGUGCAGUACCCCUGCUUUGAAACUGUUGUUGAGAGGGAUGCAGACUCGGACUCGUUUGUCCGGACAGUGGAGGACAUAGCUUACGAGAUUUUGGGUCCCGUGACCCAGCCGGAAAGGCGUUCUUUUGAAUCUGUCGUGAGACACGGGCGUCAUGUCAACCGGAUUUUUGAUUUGCAUGAUAUUGUGGUUCCGCCUCGUCCUGAAGUUGUGGGCUAAAGGCGCCGUCGGGGUGCUGGUCUUGAGCAGAGGAAGAAGGCAAAAUUUGACUUCGUGCUCGCAGCGAAGCUCGUUGUUGAGUCGCAAGUGGCCGCUAAAGCGAAGCAAAAAAACCCUGAACUUGGAGGUGCAAAAGAGGAAAGAAGUUACCGCGGGGGCUUCGUCUGCCGCGUUGCCAUCGGGGUCGACAGCUUUGUCUAUCGACUUGAGCAAACUGGCAUAUGUUAUUCCUGUCUCCGUGCGCCCUCCAAAGGAGGCCCCUACUCUUGCACCUUCGUCCACCGGGCCCGCCGCACGGACCAAAAAGGGGGCUAAUAAACCUCGUUUUGCUCGUGUUACUGUUCCGGGUGCCAAGGUUGACGCGCCUUCAGCGGCUGGUACCAAGAUCAUGACGCCCUCUACAAGCUCGAAGGCUAAGAACGCGCGGCCUCUCUUGAUUGAAGCUGGGAAACAUGAUAGGAGGGUUGCCGCCGAAAAGGCGAAGCUUGUGGAUGCGUUCUCGUCUGAUCCAAAGGGUGCGUGUGCCAAAGCUGUGAGAUCUGGUAAGCAUGUAGAGGUGUUUCUACCGAAGUUGCGUCUCUUUGAUUGUGGCAAGGCCUCAGCGGGAUUUUUGAAGGACUUGGAAGCAACUAUGGGGGGCGUUGGUGAGGUUAGUUGUGAGGAUCAUGUCAGGAUGAAAGUUAAAUGUUAUGAUGUAGGUGAGAGUUUGCCGGCGAGUCUUCAGGGACUGAACAAAGGUCUGGGCUUGAGCGGGCAUACGGAGAUUCUAGCUACAUGCACCGAAGGUAGGGUUUAUAAUCCACACAACCUGUCUUUGGUCUGGGGGGCUGAGAGUGAAGAUUGCGAGCGCUAUGCAGAUAUUGGCAGUUCAAAAAGGGAUGAGAAGGCGGGCGCGGUGACUUCAGUGGAGGUCGAAGGCAAAGGAGGGGCUGUGGGUUUAAGUGGCGGAAAGACUGUGGUGGCAUCUAAGGGCGAGGCUAGGGAUGUUGUUCCGGUCGCCGUUGAGGUGCGAAAAUAUGAGGGUGAGAGCCACUUGUAGGUGGUUUUGCUGUUCUUAGCUUUUAUUGUUGUUGUAUUAUGCUUACAACUGUAUUCUUUGAUGCACAGAUUUUCAGCAAGCUGUGAAGUCAAUGAGCUCAGAAGAGCUCUUUAACUUGGAGGCCAACCUCGUAAAGAAGGUAUGAUUACUGGAUAAUUUGGUGAUAUGUCUGGCGAGUGCUGUCCUUUACCUUGUUAUGUUUUUGGUGGCUUGGCUUAUUAUUCUUUGUUUAAAACCUGUAGGUGUCUUAUUCUUCAAUGAUCAUGAGGGAUCGGCUUGCUAAGAGUGAGAAGGCAGCCUUGGAACUUUCGAAAAAGGUAGCUUCACUAGAGGCGACUAUCGCUGCCAUGUCCUUGGAGAUGAAGAAGGUCAAGGUUGAGAAUGCGGAGCUGAAAGAGGACUCUCGCAGACUUGGCGAGAACUACGAGGCCAGGGGCGACGAGAUUGAUCGUCUGGUGGCGGAUAUGGUGGAGCUGGAGGGCUAGGUGAAGGAGAAGGACCGAAUUAUUGAAGGCUUACGCGAGGGUGCCUAGUGCGACAGCGAGGUUAUCGGGGGUUUGAAAUCUAAGGUCAGCCAGAUGGAGCCUGAGUUAGAAAUGAAGGCAAAACUGUUGGGCCAAAUUGAGACCACAUUAAGGGAGAGGUUCGAGAAAAUUCAUGAAGCUUACAAAGCCUCCCUUGGUGUGUUUGGCGCUAAACCUGAUGAUUGCCCGUUGGAUGAGGGAUGCGAACGUAUGUUCGAGUGGCUUUUGUACGAGGUUAAAAGUCUCCCCGAGGUCCUUGAGGGCUUGAAUGACUACUCCACAGUGUUCUGUUUGGAAAGCGCCCUUCACUUCUGGAACAACAAGGAUGCGAGCAUAUUAGGAAUAUUUCCGAAGAUAACUACGUUGUGCCAGCUGCCUCGGAGAUUGGCUGCGCUAUCAAGUCUAAUGAUAUGGAGAAUGCGAAGAAGAACUUGUUUGAGCACAUGUGGUCAACCUCCGUGCAGGACUAUGUGAAGAGGCUUGCGCGUGAGCGGUUAGCACAGCUGCGCUUGCAGUCUGGUGUUGGCAACGACGAGAAGGAUGCUGCGGAGUAGGUUGGUGCGUGCUAAGGGGAGGCUUUGACUUGUUGGUUUUGGUGUAUAAAGUUGACGAAGUCAGAUACUUUAUUUGUUUGUGAAACUAUGCCCUGUAAAGUACUUAUGUGCCAGUUUUUGUUAUGUAUUCGACUUUUGUAACUGUUGUGUUCUUUAUCCCAUUUAAACGUGCUGGUUUCUGGCAUAGUGAACCCGUUGUGAGGUUAGAUAAGUCAAAGUCAGGUUGCUGUGUUAGGCGACCCACUGACUUAGAAAAUGCGAGAACCGGUUGAUACAGCGACCCGAAGUUGCUUCAACCAUAGCCGUAUUUGUUGCUGUAUUUUGCAUGGGUUGACCUCAUGCGAGGUCGUUCUAGUGUGUUGGUUGCCGUUUGCCAAGCGAGAUCGAAAAUGUUACUCGGGCCUUUACGAGGUCGGGUGACACGAACCUUGCAAACUCUUCUCUUGCAAAGUUGCAAAAAAAUUUCAUGCUUUUUCGAAAAACGUCACCCCCCCCUUGCGAUGUUGCAAGAGAGAGGUCAGAUAACAUAGACUCGCAGAUCCUUCUCUGGCGAAUUCGCAGAAAUUUUUCACGUUCUUUCGAAAAACGUCACCCCCCCUUGCGAUGUUGCAAGAGAGAGAUCAGAUAACACAGACUCGCAGAUCCUUCUCUUGCGAAGUCGCAGAAAUUUUUCACGUUCCUUCAAAAAACAUCACCCCCCCUUGCGAUGUUGCAAGAGAGAGGUCAGAUAACACAGGCUCGCAGCUGGAGGUUUCGGUGUCUUUGAUCUGUAAUGGCGUUGUAUUUACACGUUAGGACUCCUCCACGCUCUGGCGCGAGGUUGCGCAACUUGGUGUUGCCUUUUGCACACUGAGUCUCCUCGCGCCCUGGCGCGAGGUCAUGCAACUUGUUGUUGCCUUUUCAUGCGAAAUCUCCUCUGCACACUGGCGUGAGGUCACGCAACUUAUUGUUGCCUUUUACACAUGAAAUCUCCUCCGCAUACAGGCGCGAGGUCACGCAACUUGUUGUUGCCUUUUUCAUGCGAAAUCUCCUCCGCACAGUGGCGCGAGGUCAUGCAACUUGUUGCCUUUUUCAUUCGAAAUCUCCUCCGCACAUUGGUGCGAGGUCACGCAACUUGUUGUUGCCUUUUCACGCAAAAUCUCCUCCACAUACAGGCGCGAGGUCACGCAACUUGGAUUUUUAGGGAAAAUUUCCUUUCUUUCUUUGUGAAAAAAGGUGUACAUGGAUUUUGCCUCGUUAAAAUCCUUGCCUCCAUUAUGGAGCCCCUAGCAAGGAAAAAAGUGCAGUCCAAACUCUAUGACCUUACAGACGAGAUAAAUUUAAAAGCAAAGAAAUAAAAAACUACUCUGUUACCUUCGGUGUUGCUUAUAGUUCCGCAAGCCGAAGGUAACUUGUACAGUUAUGGGUAAUAUUUUCGUAAGCUAUCAAUAUUCCAAGUGUGUGGGAGAUUAUUUCCCUGCUGGUCUGCGAGGUGGAAUGAGCCGGGCCUACCACUUUUUGUGAUGAUGUAGGGGCCUUCCCAAGUUUCUUGUAGCUUGCCUAGGUUGUCCCAAUUCUUUUUCCUUUUGAUGACGAGGUCGCCGACAUUGAUCUAUCUCUCUCGAAUGUGCUGGUCCCUCCACCUUCGGGUUUCUUCCUGAUACUUGUCCAAGUUUUCGAUGGCUUCGUUGAUGUCGAGCUCAAUCAUGCUUUUUCAGCUCUGGCAAUUUCAUCCACAUCCUCGGCCUUGAGGACUCUUAGGCUUUUGUUUUUUAUUUCUUCAAGGGUUACAGCUUCGGCUCCGAAUAGGAGCUUAAACGGGGUAAAGCCUGUCGCCCUGGAUUCUGUCGUGUUAUGGGACCAUAUGACUCUUGGGAGUUAAUCGCCCCAUUUGCCCUUUUUUUGAUCGAACAAACAUUUUUUGACUGCAGUAAAUAUGGUGCUGUCUGCCCUUUCGACAGCUCUGUUUGAUUGCGGGUGGUACACAGACGAGAAUUUUAUCUUCGUGCCGAGGCUGGCGCAGAAAUCUGUGAAUGAGAUGCAGUCAAACUGUUUGCCGUUGUCGACGGUUAGUUCCCUUGAAACUCCAAACCGGCAGACAAUAUUUUGCCAGAAGAAUUUUUGUACCGAGGUCGACGUAAUGACAGUCGGUGGUUUGGCUUCGGCCCAUUUGGUGAAGUAGUCUAUUGCAACUACUGCAAAUCUGCAGUUUCCUUGUGCUGUUGGCAAUGGACCGACUAGGUCCAUGCCCCAUCUCUGGAGAGGCCACGAAGGUGGGAUGAGCUGGAUCGGGAGCGAGGGUGCAUGCGUUUGCCUUGCUGCCUUCUGGCAGGCCACGCAGCUUCGUACAAGCAAGUGUGCGUCCAUGUGGACUCAAGGCUAGUAGAAUCCCUGACGGAUUGCUUUUCCUGCUAGAGCCCUUGAGCCAAUGUGGGUUCCGCAGAAACCACCGUGUAUUUCUUUGAGCAGUUCGCUGCCUGUUUCAUAAUCGACACAGCAUAGCCAUGGUGUUGAAAUGCUUGUCUUGUAGAGUUGCCCCUCGAUAAUUGCGUAGCCCCUAGCCUUUUGCCCCAUGCGUGUAAGUUUGGCUUCGUUUUGAGGCUCAAAAUGACCUCUAAGGAAAGCCAUUAUGCUCGCACGCCAAUCAUAACGUUGAAUGGCGUUGACGGAGGUUGGAGCUUCUUCCUUAAUCAAAGGUGAGGUGAUGAUUUCAUAAAAUGUGUUGGGUAGGAUUGGCUCGCCCUCUGCUGCUGCUUUUGCAAGCCUGUCAGCGUCGUCGUUUAGUGCCCUUGGGAUAUUUUUUACAUCAAACCCCCGAAAGUGCCUCUCCAUGGCACGUACUGCCUCAAGGUACUUAAUAAGCUCUAGCUCUUUGGCCGCGCUAUCCUUUUCAAUGUGGUCACGGAUAACCUUUGAGUCCGUUCUGACGAUGAAUGUUUGUUGCCCUAUGGCCUUCAUUUUCCUUAAGGCCAGCAGCAGCCCCUCGUACUCUAUGGUGUUAUUGGUUGACUUUGCAGUUGGUGGGAAGUCUAGCCUUGCUGCGUACUUGAUUCUUACACCUGUUGGUGAUGUGACAACUGCUGCCACCCCUGCUCCUUUGCGACACCAAGCCCCAUUGCAGUGGAUGACCCAUGGUGUUUCAAGUUGUUUUAGCUCUUGUUUUGGCGAGGUCCAAUCGACCAUGAAGUCAGCCAGUACUUAGGAUUUUAUGGCCGUGUGCCUUUUGAAGUCGACAACGAACUCUGAGAGUUCAGAUGCCCUUUUGGCGAUACAGCUGGAAGCUUCCCUGUUUGAGAAAAGAUCAUGAAGAGGCUGGCUGGUUACAACGACUAUUUUGUGCCCCUUGAAGUAGUGUCGCAGUUUCUGCGCUGCCAUAACGACUACAUAUGCGAUUUUCUCGAGCUCAGAGUAGUGUAGCUUUGAUCCGCUCAGAGCUUCGGAUGCGAAGUAAACUGGUAUUUGCCUCAUUUUGCCUUCGAUUUCUUUUUCUUGAAUCAACGCAGCGCUUACAGCUGUUGCUGAGGCUGAGACGUACAGUAGCAGUGGUGAUUUGGGCUCUGGUGGGCAUAGCUUCUUCAUAGAUUGCAGGUACUCUUUGAGGUCUUGGAAUGCUUUGCUUUGCUCAGGUCCCCAUUCAAGUGUUUUGGAGCUUCGGAGUGUUUUGAAGAAAGGGAGGCUUCGCUCCGCUGCUCUUGGAAUGAAACGGUUUAGCGCAGCAACCCUACCCGUGAGUCGUUGGACUUGUUUGAGCAAAGUUGGUUCCGACAUGUUAGCCAGCGCCUUGAUUUUAUCUGGAUUGGCUUCAAUGCCUUUUGCCGUUACCAGGCAGCCUAGGACCUUUCCUCUUUGAACGCCGAAUACACACUUUUCUGGAUUUAGCUUUAGAUUGGCUGACCUCAGGUUAGCAAAUGUUUUUGUGAGAUCCAGAAUGUGGUCGCUUCGCUUGACGCUUUUGACGAUGAUAUCGUCUACGUAAGCCAGGAUGUUACACCGAAGCUGGUUGUCCAGGACUGUUGCCGUCAUCCUUGAGAAUGUUUGGUCUGCAUUCUUUAGCCCCUCUGGCAUGCGCACGAAGCAAAACGUUCCAAAAGGUGUCACGAAGCUUGUUUUGCCUUCGUCCUCCUUCUUGAUUCUGAUUUGGUGGUACCCCGAGAAGAGGUCAACUAGCGAGAGCAUUUCACUGUUUGUAGCGUCAUCCACCACCUUGUCAAUCCUCUCGAGAGGGUAAUCAUCUUUUUGGGCAGGCCUUGUUGAGAUCUGUGAAGUCUAUACAUAUUCUCCAUUUGCCAUUUUUCUUUUUUACUAGCACCGUGUUAGCUAGCCACUCAGGGUACUGGAGUGGCCUGAUUACGUUAGCCUUGAGGAGCUUGUCAACUUCGGCCUUUACGGCUUGGACCUUUUCGUCGGACAUUUUUCUUAGCUUUUGCUUCUUUGGCUUAGCUCCUUGCCUGAUGUCGAGGCUGUGCUCGAUGAUUUCCCUGUCCACUCCUUUGAGAUCACCUGCGGACCAAGCGAAGAUGUCUUUGUUCUUGUUGAGGCCCUCGAUGAGGUUGCGUUCUUCUUCGGGGUCGAGGUUGGCUCCAAUUGUUACGAACCUGUCUGCAAUGUACUCGUCUAGGAGUACCCGCUUUGUUUCGCCGUCAGCACUGAUCUUUAUUUUUUCUUUGUCCCUCUUGGGCUCGUCGCGGGUCUUUUGCUUUACUGAGCUUUCGGCUUCGCUCGAUGGGGCUAGGUGGUGGAUAUUCUUUUGGCCCAGAGCUACCCCUCUUUCUAUGUUUCUUGCCAUUUGCUGGUCACCAUACACUGUUAUGACCCCCUUGUGUGCGGGUAUUUUCAUGCAUAGGUAUAGUUGCCUAAUUGUUGCGUCCAUCUUGGUGAUGAAACCGCGGCCAAGUAUUGCAUUAUAGGGAUAGUGCAUCUCCACCACGUCGAAGGUGAUGUGCUCUGUUCCCGCAUUGUCGCGAUCCCCAAACGAGACUGGGAGAGCAAUUUUUCCCAAGGCUUUCACUGGCUUUCCACUGAAGCCGAGAAGUGGGAUGUCGGCUGGGUCGAGCGUGUUCAUGUCAGUGUUCAUUUCUCUGAAGGCGUUUGCGAAGAGGAUGUCCGCGGAGCUGCCCGUGUCAACUAGGACUUUUCCAACUGUCCAGUCUGCUAUUAGCGCUUUGAUGACCAUCGCAUCGUUGUGCGAGGUUGUCUUGAGCUUGAAGUCUUCCCCCGUGAAGCUUAUGGGCAUGUGUGCCCAUUCUGGCUUCGUUGGGGGUCCUUCGGGUAUGAUUACAUUGACUUCUCUGAAAUAGUUUCGCCUCUGCCUCUUGUUCUCGAACUCUAAAGAGGAGCCUCCGGUGAUUGGCAUUAUCAUGCCGAAGGUAGGUAAGGAGUUUUGGUUGUUGUUUUGCGUGUUAGGCUCUGGUUUGGGCAUUAUGGCUGGUAUGCUUGGGGGAGGAGGUAGUGUUUCUUGAGGCUUCUGAGGAGGAUUUGGGUUGGCAUGUUGUGGGAUUGUUUGGUGGUACGGUUGUAUGUGGGGCGGAAGAGGCCAGGUCAUUGGUUGCUGGAAAUUGGUGAAGCUAGGCUGUUUGGAGUAAAAGCUUGGGUGCGGGUAAAAAGCUGUGUGGUGGAUUGUUUUGGGUGCUUGCGUGGCUGCUUCCGCGGCUUCUUCUGUAGCCUUUCUCUCUUCUUCUUCUUUCUUUUUGGGGCACCACUCUGUAUUAUGAUGGUUCCGAUGGCCAUGGUUGACACAGUAGAAUGAUUUUUGCUAUCUUCCUCGAUCUCGUCCUCUACUAGAGUGGCCCCCUCUUUGGGUAUUGUUGUUUUUGUUUUAGCUCUGGCUUUGGUUUUGGUUUCCCUCGAUGUUCAUGACACGGUUCGGGCUAGAGUUUUGAGGCUUAUUGUAAGGCGAAGGUUGCCAGCUUCGGUUCUGGUUUGUUUGCCUUUCCUUGUUACGUUCCGCCACUCUUCUGCGGUGGUCCUCGUCGGACCUGAUGUAUUCAUCGAGUUUGCUAAAAAGAGCACUCAUUGUUUUGGGCUCUUUCCUUAAUAGCUUCGACGCUGUUGGGCCAGGGGUGAGGCCCGCGAUGCACGCGGAUAUUGCUACAGAUUCCUCAAUGUGCGGCGCUUGGGAACGAAGCUGGACAUAUCUUCUUACAUAUUCUGCGAGUGGCUCCUUGUCUUUUUGUUUGCAUUGGAAAAGAUCUGCUUGGGCCGUUUGGGGGUAAUGGAAGCCCUGAAAGUUUUGUGUGACCUUUGCCUUGAGGUCAUGCUAGCUAAUCACCGUGUGUGGAGGGAGUAGUGAGUACCAGUUUAGUGCCGCACCUUCGCAAGCAAUUAUGAAGGACUUGGCGAAGACGACAUCAUCUCCCCCGGCCGAAGCUACGGCGGCUUCGUAACUCAUUAAGAAUUGUCGUGGAUCUGUCCGUCCGUUGAAUUUGGGCAGGGUGGUUGGCUUGUAUGUUGCUGGCCAAGGUGCAGUUUGGAGCCCGAUUGAGAGCGGUGAUGUGGCGUCGACCACGAGAGACACCCCUGGUGAGUGAUGUUGGGUGCCUUGGCUGAAGUUGAGACUGGGUUGGAAUUGUGCCUGAUCAACGGUGGGACUUGGGUGAAAAUAAGCUAUGGUUUGGUUUGCAUUCUCGUGUGGGCUUUCAAGCUCCGCAAUUUCUUUCUGUAAUGCUUCCAGCUGCCGUCUAGCUUCGUUCAAUUUUAAUAGUCUGCUCGAGGCUUCCCUCUGUUGUUGCACCUGUCGUGCUAACCGCUCCUUUUUUCUUUUGACCUCUUCUAUCUCCCGGAGGACUGAGUCUAGCUCAUUGUCCAGGUCAGAAGGGCCAGUAGCUUUGGGCGUUGCGGGCUGCUGGCUCUGUUGGCCGUCAGUGCGGUUGGUAGCUUCGUUUGCUGUGGGUUGUUGGCUUUGGUGGUUGACCUCGGGUAGUUCCUCCUUAUUCGAAAGAACCUGAUCUGUGGCCUCGGAGUUGUAAGCUGAACGGCCUCCACUGUGCUGACUUCUCUCUAUACUGUAAGUCUUCUUUUCCGUUGUGGUGGCAUCGUAGGUUAUUUGUCGAGUUAGACCAUGGUGGGCGCAAAAUGUUGGGUCUCAACCAAACAGUAGGUAAGAUGAAGUAGUAUACGAAGACAAUGAUGUCUCAAGCAAACAUAACUGUGGCUGUCCUAUCAAUGAAUAGUAUCCAUCUCAAGGGAACGGUUCACCUCCCUUUAUAGGGCCAUAAAGUUACAUUUCCGCAUACCCGUUAUACCCAUACCCAACAACUACAUCCCAGGCAUAUCCCGUACAAGACAGUAACUUGACCCCUACUUAAGAUGUCGCUUUCAAAGUGGGAUUACAUUUCUAACCCUUUCCAAGAUCUUUAUUACAAAAUUGACCCACAGUAAUGUGGUCCUAGGGCUGUCUUGAUUCCUUCCUUCCCUACUCGUUAGCUUCGUCGAGACUAAGUAUGCCUCCGCGUGCUCUCCACCUUCAUUGGUCGAAAUUUGCUAACCUUGGGCUUAGGUCGUAGGACCUCCCCGAAGUCAAGUCGCCGAGAGUUCCGUGGGGGCUUCAACUUUGCCACCCGGAAAACCAAGCAGAUCAAAUGUUCUAUAAGGGCGUCGUGUACUCCGGCCGAACACAGGUAUUCCUGGCCUCCACACUGUUUAUAUUUGCUCUCUCAGGUCUUAGCCCGUCGGCCUCUCCUGAGUCCUGACCAGUACCCCUACUGAACAUUCUUUUAGCUUUUAUCUUAAGCUGUCGAUAUUUAUUGGUGGGGGUGAAGAUGCUAUCAGUUACGCUAUGUAUAUGCCUUGCAGAUGACAAGUGUAUUAUCCAAGCGACCGGCGAAACUGGACAUUCAUGUACUGUUGUCAUUGUUGCUCAUAUGCUAUGGACUUGGCAUGCAACGUCGUCCAUUGUUCAGCAGUACAUGGCAACAGCACCGAUCUGCUCUGGCUGCUUCAUUUCAAGAACGGCGUCACCAACGAUCCAUUUGGAGCCUUGAGCAAUUGGAAUACCAGCACCCACUUCUGCUGGUGGAGUGGCAUCAAGUGCAGCCCGACACGACCAUGGCGCGUGACGAAGCUCAACCUCACCGGCCAAAGCUUGUGUGGUCAGAUGAGUUCUUCUCUUGGAAACAUGAUCUUCGUUGAUCUGUCCAACAAUAGCUUUACUGGUACCGUGCCUCUUCUCAACAAACUCCAAUACCUGAACUCCCUUUUUCUGGGAAGCAACCUUUUACAGGGUGUUAUUCCUACUAGAAUAGGCUUUCUUACCAAGCUACAAGGUCUAAGCUUUCAAAGAAAUUCUCUCUCCGGGGUCAUCCCACCAGGCCUCGGCAACAUCACCGAUUUAUCAGUAAUUGUUCUUUCAGAAAAUCAACUGAACGGGCCAAUUCCCAGUGAGUUUUGGCGAAUGCCAAACAUAGCAUCGUUGUACAUGUUCGAAAAUAAUCUGUCGGGUGGAAUCCCGCGAACUCUCUCUAAUUUGUCUUCUCUUGGACAACUAUCCUUGGAGGGCAAUAUGCUGGGCAACACAUUGCCAUCUAACUUCGGCAACGCCCUCCCUAGUCUCCAAAUUCUGUACUUGGGAAACAACAUGUUUGAAGGAUACAUUAUAUUCCAUCUUCCCUAGGCAAUGCUUCAGGUCUAAUAGAUUGGGAUCUGUCAUCUAAUAAGUUCACUGGUCAAAUCCCAAGCAUAUUCGGUAGUCUUUCAGGGCUGUCUAUUCUAAACCUUGAGGAAAACAUGCUUGAAGCAAGCGACAGUGCUGGCUGGGAAUUCUUUGAUGCCCUGACAAACUGCAGUUCCCUGGAGGUGCUUUCAUUGGCUAAUAAUAAUCUGCAGGGAGUCAUACCAUAUUCGAUUGCUAACCUGAUCUACUAAUGAACGAAAACCACCUAUCAGGAAUAGUUCCUCCAAGUAUUGGGAAAUUUAGUGCUUUAGUUAGGCUCUCAUUGGGAAUCAAUAAUCUUACCGGUACAAUAGAUUGGAUUGGAAAGCUGCAGAAGCUACAAAAAUUAAAUCUCAACAACAACAACUUACAGGGGCAAUCCCACCUUCACUUAUUAGCAACCUUACACAAUUAACAACAAUGUCUUUUGCAGAAAAUAAAUUGACUGGUUUUAUACCACCUGGCUUGGGAAACCUUAAACAUAUGACAAGUUUGAACCUUAGCUACAACAAUUUCCAAGGGAGCAUACCAGUCAAGUUUGGCAAUCUUAAACAACCAAUCUCACUACAUGUUUCAUCAAACAAACUUAGCGGGGUCAUUCCUGAAACUUUGGGCCAAUGCCAACAGCUAACCACCAUUCAAAUGGACCAGAAUAUUCUUACAGGAAACACAUCCCGACCACCUUCAGUAAUCUAAAUAGCUUGAGCACGCUUAAUAUUUCGCAUAACAACUUGUCAGGACCCAUGCCAGCUUGUCUAAAUGAUCUUGAGCUUCUCACUAAACUAGAUCUAUCUUACAACAAUUUCGAAGGAGAAAUACCAAGAAAUGGAGUAUUCGACAAUGCUUCAGUUGUUUCACUCGAUGGCAAUCCCAGACUCUGUGGAGGAGCCACUGAUUUUCAUGUGCCUUCUUGCCAUCUUGAUUCUAGAAGUGUAGGACUCGCAAACAAUCUGGUCGAAAUAUUGAUCCCAAUAUUUGGCUUCAUGUCACUUAUAGUGUUGAUAUACAUUAUAAUCUAUGGGAAUAAGACAUCAAGAAGACCGUACUUACUGUUGCUUUCUUUUGGUAAGCGGUUCCCUAAAGUUUCCUACAAGGAUCCAGCCCAAGCUACAGAAAACUUCUCCAAGUGGAACCUAAUUGGGAUUGGAAGCUAUGGUUCAGUUUACAAAGGAAAAUUAACUCAAGCUAAAAUUAAAGUGGCAAUUAAGGUUUUUGACCUUGAGAUGAGAUGCGCCAAAAAAAGUUUCAUAUCAGAAUGCGAAGUGUUGAGAAGCAUUCGUCAUCGGAACCUUCUUCCUAUCUAAAGAACAACUUCAAAAAGCUGCUAAUCUUUACCCCAAUAUUUUUUUUAAGAAAAAAAAAACUCCAACACUUCACCUAAAACUUGAAAAAAACACCCCCUCGUAUUUUCGCGUCACGAGCGCUUUCUCGGACGCGCGCGCAAGGUACCAGCCGCCACGCAGGGGCCGCCCGGCAGCGCCUGCCGUGCGCCCCGUGCCGUGCGCCGCCCCCCGGCCGCCGCCCCAUGGGACACGGCGUCAGCUGCGCCCGCACCGGCGACGAGCACGACUACUUCCACGCGGCGCAGCUCGGGGACCUCGACGCCCUCGCUGCGCUCUACGACCGCCUCUCCGCGCUCCACAUCGCCGCCACCAAUGGGCGCAUCGAGGUCGCCCCUCUUCUCCACGCCAUGGUGAAUCGGCGCAAGCAGGUGCUGGAUCCCAUCAAACUGAUGCCUUUUCUUGUUUGCAACUUGCAAGGAUCUCUCUGCUAGCUUUGGGAGGGGCUGCGGCGCUGGCGGGGUGAGGGGCGGCGGCGGUGGGGCAAGGGGAAGCAGCGCCGACGGGGCGAGGGGCGGCGGCGGUGGGGCGAGUGGCACCGUGUAGUUCCUGCCGUUCUUGCCGCCGCCGGCCUUGCGGCCGAACCCGACGGCGCCAUCUGCGAGGCGCUGCCGGUUGUCGGCCCAGCUCGGGUCACAGCGUCAGCAGUCGUCCACCGGAUUGCCGGUGCCGCAGUCGCCGUCAAUCAUCCGUCGGUGCUGUGACGUAUUCACGCUUAUGUAAAGAACAAGGAAGAUUAAACUCACUGACGGUAAGACGAUGGUAUAAUUUAGUCUCAGAAAUUAAUACAGUUUAGCUACCUGACUAAAUCUUGCACGACCUGUUGCCCACCUGUGGUUGAGGAGUGGAUUGACAAUGGAGAAGAGAUGGAAAGGGGAAGAAAGGGAUGCAGUAAAGCAGAGAAGAUGAGAAAGGCCAUUCUUGUUGAUGACAAGACGAACUUGACAUGAACAACAAUUUAGCAGUAUAGUAGUUGCUGAUCUCGAUCUAAAUAGANNNNNNNNNNNNNNNNNNNNNNNNNNNNNNNNNNNNNNNNNNNNNNNNNNNNNNNNNNNNNNNNNNNNNNNNNNNNNNNNNNNNNNNNNNNNNNNNNNNNCUAGACCGCCUCGACCUGAAAGCGAAAACGAAGAUGCAGGCCUUCCCUGGGUACAAAAGCAGCUUCGCAAGGGGGCUGCUGAUUUUGACGGAGGAAAAAUCAACGACGUGGAGACCUGGUCAGGUGGUGGAGGGAAAAAAACGCACUGCACCUGGUCAGGUGGUGGAGGGGAAAAAACGCACUGCCCAACGUGAUGAUGACGUGACCUGAUUUGAAAUAUUGGGAGACUAGCUUUUUUAGCAUUCUGCUGUGGCUUGAUAUAUUUUUAGAAAGGAACUUUUUUAGCAUAGCUCCUAAUACCUAGUUUUUGGAAGAUUUUUUUAGCAUACUCUUGGAGUUGCUCUAACCACAUGCUCAAUAUUAGUAAUCCUAACGCAUGAGUGGAUCGGUUACGGUUAGUUAGCUUUGCAUGUUUCUGUUUCUGCAUUGCAUGCACACGAGCACCAACCUGUGGCUGCCGUGCGCGUAGGAGGGGGUGGCGGGAUUAGCUCGCACAUGACCCUAGGAUGACCGGUGAUUCAGCGACAUCAUGGGCACGGGGAUCGACGUGCUCGCUGCGCGGUGCGCGGCUGACCACUGCGUGGACUUGUUCUUUGUAUUCACAGAAUAAAAGAAAAUAUACAGAAAAUGCUGCAAGUCGUUACGCAGCACCAAAACCUCGAGUUUCAAGCGUUCUUGAGUUUGAGUGUUACUUGCCAUCGCGAGCUCGCCGCGCCGGACGUCAGGAACGCCGGUUCGAAGCUAACACUCAACAAUAGACAAUACUGGCAACGAUUUCAAAGCUCUAAUUUAUGUAGUAAUGCAGAAUGGGAAUCUGGACACGUGGUUGCAUCCCAGACCUACUGCAGAUCUGAAACAUUUGGACUUGAUACAGAGAGUAAACAUAGCUGUCAGCAUAGCUGAUGCCUUGGCAUAUUUACACCACGACUGUGGGAAUCCUAUUGUCCAUUGUGAUUUGAAACCAACUAAUAUCCUUCUUGAUGAUGAUAUGAAUGCCCAUUUGGGAGAUUUUGGCAUUGCAAGUCUAGUUCUUGAUUCUAGGUCAGCACCAGUUGGACAUUCUGGGCUUAAUAGGUACGCAGAUUGUCACGUCCUGCAUUUUUAUCUGGCAUUUUCUUGUUUCAGAAAAGAUGAGGCAAUCUUUUAUGCAAAUGAAUAUCUUGACUUCAGACUGCACUAAUCAUUAGAUUUUAUACGUUUUUCUCAGAGUAUGGUCAGUGUGUUCAUGCAUCAACAUGUGGGGGAUGUUUUACAGUUUUGGAAUAGNNNNNNNNNNNNNNNNNNNNNNNNNNNNNNNNNNNNNNNNNNNNNNNNNNNNNNNNNNNNNNNNNNNNNNNNNNNNNNNNNNNNNNNNNNNNNNNNNNNNUAGCUUUGUGGAGAGGAACUUUCCAAAUCAAAUGUUAGAUAAGAUCGAUGCUUAUCUCCAAGAAGAAUGCAAGCGCUCUAUACAAGCAAUGCCAGAAGCAGAAAAGGAGAUCUAUCAAUGCUUACUAUCACUCGUGCAAGUAGCUCUUUCUUGCACGCGUCUAUGCCCAAGAGAACGAAUGAGCAUGAGAGAAGUAGCCAUUAACUUGCAUGCAAUCCGGAGGUCAUAUGUUGCAGCGAUCAAGCAAGAGUAAGUCAUUUUUUGCUGGAGUUAUGUCCAACAUGCCAUGGAGCUUAGUUAAUUAGUUAAUUAGUAUGUCUCUGGAGGCAACAGGCAUAAAGAUUAUAAAUUAGCCUGGCCACGAGCACCAUGCUGAAAUUGACGAACAGCACUGCUUGCAACGUCUUGUACAUAACUGAAACUAAGAUUUGGUUUGUGAACCUUAGUAAUAAAAUGCAACUGGUAGAGAAGGAACUGAUUAUUCGAUGAAACAUUAAGAAUUUGAAGAAGUGUCACAGAUCGCCUUGUUGAUUGUUAGCGUGACUGUAAUACUAGGCGACUCUUUCAGAUAAUUCAUCGUGCGGACUACUCAUAUGAACCAAGUCCCAUCUACGCUUUGAUCAGUGAUCACCAUGUAGGAUACAUUCCAGAUUCCCUAGGCAAUGCUUUAGAAUAGAUUUGGAUCUGUCGUCCAAUAAGUUCACUGGCCAAAUACCAAGCAUAUUCGAGAACAUUCAGGGGUUGUCUCUUCUAAACCUUGAGCUAAACCCUGAACAUCCUUGAAGUAGGCAAUAGUGCUGACUGAGAAUGAUCAAUGAUGCCAUGGCAGACUGUAUUCCCCUACGUCAGUGGUCUCAUAGGUCGUCUCAUGCAGUGCCACGUCAGAUUUUUGAUGAUGUGGAGGAGAAAGAGCGAGGAGAGAGAAAGAGAUUGUUGUUUCGCUAAACAACUUCCUCAUGAGCUAAAUUGUAGGACUACAAGAUCAGGGGCGGAGCCAGGAUUUGAGGUAAGAAGGGGGCAAUGGACAAAGUAAAGUAGAACUGAUAGUCAUGUGAUUAUGGAUUACCUGCGGCGGUGUCAAUUUGGACAGCGGUGGUGGCGUGGCCGCGGCGGAAUCGCGCAGCGUCUCAACUCUCACGUCCAAUCUCCUAGUGGCCAGUCCAGCAGUACCAGCGCCGCACGGACGCGGUGUCCGGCGAACUAGUGAAGGAGAAGACCGAUAGACCGAAGAUGAAUAGUCGAACGGACAGAGUCACGACGCUUGAUGCUUCGUAUUCCAAACAAUAAUGAAGGGAGAAGGCCAGCAACAACUAGAUAGGUUUAAAUGGACUGCUUCUUAUUGGGUCUCAAAAACAAUUAACGUUUGGAAUGAAUGGGCGGAAGCGAUGAGCUGAACAGCUAAUACGUACAUGUAUAUUAGGAUCAGGGUUUAGCUGCCACCCGAGGAUCAGGAGGUCACCCGAGGAUCGCGUGGCUCGGCACCGCUAAUCUUGUAGCUGUAGGUGCUAUAUCAGUUCAUCCAUUAGUUUUAUUGCUGAAUGAAAUGAACCAAAGGACGGCAACCACAACCCUCAUUAAUAAUUAACCUUGGAUAAGCAAAACACACGCAAUUGUUGGUCACAUGUGUUUGCUGAUACAUUGUAGGCUCAUCUGAUGCACGACGUGGAACUAUCGUGUUCCUUCCUGGGGCUCCUACUCAAUCAUUUAGGCCCCCUUUGGUACGGCUCUCCCACCGACUCUUGCAGCAGCUUUUGCACAAGCUGUACCAAAUACCUCAAAUAAAAACGGCUUCAACCCGUGAGUUGCGCAAAAGCCGCUGGCCAAAACAACUGGACGGGAUGAGCCGCAAAAAAUAGCUUCCCCCGACUUCUCCCCAUCCACGUACCUGAUUUUCCAUCCUUCUCCCCGGCUGCUCUCCUCCCCGGCGCACGUGCGCCGACGGCCACCUCCCUGCGCCGCGCCCCGCCGGCUCCUUGCGCCACACCAGCGGCCUCCUGCGCCGCGCCCCGCCGCCUCCCUACGCUGCGUCUCGCCACCUCCCUGCGCUGCGCCCCGCCAGCACCCUGCCCGCCAGGUGCACGCGCUCGCGCGGGGCCACGGCGUGGGGGCAUGACCGCCAGGAGGGAGGAGGGAGGAGAGAGGAGGGGCCGGUUGGGAUCGGAUAAGGAGAGAGGAGGGGUGGUCGGGAUAGGAUGAGGAGAGAGGAGGGGAAAAGAAAAGAGGGGGAGUAAAGAGAAAUAAAAAAGGCAAGAAAAAGAAAAUGAAGAGAAAAAAGAAAAAGAAAAGAGAGAGAAAAAAAAUAUAAGGGUAUUUUGGACAUUUGACAUCUUCUUUACAUUCUAAAAGGCUAGGAGAAGCCGUUUUGCCAAACGUUUUCGUGCAAAAUAAGCUAGAGCCAGAAAAAAACUGUUUUUCCAUAAGAGCCAGAGCCAGAGCUAUUUUUUCACGAGCUAAAGCCGUGCCAAACGGGCCUUAGUUACCGCGUGGUUAUGGCUCAGGUUAGCUUCACUGAACCUGUAUACCAUUGGUACCGCACAUUAUCCACUGAACCUCCCUACGCCACCCGAGGAUAGGGGGGUGCCUGGCUCCUCCCUCCCUACUCAAUAAUCAUUGUACGAGUUAUUGUUGCUAUGCAACUCAUAAUAUUUCAUUUUUUCAUAUGCACAAAUUAAGAAAUUAUAUAGCUCUAUCAAACACAACCCAUUAUAUGGGUUGCCUGUUGAGUUAUCUCAAAAUUAGGUAUCAAUGCAUGAGACCGCCUAUUAGACGAUACCAAUGUACUUAUCCUAAGGGUUUGUUCAGUUAAUCCCCUCCGCGACAGGAUCGAGGGAGGGGAACUAACCCCCACGGCCCACCCGGCCAACCGUACACACACAUAUCCGGAAUUAACAACCAAACAAGGUGUAAAUAUGCUUUCAUUGGCUAUUAAUCAUCUUCAGGGAGUCCUACCGAAUUGAUUGCUGACCUGUCCACAGGCACAGACCUCACAACUAAUGAGUGGAAACCUAGUGCCUUAAUUAGUCUGUCACUAAAUACCGACAAUCUUACCGGUACAAAUGAGGAACGGAUCGGAAAGUUGACGAAUCUAUAAAAUCCAAGUCUUGGUGCCAACAAAAUUGUAGGAAAAAUCACGUCUUCCAUUAGCAAUCUUACUCAUUAUUUGAUACUUUCAUAUUUUGUAGAAAUAAAUUCAUUGUUUUUUUUGAACCGAACAGUAGGGGAGGCCCUAGCUUUUUCUAUUUAUAUGUAAAAAAGAAUAGUAUGUACAUGAGUGGACUCCAAGUCCAAAGACAAAAGAUGGGGGAGGCUACCGGAAAUUACAUAACCAAGAUUUUAACUCCAACUUCAAGGACGGCUUGGCUCUAUAUAGCACAAGCGACAUCUAUAUGCUUCCAUCUUUGAAGUGAUAUAGCAACACCAUCGAAAAUGACCUCGUUUCUAUGCUUCCAGAUGGCCCAGCAUGCUAGAAUGAGUAUCUCCCUGAAAAUUCUCGAGCCAAAAUCCCUUCUAGAUUCAACAAUCCUGUCUAAGCACAUGAGGUUGAGGUUCCAGCGAAGAACAUAGAGCAAUCGCCAACACCACUGGCUAAAAGAGCAAGUGAAGAAGAGGUGAUUUGAGGUCUCCUCAACACUAGCACUGCAAAGAGCACGCACAGCUGUAGUCAUCUAGAAUUCUUUGUUUCCUGCAUAAUAUGUUUUUGGUGUUUAAUCUGUCUCUCAGUAGCAGCUAAAACGUGAACUUGUGUCGACCUCGGCUACAUGAUCUCCACAUCCAUAUGAACAAAACGUGAACCCUACUUUUGAAUCCCAAUCACCUUAAUUAAAAUAUAUACCAAUAUAUGAUUCUAAAUUAUUUAUUUCUUACGCUAUUGGUAUAUGAUAUAAUAAUUAAGGUAUAUAUACAUAUGUGUGUCACCAUUUAUAAAGAUAUAGAAGAAGUGAUGAGAAUAUAGAUUUCUAUGUUAAAUUUGCAACUAAAUUGCCCACCACUAAUACUUAAAAAAUAACUUAAAAAUAAAUUAAAGUGACCCCUUAAAUUUGCAUCUUUAUUACUCACGUAUGUCAUUAUUAAAAAUAACAAGAGGUAACCUACUUUCGAAUCCAAAUCACCUUAAUUAAAAAUAUAUACCAAUAUAUAAUUCUAAAUUAUUUAUUUCUUACACUAUUGGUAUAUGAUAUAAUAAUUAACGUAUAUAUGCAUGAUGUGUGUCACCAUUUAUAAAGAUAUAGAGGAAGUGAUGAGAACUUAUGGUUGGUAGGCGUCGUAGGCGUCGUCAGUAUGCGCUUGAGUUAAAAUUAUAGCUCAAAUUUAUGGUCCAUUAAAUAAAUUCAAGCGCAUACCGACGAUGCAAAGUGAAAAGUUAACGAUUAUAAAUGUGGAUGAAAAUGUUAUGGAGUAAUUACUAACUAAACUCUAUCACAAUCUGAUGAAGAUAAUAAGUAUAUAUCUAUAUAAGUAUUAUGUUAGGAUAUUUAACAAAUGAGAGGUAGCUUAAGGUAAUAGUUUCGUAACAAUGGGAUCUCAUUUUUUCCAUUAGAGAUUCCGCAUUAGUUCUCACGAGACACGCUAGGAAAAAAAAUCCUAUAAAUUCUCACAAAAAUCAGAAACACCAAACAUCAAUCGUGCAAACUCUAAUAAUCAUAGUCAUUGGUCUAUAAUAUUUUAUAAAAGGUUACCUACCAUUAUCAUUAUGAACAUAUUCUAAAAUAAACACUAACCCUAUAUCUAAAUUAUGGAGCUCUGCAAUUAUAAAAAACUAAUCUAAAGUGACCCCAUAAUCUUCGUCCAAUUUACUUAUGCAUAUCAUUAUAAAAUAUAACUUAAAAUAUUAUUGUAAAUUUGUAUCUAAGUUACCCACGUAUGUUCUUAUUAAAAAUAACCUAAAGUAAACACCUCAAUCUUAAUCUAAUUAUCUUCAUAUGCAUCUUCAAAAAAGUCCAAAAGUAAACAUAAUGAGUGUCAUUGUUAAUAUAGAAAUACAAAGUUAAGGUAUAUACGCAUGAUAAGUGUCACCAUGUAGACAAUCUAUACAAAUAUGUGAGGAAGUGAUGAAAAGUAUUGAUUUUUAUGCUAAACAAAAUGUGUGGAGAUGCGAUACAAAAUGAAUAAAAAAGUGUGAAUGUGGAUAAAAAGUGUAUAGAGUAAUUAAUAAUUAAAAACAAUCAUAAGACAAAGAUAAGUAUACAUCUAUAUAAGUAUUAUGUUGAAAUAUUGAAAAAAACUAAGAGAGUAGUAGGUAAACAAUUUUGAUUAUUAACUAGGAGCUCAAUUUUUAAAUAAUUUUCAAAUAUGAUAGUUUUUAAAAAUAUUAACCUGUGCGGGAGCAAAGGUUGAUGGACUAGUACAACUAAUACUGAUCACUAGAUAUUUCUCCAAUUGAAACGGUGUUCAACAUCUGCAAAACCCUGUAAAGCACGGCAUUGUACAGACUAUUCUUGUCCAGAUGGGAUACAAGUUGACUUGACCCACUCGCUACCCUGUCAAAGAUAACCUAUGAACGAAUCAUGCCCACACAUACAUUAUGGAAGUACCAUCAUCACAAAGGUCCAAAUCGGACCUGGAAUCGAAAAUCCAGCACCGUAGACCAUUCCUCGAGCUGAAUUUUAUCAUCACCGUAAAACUGCUUUUAAACCCCUGGGGCCUCAGCCAGUUGAGCAUCCAGCUCAUACUUCCAGUUCAAACACCCACUAGCAAGCAAAAUAGAAGCAGAUUAGAAAGGCUGCCGCACAGCAGAGGUUCCAUACUCUCUCCCACCCUUCUCUUCCUCCUCAUUUGUGUUCGGUGCUACUAUUUAACUAUCCUUUUUGUGCUGUUACUUUUUUUAAGAUGAUUUUAGCUUAGAUGUAUAAUAAUAUUUAUAAACCUAGAAAAGUUAAAAUAAUCUACAAUUUAAAACGGAGGAAGUACUUCUUAGAAUUAGCUCUGCUUACAGCAUGAGCUUACGCUGCGUAGUUCAUCUAGUAGUACUUUAUACGCUACCAAGUUUAUGCUUUAAUUUUGCAGGUGACAAUUAAUAUGCUUCUCAUGCGUCACUCGAUGUUGCUGGCAAAACUUGCCGUGCUUAUCGUAUUGCCUUUUUUGCUGCUGUGUUAUGGAGUUGGCAACGUUUACUGCUCGACAAUUCAUGAGAACAGAGAAGAUCUGCGCUCGCUGCUCGACUUUAAGAAGCGGAUCAGUGAUCCAAAUGGAGCCUUGAUGAACAAUUGGACAACCAGCACCCAUUUCUGCCAGUGGAAUGGUGUUAACUGCACUUCCACGCCACCAUAUCGCGUCAGAGAGCUCAUCCUCACUGGGCUAAACUUGGGUGGUGAAAUAUCCUCCUCUCUUGGAAAUCUGACCUCCCUUAAUUAUCUUGAUCUAUCCAAUAAUAGCUUUCAUGGUCCCAUACCUCUUCUUAACAAACUCCAAAACCUAGAGUACCUUUUUCUAGGAAGCAACCUUUUGCAAGGUGUUAUUCCCGACGCACUUACAAAUUGUUCUAAUUUAGUUACACUAGAUCUCUCUGGAAACAACCUCAACGGUCUCAUUCCUCCUAGAAUAAGCUUUCUUACCAAACUAGCAUAUAUCAUCCUUUACAGUAAUCAUGUCACUGGGGAGAUACCAGCAUCCCUCAGAAACAUCACAAAUUUACAACUAGUCUAUUUUUCAAAAAAUCAGCUCAAUGGUAGAAUUCCCGACGAGGUUAUGCAAAUGCGAAACUUAAUGGAGUUGCACCUAGACCAAAAUAACCUAUCAGGUAGUAUUCCUGAGGUUUGGCAAAUGCCAAACAUAUUGCUGUUAGACCUAAGCAUAAAUAACCUCUCAGGUCGAAUCCCACGAGCUCUAUCUAAUGUAUCUUCUCUUCAGGAAUGGUCCUUGGCAUCAAAUAUGCUAGGCAGCACAUUACCAUCUAACAUUGGAGAUGCUCUACCGAAUCUCAUGAUUCUAUACUUGGGUGAGAACUAUUUCGAGGGUCACAUUCCAGCUUCCCUAGGAAAUCCUCCAGGUCUACGAGAGAUAGAUCUCUCAACGAAUUAUUUCACCGGCCAAAUCCCAAAUUCUUUGGGAAACCUUUCACUGCUGUCUUCUCUGAACCUUGAUCAAAACAUGCUUCAAUCAACAGACAAUGAAGGUUGGGAAUUCAUCCAUGCCCUGGGAAAGUGUAGAUCUCUAAAAAGACUUUCAUUGUCUAUUAAUAGGCUACAGGGAGCCAUACCAAAUUCUAUUGCAAACCUGUCCAGCACUCUUACAUAUCUGCUAAUGUCUGAAAACAGUCUAUCAGGAACAGUUCCCCCACGUAUUGGAAAAUUUAGUUCCUUAAUUCAACUAUCACUAGAUCAAAACAAUCUUACCGGUACAAUUGAAGAAUGGGUCGGAAAUAUGACAAAACUAGAACGUUUGAAUCUCCAAUCAAACAGCUUUGUCGGGAUAAUUCCACCUUCCAUUGGCCAACUUAUACGGUUGAAAUAUUUAUUUCUUGAUGAAAAUCAAUUCACUGGGUUUAUACCACCUAGCUUUGGAAACCUUAAAUCAUUGUUGCAGCUGCACCUUAGCUACAACAAUUUCAAAGGGGGCGUACCAUAGAGUUUUUGGAAAUCUUAUGAAUCUCAUACAUUUGGACCUUAGUAAUAACAAUCUACAAGGUGGGAUACCCUAGGAGAUUGGUAACCAAAAACAACUUGACAUCCUCCUCCUGUCAUCAAAUAAACGAACUGGAGAAUUUCCAGCUACUUUAGGCCAAUAUCCAGUCUUCACUAACCAUCAAAUGGACCUUGCAUGGAAACACUAAAUCAUUCCCAUAACAACUUGUCAGGUCACAACCCUUUGGCUCUAAGUGAUCUACAGUUUCUUAGUGUGCUAGACCUUUCAUAUAAUCAUCUCGAAGAAGUACCAAGAAAGGGAGUAUUUGAAAAUGCUAUAGCUGUUUAUCUUGACAGCAAUUGUGGACUUUGUGGAGGAGCAAAGGAUCUCCAUAUGCCUUUGUGCCAUAUUGAUUCACCAAGAACAGAGAAUCGGUACUAUUUGGUCAAAGCAUUGAUACCACUGUUUUCCUUCAUGUCAACCCUACUGUUGAUUUACUUCAGAAGAAGGGAUCAAGAAGGGCAUAUUUAUGGCUGCCAACCUUUGGGAAAAAAAUUCCCUAAUGUUUCUUACAGGAGUCUAGCUCAGGACACAGGGAACUUCUCUGAGUCUAACUUGAUUGGAUAUGGAGGCUGCAGUUUAGUCUAUAAAGGGAGGUUAGUCCAAGUUAAAAUGGAGGUGGCUAUCAAGAUUCUUGACACUGAAGAGCAAGAUGCGGAGAAAAGCUUUCUAGUAGAGUGUGAACUUCGGAGAAGUAUUCGCCACCGAAAUAUUCUACCUCUCAUAACCACAUGCUCCACAAUUGACAAUAAAGGCAAUACCUUCAAAGCUCUAAUUUAUGAAUUUAUGCCUAAUGGAAACAUGGACACUUGGCUGCAUUAUCAAGGGGACGGCAGAACUCCAGAAUGUUUAGGCUUAUCUCAAAGAAUAAAUACAGCUAUUAACAUAGCCGAUGCAUUGGCCUACUUACACAAUGACACUGGAAGGCCCAUUGUCCAUUGUGAUUUAAAGCCUAGUAAUAUCCUGCUAGAUGUUCAUAUGAAUGCUUACUUGGGUGAUUUUGGCGUCGCAAGGUUACAUAUUGAUUCUAAGUUGAGAUCAGUUGGCGAUUCAAGCUCAGCCUGUUCAACGAGUGCAAAAGGAACUAUAGGGUAUAUGGCUCUAGGUAGAACUUUAUCCUUCUAGGAUUUUUACAAAUUAUAUUAACAUGAACCAUAUUUUGCAAGUUGUUAUGCACUGAUUAUCACUUUUAUGUCUAUGAUUAGAGUAUGCAGGAGCUGGUAAUACAUCAACUUUUGGAGAUGUUUAUAGUUUUGUAAUAGUACUUCUUGAGAUGCUGACAGGCAAAAGACCAACAGAUCACAUGUUCAGGAAUGACUCACCAUUAUUAGCUUUGUGUGGAAAGGUACUUUCCCAAUCAGAUACUAGAUGUUGUCGAUACUCAUUUGCUAGAAGAAUCCAAGGCGUUCAUCGAAGCAACUGCGGCGACAGAAAAUCUUAAGAUCUUCCUGUGCUUGUUGUCUUUGCUACGAGUAGCACUUAUUUGUACACGCCAAAACCCAAGAGAACGAAUUAACAUGAGAGAAGUAGCAGCCAGAUUAAGUGCAAUCAAGAUGUCAUACGUGGGACUGUGGGAGGAAGAGUUAAGGGCUAAACUUCGUUCAAGAGACUCAUAAGUUGGGCUUCUCACAGGAGUUGAAGGAAGAAAGAAAAUGGUAAAAGUUUAAGCUUCUCGAUACAAUAGGGACUCUGCUUGUAGAACCAAAUUUGAAGAUUUUUGAAUGCUUUAGUGAAUUGAUUGAGUUAUACAAAAACAGCUUCAUUGGUCAAAUUCCUAUUUCUCUUGGCAAGCUCAUUAGCUUGCGCACUCUAUCCCUUGGGAGAAACAACCCUAGCUUGAAGCAAACGACAACCAAAGCUGGGAAUUCUUUGAUGCGUUGAAAAAUUGUAGCCUUCUACAAUAUCUCAUUCUAGGCAACAACCGACUAUAGGGAGUUAGAACACCUUCGGUUGGUAGCCUAACCACCAAUCUUAUAGUAUUACAAUUAAAUUGGAACAACCUUUCGGGAAUAGUUUCGCCAAGAAUACGAAACCUUUCCGGUUUAAUUCAACUAGGAUUAAGCUACAACAAUUUUACUGAACAAAUGAAUAAUGGAUUGGAGGAACUCUUAAACAUAUCUAGCUAUAUCCAUUGGAACAACUUUGAUGGGCCAAUUAUUCUCUACGACGUAUUACUCAGUUAGAAAGACUCUUACUACCAGAAAGUGAAUUUGAUGGUUCAAUACCACGUAUAGCUUAGGAGACCCUCAACAACUUUCCUGGUUGGGCCUUAGUAAUAACAAUCUUCAAGGAAACAUACCUCCCCAGCUUGGCAGCCUUAAAAAACUCACUGAUCUUCAUCUUCAAUCAAGCAAACCCACUAGGCCCCAUAGACUGCCAAGUGAGCUUCUGUCCCGUGAUCUUUUUUCCAGAAACUCCUUUAUGUCUGUGUUCUGUUGGUUAUCAGACUGCUUUGCUGAUGUUGCUUCUCCAUACAAAUCAUAUAUUCAUAUCCAAGAGGAAAUAUCAAAAAUGGAGUAUUUGCAUAUGCGACAGCGCUGUUUCACUAGAUAGCUAUUUAGGACUCUGUGGAGGAGUUACUAAUCAUCUGAAUAUGCUCUCAUGUCCAGCGGUUUCCCAGAGAAUACAAAGCCGAUAUUUUUCUAAUAAGAGUACUGAUCCAAGUAUUUGGCUUCAUGUCAAUUAUGUUGUUGAUCUGUACAUUGACGGACAAGAAGGUUCCAAGUAAAAUAUAUUUAUUGUUGCAGCAUUCAUUUGGCAAGUAGUUCCUACAAAGAUCUAGCUCAAGAGACAGCAAACUUUUUUCUGGAUCGAACCUACUUAGGAGAGGAAGCUAUGGCUCUGCGAUUGCUAUCUCUAGUGCAGAUCGCUCUUUCUUGCACUCGUGUAUUCCCAAGAGAAACAAUAUUGAACAUGAGAGAAGUUGCCAGUAAGUUGCAAUCAAUCAGAAUGACAUACGUGGGAUCGACCAAGAGAAAACAAGUCCUGAUUCAUAUUUAGUAGAGUAUUUUACAAUGUGACAGGAAUAUUCUGUAGGCAGUUUAGGUUCUCUUUGAAUGCAAUGGGCACAAAGUUGGUAAUUCAGCCUAUGAUUUCGCAUGUUAAAAAAGAACAAGAUACCCUGCUACUGCUAAGCUGCAGCCUGUUGGUGGUGAAUGAUGAACAGUGUCCAAUACCAUCAUAUUAAGAUUUGGCUUUUGAGCAUUUGGAAAAUUGGAUUUGAUAAAGUAUCAGUAAGUUGACAAAGUAUUCAGAUCGCUUCUAUGGUAGCGUGUGACUGUAACACUGAGUGGUGUUUUAAACCGACGUUACAUGGAUACGUCAGGGAGGUGCCGUAUCCUGUAUUGUAUACGUAUCCAUAUCGGAUACGGCCAGGAUACGUGAUGGAUAAAUAUAGUAAAUGUUGAUACGUGGGCCCACACGUAUCGGGCUGAUUUUGCGAUACGGCCUAGUCCAAAUCCACCUCUUAUCCACACACCUGCUACCUACUCGCUACAGCCCCCACCCCGACAUCCUCACGCAUUGCGCUGCCGGCCCCUCGCUCCCCCGCACGGUGGUCACAUGAGCGCCUCCACCUGCUGGAGGGGGCACCAGGCCGGCGUCCGCCAGAGAAGGACCUCUGCCAGGGGACGCUCCGUAGCUCUGAUUUGCCUGCGAAGAAGCUCUGCAGCUCUGACAACCAAGCUCACGACGGAACUAAUUGCCAAGGCGGCGACAUUCUGUGAGUUUCUUCCUCAUCAGCUUGUUUGGUGGCUCUUCCCUUUCUCGAUCUACAUUUGUUCUUCGGUUCUUGAUAUUUUGCUGCUCAAUUUUCCGAUUCCCUUCCUCAUCCUAAUCUUUCGCCAACAGAUAGCAGCACCAAAUUCGAGCGUGCUAGUUCUACUUUUUCUUUGCCUACCGGCUAACGCUCCUCUUUCAAGCAAUAACGAUAAGAAGAACAAGAGUGGAUCCGACCUGCUUCACCAAUUGACAAAUUUUUAGCAUUGCACCUGGUUAUUGUUGUAAAAUUUGUUAUGCAUUAUUUUUAUAUAUUAAAAAAUUGACUAAAUGUAUCGGCGUAUCGUAUUGUUUGGAAAAAUCACGUAUUUGCGUAUCUGUAUCCGUCCGAUACUUUAUGAUAAAUGGAACGACGCAGCUAAUCGACCGCAAGUCCGCAAUCUAGCUAACAACCGCUCGGAUCCCUAAUCCGAACCUCAAACUACAGUCACUCAAAAAGUUAAGGUCGACGAGAUGCUGUGCAUACCGUUAGUGCGGCCGCUGGUCAGCCGCCUGCUUCGCCGUCCGCCGCUGCCCGCAACUGCGACUGCUCCACGCUCUGUCCCAGACGACGCGCGCCGCCUGCGCUCGCGUAGUGGCCGAUUUCUUCCGCAACGGCGCGGUGCCGCCGCGGUGGGACCGUGGGAACCGCUUCGUCGCUUUGUGACCGGUGAGAUUUUGCCAGUCUGUAGCCGUCGUUGGGCAAGAAGGCCGACGAGGCUUUGUUGGCUGGGCCGUUUUUGUUUUUGGGCCAUGGCACGAUGACCCAGUCCGCUCUUCUUUGGAUCUGUUCAUGUCGUGCACACAACAGGUGGCGAAUCAGUUCCAACCUUUUUGUUAGCCUCUUGCUUGCCUCAAGAUUUCCAGGAAUUAAUUCUGGCCCUGGGAUAUAGUAGAAAAUUGGUGCUUAAUGGUGACGAAAUUUCCAGGAAUUAAGGGAGCUCCUGCUCUCAAUCUCCAAGUUCAAUCACUCGAAACAAACAAGCCAUAGAACAUGCAAGGUUAUUCAGCUUCUGCACAUUACCAUAUACGUACUUAUGAACAAUGUUAUCUGAAUACAACAACGUCAGGAGUGCAACUUCUUGUUAAGUCAAAUAAUAACAUUGAUUACUUCACCACAUGCUAAUGUAGCUUCCAAAACAUCGACAAAAAAAUAGUUAAACAUAGCGCAAUACAAUUGUACUGUAGACACAGCUACAGUCGCAAUACAACAAUGUUUAGUUUGGCUUGCACAGAAUUUUUUUCUUGGACGAACGGGCACACAAAACUGUGCACUAUUUCUAUUAAUAUAGAAGGAGUAACAAACGGGCAGCCAUGGAAGGCUCCCUCUCCCUACAUGCUAAAAAAAUGUACAAGUGUAAAAGACUAAAACUGAACAGAAAAUUUGGAUCUAUACACUUCUAGGAUGGUUUAAAUUCACAAAGUUCUUUCUUCAAAGAAUUUAUCCAGAUGCACAACCUUUAACGGACUAGCACAAUAAAACACGAGGUUGUAUAUUUCCUUAAGACAUGAAAGAACGUGGUGUCAUGAAAGAAUUUGCAUCCUCAAACAGAACAAAUGAUGCAUGGAUGUAACUCAUCCUCAGAUCUAGUGUCGCUCAAAUUGAUUGGGGAGGUGGUGACUACGCUUUCGGGCUGCGGCUAACCCUGCUACCCCAUUGGACGAUGCGCUGGCUCCAGAAUGCAAACCAUUAUUGGUGAUACAGUGGUUUCCGUGUGAGCUUUUUUUUUCGGAGCCCUUAUGAACAUGUAGGUGAGGGAAUCAAAGGACGUAGCACAUAGGGGUCGCUCAUGGUUUUGGCGUCGUGUCCGGCGGCCAAAUACAUUCCGUUGCGUGACCACCCUGCGCGAGACGACACUGCACAAGCGGACGCGGCGGCCUCAUGACUCAUGCGUGCAAUGAUCGUUGCACCUCGUUCCCUUGCCGUCGGGAUGCGUGUGAUGAUCGUGACUACGGUUUCUCGCAUACUUCCUCCGUUUCAAAAUGUAGAUUUUUAAUUUUUUUAAGUACAUAGAUUUUACUAUAUAUCUAGACAUUACCGUAUAUUUAAGUGCACAGUAAAAUUUAUGAAAUUAGAAAAAAUCAAAACGAUCUACAUUUUGGAACGGAGGGAGUGGAGAUAGAUGCUGCUAUGCUGCCGCAUGUGCGACGAAGCUAGCUUAUGUACACAGUUUACCCUGUAGCAUAGAUCUCUGGUCAGUAGAUAGAUGUUUUGUUCACGAUUCCCUUAAUUACUGCAAGUGGUGCACAAAUUACGACUAGCGCCCAUAAACCUUCAACAAGAUGCAAGCUGUAUCCGGCAUACCAGGGUGGAGAAUGGCCCUUAUACAGUCGUACUGCUGUACAACCACUGAUUUCACAAUUCAGGACUCACGUCCUAUACUCCAAGUGCCUGAUUUUUUCCUUACCUUUUACUUUUAUUCCAGUCGCCAGCAAGUUAACGGCAGCGGCUCUCUGGUGGAACUUGCCGGGUGGUGGCAAGCCUGGCUGUGAGGGCAGGACCGCAGGAAGGCAGGGCUAGGGAUGCGGGGCGGGUUUUUUUGGCCGCGAACCUGCUGGGUGAGCCCGUACCGUGAAUCCACGUAACCCGCGUAAUUGCAGCGGUCCAAGCGGGCAUGCCCGCCGUACUCAACGGCGCCGCAAGCGUCAUUCAUACGAGCGUGAAAAUUCUUAUCUUCUCCUAAUAGUACAACAGGCCGUCCCUAGUCACUGCUUUGACUUUUUAUCAACCAGCGGCUGGUAUGUUGCUUAUAUAUGGAGCCACGGCAACUUAUGUAACUAGAUUUUGUGUUUGUUGAAGAUUUUUUUACCUCACGAUCUUGUAAUAAGUGUGCACAUGAAUUAGCUCGAUCUAGUUUGAGUUGGGACUCGGAUCAGUCAUGUGUUUGGCUUAAUCCCCUACCGGAAUUUGUAAAGUUAUUAGCAGUUCAUAAUUUUCCUGAACCACAGACAAAACGAUUUGUAGUGAUGCCCAUUGUUUAGCGACGGGCGAAAUUACCACCUGCACCUACAAAACGUGGGGAGGAGGAUUACUGUAGCAUCCGCACCGCCCCUGGAGAAACAUUUGCAGGGACGGGUCACGAGGACCCGCCCCUAGAAAUGGGCACUAUUUCCAAGGGUGGGUGAUGCCGAUACGUCGCCAAGAAUUUUUUACAACAAAAAGAAAAAUAAUUUGCAGGGAUGGGUGAUGGCGUCAUCCGUCCCUAAAAAUCUUUUCUAGGAGUAGGUGAUGGUGUCACCCGCCCCUUUCCCAGGGCAGGUGACUGCUAAUGCCUCCUAUAUAAGGCAGUCCGCACCGGGGACUUAGCCAAAAAUUCACAGAAGCGCGCGGGACGUCGUUAGGCUGCCGAAUUUUCACUUCCCUCCCCCGAUCUGCCGCCCCCUCCCCCAUGGGCUCCACCACCGCAGUGCCUCCCCUUCCCCCCGGGCCACCGCGCCACGCCUCCUCCCCUCCCUCACGGCGCCUUCCUGUCGCGGCGCCUCCCCUCCCCGCUGCCUCCACCGCUGGGCCAUAGCGCUGAGCCUCCUCCCCUCCUCCCGUGGUGCCUUCCCAUUGCGGUGCCUCCUCUCCCCGCGUCUCCCCUCCUGUGCCGCCUCCACCACCAUGCCUCCCUUUCCACGGGCUACCGCCAUAGCGCCUCCCUCCCCCGCGCGCCUCCCUUCCCCGCGGUGCCUCCGUCCACGACCGUCAGUUUCUUAAUUUUAUUUUAUUUUCUUUUUAUUUUUUUAUUUUGAUUUUAUUUUAACUAUGAGCCGUACUCUCUCCGUCCCAAAUUACAAGUUAUUUUGGCCUUUUUAGAUUCAUAGACUUUGUUAUGCACUAAGAUAUACACUAUAUCUAGAUGCAUAAUAAUAUCUAUGCAUCUAGAAAAGCCAAAACGACCUAUAAUUUGGGAUGGAGGAAGUAGUACUUAGUGUAAAACAACAAUUACAAAUUUCUUCCAUUAUCUUAGACAAUCUUUUAUCCUUAGCAUUUCGUGAAUUAUGAUGUUUUACGGCGCAAUUAUUAUUAAAGUUGAUGUUUGUGGAAUAAUCUAUCUUAUUACAAUUUUAUUUGGAUAGUUUGUGCUAAGUAUGGCAAAUAGACAUUCUUUUCGCCACGGUGGUGGCGGUCGUGGAAGUGGCAGGGAACACUACAUUUUCGAGGAGCCACCGUUGGUUCGUCCUCCGGGAAUUCACUUCCCUAAUCGCGUCAUUGACUUGCCUACCGACGAUCGAAGUAAAGGAGCAAUUUCCAAUAUAGUAAUUCCUAAUUUUAUUACACAUGCAUAUAGUUCCCAAUAUAGUAAUAUUAUUUCCUUCUUGUAAUUGGUUGUUUUAUUACACAUUAAUAAUUUCUUUUUACUUACAUACAAUAUAGCUUAUGGACCCUAUUAGAUGGCUCAAAGAUGUUGUCGAAGCUCUAGAUGGUACCACUCCUUUAGUGUAAUCCGAGGUUGGUGGUGCAAGUAAUUUUAUAAGACUAAAGAUCUCUUUUGAAGUACCUGUUCGAGGAGGAUAGGCCAACUUGAUGCGACGACCAGGAUAGGCUAUUCCGAUGGUAUCAAUUGUCGCAUGAGGUAAAGAAGCAGCUUGACUUUUGAAAAGCCCGUCGUAAAGGCAUGCCUACAACAACUGGAUAAUGGGUACUUUAUGCCAGGCUUCUUAUAUUUUCGAAUAAAGACGCUCGAGGAGAGAGAAAGCAAUGUGACUAUGACUACUGUGAGGUUUUAUCAGCUGAAUCAACAUGACAUGGUAUGUAAUAUAUCUAUUCAUUCUUACAUCUUUAGUUAUGUUACAUCUCUCAACUUUCAUCACAUUAUUUUUAUUUUUAGGAUAUCUUUGGUCAAAUAUUUGCGGCAAUGAGAUUUCAUACGAUUCUAGCUCAAGUCUUAGAUGUGUUGAAUUAUAGUUACAUCGAUGGAAACUUGAUACGCACUAGAGAUUUUAAGCUCCAGGCUCAUCUCACUUUCUACAGGCCAUAUGAUUUUACCUCUCCAUUGUUCGAGAUUUAUGGUAGUGUAUGUGAUCAUCCAUACGAAGCGAUAGAGAGUGCACUAAUUCAUGCUCUAGUUUAUAUUGAUGAAGUUCUAGGCUUUAAGAUUAGAGACUUAAACUAUAUUUCAUAUCUAUGAAGCGAAGCUAAGUAUGAAAUAUGUAGCAUGCAUGGAUGCUCUACCCUUUUCUUAUGAAUUUGAACUUGUUCUGUCUAAGACCAAAGUAUUUAUGCAUGAACUUGCAUUAUGAGACUGGUUAUAUAUAUUCUGUUGCAUAUACAAUGUUCUGUGAGUGUUGGAUCUGAAUGGGUUGAUACAUGGGAGAAUCACAUUUUAAAAAUUUGGCGCAAAAAUAGUACAAAAUUUUGGCGGGAACGACAUUUCCAGCGGCGGGUGAUACCAUCACCCGCCUAGUUUGUAAGGGCGGUUCAUGACAUCACCCGCCCUUGAAAAUGUCUUUACAGGGUGGAUCUAUUACACGCUCUUGCAAACAGCUACUUUUAACUGCGAAAAGCAGGAACGGAUAGCAUGCCCGCCUUUACAAAUGCUAUUUCAACCAUCCUUGGAAACCGUUUUUUAUAGUGAUAAAUAAAAAAAUAUUUUUUAAAAAAAGUACAAUAGGCCGUCCUAACCCUACGAGCGUCAUGCGUACGAGCGUGAAGCGUCCCUGCCCUCCAAACCCAGUAGCAAUCACUGUGGCUCCUGAGUGCUGCCCCAAGCUUGAAGCUUCGUAUCCGAAAGUUCUCCUUUGGCCGCACUUGGCAUUGUCCUGCGACCCUGUCUCCCAGUCUGGCAGACCGCCACUGCCUGGCUCGAGCACGGUACCACCAUUCAAGUGAAGCAUUAGUGGUCUCCGUUUCAGCCAUUCUCGAGACCAUCCGAACAGUUAAAUUAGGUCAGGCAUAAGAGGAUAUCAAACGCCUUCCUGGAUCGCUGGGCUUCGUGCCGAAGCCAGCUAGCUACACACCUUUGGCAUCGUCGGGGGCUCAUCCCUGCACAAGAUAGUCGUGCCGUUCGAUCACCAUCCCACGUUGGCAGCCUGGCAGGACGCCCGUGAGGCGAUGAGUCGUUACGCGAGCUUAGACAGGUUAAGUAACUAUAGUAACCUUCUACUGCUUUAACUAACUGAUAAUCACUUCGAAGGAAGAAUACCAGAUUCUAUUCACUAGUAGAGAAUUGGCUUUCGAUCCGCCCCCUUUUGUCCCGGUUUAAAGUUGGCCCGGGACAAAAGGGGGUGCGCCACGGUAGGUAAAAUUGGAGGGGAGAUUUACUCCCGGUUGGUAAUUGCAACCGGGACUAAAGGCCCCACUUUAGUCCCAGUUGCAACGGCUAGCUGGGGGGCGUCGGUGGCGGGACCCUUUUAUCUCAGUUGGAGGAUCCAACCGGGAUAAAAGGUGAACCCUUUUAUCCCGGUUGGAGGCACCAACCGGGAUAAAAAGUUUAGUCCCGGUUGGUGCCUCCAACCGUUGGAGCCUCCAACCGGGACUAAACUUCCAACCAGGACAAAAGGUGUUCCUUUUUGUCUCGGUUGGAGUUUUUAACCGAGAUAAAAACUCAUCCCCAUUAUAUACGGCCAAGACAGAGGACUUUCUUCCUCCUCCAGCCCGAGCCAGUCCAGCACAUUGACAGAGAGAGCUGAGCUUCACCUACUCUCCAGUGGUGCCGAAGCAAGCAAGGAAGGUGCUGCCCGAAGUUUUUUCCCUCAUUUUCGUGGGAAUUUCACUUGGCCAACACAAGUGUUGCGAAGGUUUGCUACUUCAUCCUCGUGUUAUGCUUUGAUUUAUGCUUUGGAGAUGGAAAGAUUAUUUGCUAGAAUGUGAUGAUGAAGUAGAAAAAUGGAGAGGUAUUUUGAGCUAGAAUGUGAGGGAGAUUGAUGUGUCAUAUAUAGUAUGCAUUAUUGCAAUGGUUUAAAAAUGAUGCUACCUUGUCUAGACGGUUUAUCUUAUCAAAUUCAAUAUAGUUUUUUAAAUCCAUACUUGUUGAACUUGCAUACCAUGUUCAUUUCUGCUACGAUGUUCUCCGCCGAGCAGCAACGUAUGUCAAGAAGGAGGUUCGAUUCUACAAGAAAGAGUGGAUACGGACAUCGUGACCGUGUCCCCUUUUCCGUAGCAUCUAACCUCUUUCAUGACGAAGUGCGGUGCUGCCCAGCUGAGGACAUCCUCGCGAAAUGAUCACGGUCUUCAAGUUCAACAACUUCUGUAGUGGUAAGGAAAGAAUUUUUGUACAUAGAUGACUUCUGCUACUUGUUGAACUUGCAUACCGUGUUCAUCUCUCCGAGGAUGUUUUCCGCCGAGCAGCAACGUAUGUCAAGAAGGAGGUUCGAUUCUACGAGAAAGAGUGGAUACGGACAUCGUGACCGUGUCCCCUUUUCCGUAGCAUCUAACCUCUUUCAUGACGAUGUUGGGAUACGAGGUAGGCUACACUAGCGUAAAUCAAAAUUUCUACCGCGUAUAACCAGGAAGAACUGCCGUAUAAGGAUCACGGGAUUACCACUCGACGCACUACUGGUGCGGAAGAUGUAGAUAUGCGUCGAUGCAGUGAAGACGAUCACGUAGUCGUACGUAGUCGAUCAACGUAGUCGUACGUAGUCGAUCACGUCACGUCCAGCAGCUCCCACGUGCAGCAAGAUCGCCUCCGGUGCCGCGGCUCAUCGUGGCUCGUCGAUGGCUCGUCCAAGUGCUGCAGGCGCAACACCUCCAAGGUAUCCACACGUGCAGGGAGGAAGCGUCGCAAGCUGGACUGCUAGAUCCGCGAGUUGCAACAGGCGAGGGCGUGGGAGGCGCGGCAGAUGUGUUUCGCCAAAAGGUGUAAACCCUAGGGCGCCCCCACCCCUCUAUUUAUAGAGGUUCCUGACGGGCCUCUGGAUCCGAGGCCCAUUAGUACUUCUAAAACUAAUCCAACUCGGAUCUGAUCCGAAUUGGGCUUCCAGCCCCUUAAGUGUGUGACCCUAUGGGUUCGGAUACGUAUAGACAUGGCCCGAGUACUCCUACUCGGCCCAAUAGUCGGUAGCGGCCUCUAGCAAGACGUGCCAACUCCUACACGCACACGAAGAUCAUAUCAGACGAACCAUCACAACAUAAUAUACAUGCUAUUCCCUUUGCCUCACGAUAUUUGGUCUAGCUUCAAGCCGACCGCUCUUUCUCGAUCCUGUGAUUCGGAAUCCCUUUGUAGGUUAACUCUUAACCGUACGUAGCAUGGCCAUGCAUUUUCGGAUCCGAUCACUCGAGGGCCCCAGAGAUAUCACUCUCAAUCAGAGAGGGGCAAAUCCUAUCUUGACUGACCAUGUCUCAUAGCAUGCUUCUUGACAAACCCGAAAGCUACCUUUAUAACUACCCUGUUACGGCGUAGCAUUUGAUAGCCCCUAAGUAGGUCGAUCCACAUCUAGAAUACAUGCGACAGUCUCAGGUCUAAGGACAAAGCGUAUAUGUUGUUUAAAGAGAGAACUACUUCUCGUGUUGGGUCAGUCCUAGCACAUGUCUCCACAUGUGUCCACAUUAUCAGUUCAACAUCUCCAUGUCCAUGACUUGUGAAACAUAGUCAUCAACUAAUACAUGUGCUAGUCUAAUAUUCAUGUGUGUCCUCACAUGAACUCCGACUAGGGACAACUUUAGAAUAACCAUACAAGUAAAGAGUUUCACAUACAAUUCACAUAAUUGCAAAUCAAUUCAAGUAGCCUUUAAUGGAUAUUCAAUGAACACAAUAUACAAAUCAUGGAUACAAAUGGAAUAUCAUCAUCUCUAUGAUUGCCUCUAGGGCAUACCUCCAACAGUCUCCCACUUGCACUAGAGUCAAUCUAGAAGGUACCUAAUACCCAUAGCUCUUACAUGCGCAUCAUGCUUAGCCUGCGGGAGUGGUUUUGUCAAUGGAUCAGAAAUGUUCAGAUCCGUGUGUAUUUUGCAUAUCUUGAUCUCACCCCGGUUAACGAAGUCUCGAAUGAGAUGAAAUCGCCGCAUUACGUGUUUGUUCUUCUGGUGGUUCCUUGGCUCCUUUGCUUGCGCAAUUGCCCUAUUAUUAUCACAGUAGAGAUUCAAUGGGCUGGACGCAUUCGGGAACACACCAAGCUCAAUGAGGAAAUUCCUUAUCCAAACACCUUCCUUCGCGGCUUCCAAAGCCGCGAUGUACUCGGCUUCUGUCGUAGAAUCGGCCACCGUCUCCUGCUUGGAACUCUUCCAACUAACAGCACCACCAUUUAGCGUGAACACAAAUCCUGAUUGUGACUUUGAAUCAUCUCUGUCGGUUUGGAAACUAGCAUCGGUGUAACCUGUUACAACGAGCUCCUCCUGACCUCCAUAGACGAGGAACAUAUCUUUAGUCCUUCUCAAGUACUUAAGAAUGUUUUUCACCGCUGUCCAGUGACUCUCACCUGGAUCAGAUUGGUGUCUGCUUGUCAUACUUAGCGCAUAUGAAACAUCUGGGCGAGUACUUAUCAUUGCAUACAUGAUAGAUCCAAUAGCCGAGGCAUAUGGCACUCUACUCAUGCUAUCCCGCUCAUCAGCAGUCGAAGGACACUGAGUCUUGCUGAGAUGUAUGCCAUGUGACAUAGGCAAGAACCCUUUCUUUGCCUCUUCCAUGCUGAACCGCUUCAACACUUUGUCAAUAUAAGUAUCUUGGCUCAAACCUAUAAGCCUUCUCGAUCUAUCUCUAUAGAUCUUAAUGCCCAGAAUAUAUGCCGCUUCCCCUAAGUCCUUCAUCGAAAAACUAUUUUUCAGUGAAGUCUUUACGGACUCAAGCAUAGGAAUGUUAUUUCCAAUCAGUAAUAUGUCAUCCACAUAUAAGAUUAGAAAUACUACAGAGCUCCCACUAACCUUCUUGUAAACACAAGACUCUUCUUCGUUCUUGGUGAAGUCAAACCCUUUGACCACUUCAUCAAAACGAAUGUUCCAACUCCUAGAUGCUUACUUCAAUCCAUAAAUGGAUCUCUGAAGCUUGCAUACCUUUCCAGCAUUUUUCGGAUCGAUAAAACCCUCGGGCUGUAUCAUAUACACGUCCUCAGCUAGGUUUCCAUUCAGGAAAGCUGUCUUGACAUCCAUCUGCCAUAUCUCAUAAUCGAAAUAUGCAGCUAUAGCUAGAAUAAUCCAAAUGGACUUAAGCAUCACUACGGGCGAGAAGGUCUCGUCGUAGUCAACUCCUUGAACUUGUCAAAAACCUUUUGCGACAAGUCGUGCUUUAUAGAUGUGAACAUUUCCAUCCAUGUCCUUUUUCUUCUUAUAGAUCCACUUGCACUCUAUGGCUUUAACACCAUCAGGUGGGUCAACCAAGUUCCAAACUUGAUUGUCUCCCAUGGACUCUAUUUCGGAUUGCAUGGCACUCUGCCAUUUUUCGGAGUCUGGGUCCAUCAUUGCUUCUGCAUAUGUCGCAGGCUCAUCAUUGUCCAACAAUAAUAUUUCCCGCAUUUCGCGGAGCCUUGCCGACCUUCAUGGUUGUGGCGGUGCUUCUCUUGCCAUGGGUAUCUCAACUUGUUCUGCUACGUCAGCAUCACUCAUUGGUUCUUGCCCGAUUGGCUCAUCUUGAACUUCUUCAAGAUGCACUGUCUUUCCACUCUUUUCUCCUUUGAGAAACUCUUUCUCUAGGAAAACCCUGUUCCGAGCGACAAACACUUUGCCUUCUGAUCGGUUGUAGAAAUAAUAUCCCAAAGUUUCCUUUGGAUAUCCCACGAAAAUGCACUUAUCCGACUUGGGUGUGAUCUUGUCCGACUGAAGUCGCUUGACAAACACUUCACAUCCCCAAAUCUUUAGAAAAGACAAACUAGGAACCUUUCCAGUCCAUAUCUCAUAUGGUGUCUUAACUACGGAUUUAGAUGGUACCCUAUUAAGUGUGAAAGCUGCUGUUUCUAGAGCGUAUCCCCAAAAUGACAAUGGUAGGUCCGAAUGGCUCAUCAUUGAUCGAACCAUGUCUAACAAAGUUCGAUUACGUCGCUCGGACACACCGUUUCUCUGAGGUGUUCCAGGCGGCGUAAGUUGUGGAACAAUUCCGCAACUCUUUAGAUGAUUGCUAAACUCGUGGCUCAAAUACUCGCCUCCACGAUCAGAUUGUAAGGCCUUAAUUUUCUUGCCACGCUGAUUUUCAACUUCAUUCUGAAAUUCCUUGAACUUUUCAAAGGUUUCAGACUUGUGCCUCAUCAAGUAGACAUAGCCAUAUCUACUAAAAUCAUCAGUGAAAGUUAUGAAGUAUUGGAAUCCUCCUCUAGCCGUCAUGCUCAUUGGUCCGCAUACAUCACUAUGUACGAGUUCCAACAAGUCUACUGCUCUCUCAGGAAAUCCUGUGAAAGGCGUCUUGGUCAUCUUGCCUAGCAAGCAAGCCUCACAUGUCUCGUAUGAUUCAAAAUCAAACGAAGUUAGAAGUCCAUCAGAAUGGAGCUUCUUCAUGCGCUUUUCACUUAUAUGACCCAAACGACAAUGCCACAAGUAGGUAGGACUCAAAUCAUUAGGCCGAGGCCUUUUAGCACUUACAUUACAGACAGGUGAACCAUCAAGAUUUAAAACAAAUAAUCCAUUCACAAUGGGUGCAAAAGCCAUAAACAUAUUAUUCUUAGAGAUCACACAACCAUUGUUUUCACUCGCAAAUGAAUAACCAUCCUUCAUCAAACAUGAAGGAGACAAAAUGUUUCGACUUAAACUAGGAACAAAAUAACAAUUAUUCAACUCCAUAAUAAAUCCUGACGGGAGGUGGAGUUGCAUCGUCCCGACGGUCAACGCAGCAACUCUUGCAUUAUUGCCCACGCGGAAAUCAACUUCUCCUCUUUCCACGCUUCUACUUCUUAUCAUUCCCUGCAUUGAAUUGCAAAUAUGAGCAACCGAUCCGGUAUCAAAUACCCAAGAAUUAAUAACUGUAUCAGUGAGAAAUAUGUUGUCUAUAACAUUAACAACAAGCGUACCUGAGGUAGAAGUACUCUUACUUCCGCCGUUCUUCAACGAAGCUAGGUACUGCUUGCAGUUUCUCUUCCAGUGACCAAGUUCAUGACAGUAAAAGCACUCUUUAUCUGGAGCAGGUCCAGCUUUAGCCUUGGGCGCUGGGUUUGGCUUGGACACUCCAGCCUUGCCCUUCUUCUUCCAAGAAUUGCCCUUCUUCUUAAAGGUAGGCUUGUUCUGUACAGCCAUCACAUGGCUGGUACUAGCGCUUUUCUUAAUGUCUACCUAUGCUGUCUUGAGCAUACCACACAGUUCAUUCAGACCCUUCUCCGUCCCAUGCAUAUGGUAGUUCGAGAUGAAGUUCCCAUAGCUAGGCGGAAGAGAUGAAAGAAUGAAGUCAGUGGCCAAAUCUUUGCCCAUUGGGAAGCCCAGCUUCUCCAAUCGCUGAGUGUAACCAACCAUCUUGAUUACAUGUGGUCCUACUGCUGCGCCUUCUGCUAACUUGCACUCCAGAAAGGCUUUGGACACAUUGAACCUUUCGGUCCUAGCCUGUGUCUGGAACAUGUCCUUGAGCGCCAUGAUCAUAUCGUGUGCCUCAUGAUUUGUUUCGAACUGCAUCUGCAGCUCGGGUUCCAUGCAAGCAAGCAUAAGGCAGCUUACCUCAAGAUUAGCAUCAAAUGCCUUCUUGUAAGCAGCCUUAACGGCAGCAGAUGCAUCAUCAGCAGAUACUGGUGGUAGUGGGGUGUCUAGAACAUCUUCCUUUUUCUCAGCCCUGAGAACAAUUCUUAGGUUAUGGAUCCAAUCCGAGUAGUUUGUUCCAUUCAACUUGUCCUUCUCAAGGACCGAACGCAAAGCAAACGAUGCGGUGGUGUUGCUAGGUGCCAUUUAAUCUACAACAAAAGUAAUGCAAAAUACACUAAGACAAACGUAUCCAUGAUAGAGCAAAUUACAUUAAACUAUUUUAACAGAAUCUACUCCCACUAAAAUCAAUAUCGCUCUAUUGAAACUUAGUGAUUCAGGAUCCACAACUAACAAGUCUACUAGUGAGCUUUAGCAUCACCGCUAGCAAACGAGGUAGAUCGGUAAGCAACUUUUGCUAAUCAUAUCACAUAUGACUCCUGUUGUUGGGUGACAUCUCUAUGUCUCGGCACCCAACCUUUAUGCCCCAAGGUCCUUAACCAUUAAGAUAACCUUGUUAAGCAAACCAACCCUUAUGCGUGUAAGUGUCCGACACAAACCCGUCUAGUCAAGGAAAACUAGUGGCACCCUAAUUUCAUAGACCCACCACUAAUUGUACAAGACAUGGGACGGUGCAAGUUUUAGUUGGGAGGGCAUACUAACUUAAACUUUGUGAGGGAUCGUUCUACUUCUAACAUCACAGCAUGCAGAAAGUAAAACAUAAACAGAAUAGCAUUCACACAGUUGUGACACAGUAUGGCCCGUUUCCAUAUGGUGAUCUCCAUCUCCAUGUUCCAUGUGCGCCAUCCUCCUGGUGAAGAUUCCUCCAAGAACUAGAGCAUGCUAUUACGCCUAAUAGCUAGUAAAGAAUCUAGUAAUGAAGAUUACAUAGUUGCUUGGAUCAUCACAGAUUGGUACGCAGACCAUUAAAUACAUUAAGGUGACAACACAUAUGGCUCAUGCCGUGUUGCCGUAUGCGCGACACGCAGGUCACGAAUGAGUUACACACAUGCAUCACAUACACAAGGGGGCCAUACUGAUCACAAGAUACAUACAUACAUCCUGCAAAACAGAGUUAGACGCCCUAACGUUCCAAACUUCGGAUGCCCGAAACUCCAUCUUCCAAGCCGAAUUUGGGAAAUCUAAUUUCACCAAAAACGACAAAGCGUUGAAUUUCAUGUGUAACUUUUUCUGUAGAUCAAUUUUCGUAUAAAAAUCGCCCCGAUCCGAGAUCGUACCGAAAAGUUACGGCUGAUUUACCGAAGCAUACGCAUACGGCAAAAUCCCAACCUCGGCAGUAGAUCCCAUCUACUAUUGCACAUCUAAUGCGCCUGGCGUAUGACCCUGGAUCUCGAUUCGACCAAUCAUAUUGAUCUUCGCUCACUGCAACUGGAUUUACGUGUAUCACUUAACUCCGAUGGCGGAAACCGACCGGUAGGAGUAUGUCGUUACACUACCAUUGUAGCAAGGGCACGAAACCAGGACAUAGAUCAAACAGAAAACUCGCAUAUCUCCAUAUGCACACAUCCCGAAUCCAAAACUAAGCAGCUACGGCUCUUGAUACCACUGUUGGGAUACAAGGUAGGCUACACUAGCGUAAAUCAAAAUUUCUACCACGUAUAACCAGGAAGAACUGCCGUAUAAGGAUCACGGGAUUACCACUCGACGCACUACUGGUGCGGAAGAUGUAGAUAUGCGUCGAUGCAGUGAAGACGAUCACGUAGUCGUACGUAGUGGAUCAACGUAGUCGAUCACGUCACGUCCAGCAGCUCCCACGUGCAGCAAGAUCGCCUCCGGUGCCGCGGCUCGUCGUCGGCUCGUCAUGGCUCGUCGAUGGCUCAUCCAAGUGCUGCAGGCGCAACACCUCCAAGGUAUCCACACGUGCAGGGAGGAAGCGUCGCAAGUCGGACUGCUAGAUCCGCGAGUUGCAACAGGCGAGGGCGUGGGAGGCGCGGCAGAUGUGUUUCGCCAAAAGGUGUAAACCCUAGGGCGCCCCCACCCCUCUAUUUAUAGAGGUUCCUGACGGGCCUCUGGAUCCGAGGCCCAUUAGUACUUCUAAACCUAAUCCAACUCGGAUCUGAUCCGAAUUGGGCUUCCAGCCCCUUAAGUGUGUGACCCUAUGGGUUCGGAUACGUAUAGACAUGGCCCGAGUACUCCUACUCGGCCCAAUAGUCGGUAGCGGCCUCUAGCAAGACGUGCCAACUCCUACACGCACACGAAGAUCAUAUCAGACGAACCAUCACAACAUAAUAUACAUGCUAUUCCCUUUGCCUCACGAUAUUUGGUCUAGCUUCAAGCCGACCGCUCUUUCUCGAUCCUGUGAUUCGGAAUCCCUUUGUAGGUUAACUCUUAACCGUACGUAGCAUGGCCAUGCAUUUUCGGAUCCGAUCACUCGAGGGCCCCAGAGAUAUCACUCUCAAUCAGAGAGGGGCAAAUCCCAUCUUGACUGACCAUGUCUCAUAGCAUGCUUCUUGACAAACCCGAAAGCUACCUUUAUAACUACCCUGUUACGGCGUAGCGUUUGAUAGCCCCUAAGUAGGUCGAUCCACAUCUAGAAUACAUGCGACAGUCUCAGGUCUAAGGACAAAGUGUAUAUGUUGUUUAAAGAGAGAACUACUUCUCGUGUUGGGUCAGUCCUAGCACAUGUCUCCACAUGUGUCCACAUUAUUAGUUCAACAUCUCCAUGUCCAUGACUUGUGAAACAUAGUCAUCAACUAAUACAUGUGCUAGUCUAAUAUUCAUGUGUGUCCUCACAUGAACUCCGACUAGGGACAACUUUAGAAUAACCAUACAAGUAAAGAGUUUCACAUACAAUUCACAUAAUUGCAAAUCAAUUCAAGUAGCCUUUAAUGGAUAUUCAAUGAACACAAUAUAUAAAUCAUGGAUACAAAUGGAAUAUCAUCAUCUCUAUGAUUGCCUCUAGGGCAUACCUCCAACAGACGAAGUGCGGUGCCGCCCAGUUGAGGACAUCCUCGCGAGAUGAUCACGGUCUUCAAGUUGAACAACUUAUGCAGUGUUAAGAUAAUAAUUUUUGUACAUAGAUGGCUUCUGCUACUGGAGGAAGUGGCGAUGGUGGGGGCGAUCGUGGUUCCUAUUAUGGCAAGGUUCCAAUCAUAGUUGGCCCUCACCAUAAGCCAAAGAAAAAGAGCACGCUAGAAAAAGCAAUGCUUCGUUAUUUGCGGCAACGUCAUGAAGAAGCUGUUGCCGCGGGUCAGGAACCUCCUUUUGGUGGUCGUUAUGCUCCACCCUCAGUCCCGGGUGUUUCACGUCCACUUAGUACUACCGUUUCAGGCGGCACAAAUAAACCUAAGGAUGAGGUGUGGUCAGCGGAACCUUCGUCUUCACCGUCCAAGGAUGCUUAAAGUCCUCCUUGAUAAUAACCAAUGGAUGGCUUGUUGUAUUGUAUCAUGUUGUUUGGGACUUUAAUUUAAAUAUGUGUAUUUGGAUCUUCAUGUUGUUGUAUUGUACCAUGUUGUUUGGAUCUUUAAUCGAUUUUCACGCGUAAUCCAUUGUCAAGUGUAAUCCAUUUUCAUGCGUAAUACGAUGCAGAUGGACCGGCAAUGGAUGUAUAAUGCAGACACGCGGAGCAAGGCGUUUAUUGAUGGCUUGCAUUAUUUUCUCGAAGUGGCAAAAGCGAACAAGCCAGAGAAUGGGUUCGUAUGUUGUCCAUGCUUCCAAUGCAAUAACAGGAAGGAGUAUUCAAAGGAUUCCUGGGGGACUAUUCACAGCCACUUGUUUAAAUACGGUUUUAUGCCUAACUAUUUGGUUUGGACCAAGCACGGUGAACUAGGGGUUGUAGUGGAAGAUGGCGAGGAGGAGGAGGAAGAUCACACCAUUCCGGACUGGGUUGCAGGCCAAGCUUUUGCAGGUACUACAAUGGGCGAGGCUGAUGAAGAUGAGUUUGCGAAAAAUGGCCCUACUGAUGACCUUGGUCAGGUGAUACGAGAUGCAUACAGAGAUUGCGAAACUGAGAAGGAAGCAGCAAAGUUGCAGUGCAUGAUAGAUGAUCACCAAAAAUUGUUGUACCCAGGUUGCCAGCAGGGCCAUAAAAAACUAGGUACGACACUAGAAUUUGUGCAAUGGAAGGCAAAAAAUGGUGUGUCUGAUAAGGCAUUUCAGGGGAUGUUGAACAUUGUCAAGAAGAUUCUCCCCGAGAAUAAUGAAUUACCGUCCACAACAUAUGAAGCUAAACAGAUUAUUUGCCCUCUCGGAUUGGAUGUUCAGAAGAUACACGCAUGCCCUAAUGACUGUAUCCUCUAUCGUGGUGAUGAAUAUGAGAAAUUGGAUGCUUGUCCCGUCUGCGAAGCCCUGCGGUAUAAGAUCAGGCGAGAUGAUCCUGGUGAUGUCGAGGGGCAGUCUCUCAAGAAGAGAGUUCCCGCGAAGGUGAUGUGGUAUUUCCCUAUAAUACCACGCUUGAAGCGCUUGUUCAGGAAAAAGACGAAUGCUAAGUUGAUGCGAUGGCACAAAGAAGACCGUAAGGAAGAUGAGAUGCUGAGACACCCCGCAGAUGGGGCACAGUGGAGAUCAAUUGAUAGAACAUUCCCAGACUUUGAAUGUGAAGCAAGGAACAUAAGGUUUGGUUUAAGCACUGAUGGAUUCAAUCCAUUCGGUGAGUUGAGUAGUGGCCAUAGUACUUGGCCUGUGACCCUUUGUAUGUUCAACCUUCCUCCUUGGCUGUGCAUGAAGCGGAAGUUCAUUAUGAUGCUGGCGCUUAUCCAAGGCCCAAAACAACCCGGCAACGACAUUGACGUGUACCUAAGGCCGUUGGUUGAUGACCUUUUACAGCUCUGGAAGGAAGAAGGUGUACGUGUGUGGGAUGAGGAUAGACAAGAGAUCUUUAAUCUAUGAGCACUGUUGUUCGUAACCAUCAACGAUUGGCCUGCAUUGAGUAACCUUUCAGGACAGACAAAUAAGGAAUAUCGGGCAUGCACCCACUGUUUAGACGACACAGACAGCAUGUACUUGAAGCACUGUAAGAAGGUCGUCUAUAUGGGUCAUCGUCGAUUUCUCCCUGCUCACCACCAGCUGAGAAAGAGCAGGAUGCAUUUCAAAGGGGCGCCAAACCAUCGUAAAAAACCUGCACACCGUAAUGGAAAGCGUGUGUUUGAGAUGAUGAAGGAUGUAAAUGUAGUCUUUGGAAAGGGACUUGGUAGCCAACCUGUUCCGAACGACGAUAACGGACAUGCACCCAUGUGGAAGAAAAAGUCAAUAUUUUGGGAGCUACCUUAUUGGGAAAUCCUAGAGGUUCGCAACGCAAUAGACGUGAUGCACCUGAUGAAGAAUCUUUGCGUGAACGUGCUAGGCUUCAUGGGUGUUUAUGGAACCUCAAAAGAUACAUUGGAAGCACGACAGGACCUGAAAGCCAUGGGGCAACGAGAUGACCUACAUCCGGAAAAGAGAGAUAAUGGACAGCACUACUUACGUCCUGCCAGUUACACUCUCAGCAAGGAAGAGAAGGAUAGCAUGUUUGAAUGCUUGAAUAGUAUGAAGGUCCCGUCUGGGUACUCCUCGAAUAUAAAGGGAAUAAUAAAUAUGAAACAAAAGAAGUUUACAAAUCUCAAGGCUCAUGACUGCCACAUGUUGAUGACCCAGUUGCUUCCGGUUGCACUGAGGGGUGUUCUACCAGAAAAUGUCCGGUUGCCGCUCGUAAAGCUAUGCGCGUUUCUCAAUGCGAUUUUGCAGAAGGCAAUCGAUCCAUCCAAGCUAUCAAAGCUACAGAACGAUGUGGUGCAAUGUCUUGUCAGUUUUGAGUUGUUAUUUCCACCAUCCUUCUUCAAUAUUAUGACGCACUUACUGGUUCACCUAGUAAAAGAGAUUGGUAUUCUCGGACCUGUAUACCUGCACAAUAUGUGGCCUUUCGAGAGGUUCAUGGCAGUCCUAAAAAACUAUGUUCUUAAUCGUGCCCGUCCAGAAGGAAGCAUCGCCAAGGGAUAUGGAACAGAGGAGGUGAUCGAGUUUUGUGUUGAUUUUAUUGAUUCAAUUGACUCGAUUGGGGUUCCAGCUUCACGCCACGAGGGGAGGCUCCAAGGAAUGGGCACCCUUGGAAGGAAAUCAAGUUUGAGCAAUGAUACUGAUUUGUUCGACAAGGCACACUACACUGUUCUACAACAGUCAUCCUUUGUGUCUCAGUAUAUCGAGCAGCACAGGCAGAUGGUAGGUUCCAAAAACCCGACCAAAUCCGAUGCUUGGCUUACCCGUCAUCACAUGGAAACUUUUCCCUCCUGGUUGCGCCAACAACUUAUGGGUAACUCUGAGAUUCACCCACAACUUGCCUGGUUAGCCAGGGGACCUGCUACCACAAUCGUCAAAUUCCAAGGCUAUGAGAUAAAUGGUUACACAUUUUACACGAGAGCCCAGGACCAGAAAAGCAUGAACCAGAAUAGUGGUGUCCGCAUAGAUGCCAUGGACAGAAAUAAUAGCAAGGAGUCGUAUUAUGGUUUCAUACAGGAGAUAUGGGAACUCGAAUACGGACCGCUGUACAUCCCUCUAUUUCUUUGCAAUUGGGUGAAGCUAACUACCGUCACCAAAGAUCAGUACGGAAUGACAAUAGUAGAUCUGAGCAAGACUGGAUACAGUGAUGACCCAUUCGUACUUGCCAAUGAUGUGCAUCAGGUGUUCUAUGUGAAGGACAUGUGCAGCAAACCCAAGAGGAAUCCAGAAGAGACAUGGGAGCCAAAGUGCCACAUAGUUCUUCCAGGUAAAAGAAAAAUCGUGGGAGUCGAGGAUAAAACAGACCAAUCAGAUGAUUAUGAUCAGUUUGAUGGCAUGCCUCCAUUCGCCGUUGAAGUUGAUCCAAGCAUCCUGCUAUCCAAAUAAGAGGCUCCGUACUUACGCCGCGAUCAUGAUCAAGGAACUUUCGUGAAGAAGAAAUUUUACAACAUUGUAUUGUAAUGCGUUAAAUGUACAUGAUCUUUGUGUAUUAAUUGAUACAAUUUGUAAUUUACCCUAUGUAUGAUUUCAUGUCUUCUUAAAUUUCUUAGGUGAAGAUUUUAUAGAUAAACAUGAACAAUGUUAACCACAAACAAACAUGGAUUUUUUUGCGCAUUGAAAUUAUUUAAUUGAAUAAUUUCUUGAUCACAACAAUGCAGUAAAAUAAAUAUUUUAGAGGCUAAAUGAACUGGUAUAGAAUUCAUGAUUAAUUCAUACUUAUUGUCAAUUUACUCGUUAAUUAAAUAUAUUUUUGCAUGUACAAAAUCUGUGAAGGUUUUGUUUUUCAUCCUGAAAUGCAGUGAAAAGAUAAAAUAAAAUCCAUUUCCAAAAAAUAGGCGGGAGAAGAAAAGUAGGAAAAAAGACCUUUUGUCUCGGGUGCUAACAGCAACCGGGACAAAAGGCCCCCCUUUUAUCCCGGUUGCAAACUGCAACCGGGAUAAAAGGGUACUUUUCGUCUCCCGCCCCGACGUACCCUUUUAUCCCGGUUGCCAACUGCAAUCGGGAUAAAAGGCCCCCCCUUUUAUCCCGGUUGGUGGUGGCACCUGGGAUAAAAGGGUACGCUCCCAGCCCUACCUGGCGGGGGCACCCUUUUGUACCGGGUCCCGUCACCAACCGGGAUAAAAGGCAACCGGGAUAAAAGGCCUUUUAUCCCGGUUGGUGACGGGACCCGGGACAAAAGGCCCUUUUGUCCCGGGUGGCAUUACGAACCGGGAUAAAGGGGGGGGGGGUUAAAAGGCACUGUACUCCCUUCUACCCCCCGCCAGUUACACUUAGCCAAAUUUUCGCCUAGUCCCGCGCGUUCUCCGCCGUCGCCGCCCGUCCGCCUCCCUCGCCGGCCGCCGCCGUCGUCGUCCCCCAUUGCACCGUCGACGUCCCCCAUUGCGCCGUCGUCGUCCCCCGGCCGGCCUGCCUCGAUCCCCUCCUCGUCCGUCGACGCGCCCGGCCCCCGGCCGCCUCGUCGCCUCCGGCCACCGGCUCCAUCCUCGUCGCCGGCUGCAUCCUCGUCGCCCCUCGUCGCCCCUCGUCGCCGUCUCGUCGCCGUCCCACCUACGCCACCCGGCCGCCGCCGUCCCGCCGCCCCGGCCGCCGCCCCGCGCGCGAGAGGUCCGCCGCCGCGCCGGCCGGCAGCGCCGGGAGGGUUUUUUUUUUAAGUUAGAAAAUUAAGUUAUAUUUUUAUGAUAGAUUUUUAAUUUUGAUUGUUAAGCUAGAAAAUUAAGUUAUAUUUUUAAGUUAGAUUUUUUAGUUAGUUUGUUAAGUUAGAUUUUUAAGUUAGAAAAUAAAGUUAGAAAUUCGUAGGAUGCACCGCCGUCCCCUCCGCCGUCCUGCCGCCGUGACCGCCGCCGUCCCGCCGCCCGUCACAACCUAGUAGACACCGCCCGUGGUUCCGGGGAACCGUCCCCGCCUCCGCCGUACCGCCGCCGUGAUCGCCGCCCGUCACAACCUAGUAGGCACCGCCCGUGGUUCCGGGGAACCGUCCCCGCCUCCGUCGUACCGCCGCCCUCAGUGCCGCCGUCACAACCUAGGCAGCGCCCGUGGUUCCAGGGAACCAUCCCCGCCUCCGCCGCCCUGAUCGCCGCCGUUACAACCUAGGCACCGCACGUGGAUAUUGUUAGAAAUUCGUAGAAAUUCAUAGAAAUUCGUAGAAAUUCGUCAAAAUUCGUAGAAAUUCGUAGAAAUUCAUAGAAAUUUGUAGAAAUUCAUAGAAAUUUGUAGAAAUUUGUCAAAAUUCGUAGAAAUUCGUAGAAAUUCGUAGAAAUUUGUAUAAAUAUUCCGGACUUUGUAGGAUUCAUGUUAUUUUAUGAUUUCAUUAUAUACAUUAUGAUUCCGGACUUUGUAGGACUUUGUAGAAAUUUGUAGUAAGAUGAUUUCUAUGACUGUCAUGUAUGAUUCCAUGUAUGUUUCCAUCAAUAGUUGAAAUGGCAGACGAUGAGACCGCAAGGUAUAUCAUGGAGCAGAUAAUCGCUGGUGAUGGUAGUGGCGACAACAUUCCACUAUCAUACAUGGAUGAAGAGGGCACCCAGGCGGACAUGUUCCUCAACAUGUCCGCCGAUGGGAAUGAAGAGCAACAGCCGCAGCAACAACUUGCCGUGGUGGAAGGUUCCGGCGAGGUAUAUGUUGGCGCUAGAAAUCGGUCAACCGAAUCCCAGCGACCGACACACGACCCGGGAGAAUCUGCUUAGCUCCUGUUCGGGUGAAUGCCCUGGUGCAGUUCGCGCAGCGUGCCAGCCAAUCUGACCUGUUGAUUGGCAAGGAAGAAUACGUGUCAGGUCCAGAAAUCACGAUCGGCUAAGUUUCCGAUCGAGAGAAUUUAUCAACGAAUCGGCCGAUUUACUGUAGUAAUGAAAUCGGCUAUAAGACAGCCUGAUCUCUGUAGCCUUGUAGACAAGGAAUUACUAAAGUAAUCGAUACAAAGCUAUGAUAACAACACUAGGAACAGAUCUAAUCGGCAAUAGAUGAAUUUAAUAACAGAAUAUAGAAAGAGCCGAAACUACCGAUUCCUAGCUGGAUAACUGGUGAUAAAGACUAGAAAAAUAGGUAAAACCUAUGGAUCUAGCAAAUAUCGAUAACUAGUGAAUAUAUCUAAACGAAACAACAGCGAUACGCCCGAAGUUAAAGCUUAGAUAUUACUCGAUAAACGGAACUUACAGAAUCGGCCGGAGAUCAAGAUGAUGCAGCCCUGCCAACCCGCAUGAACUCGUGAGAAGAGAAAAGUAAUGGCGAAGUCGCCUGCUUGAAAGUAAGUACGAAGAAAAAGUAGCUUGUUGUAUUGAUUGGUUGAUGAUUACAGAUUUACAAAGGUAGCUAUUUAUAGCCCCAUACAGAUAUCUUCUUAACCGACUAGAAUUCUAUCCCUAAUUCAAACAGAAAACGAAUAUCUACAAGCAUGAUUCGUGCUAGGUUAGUUACUCCACGCUUCGUGGGCUGAUUUCCAGCUCACCCUUCUAUUCCAAGCCCAUACAGGCCCAAUUAACCCAUCCUCCUAAUCGGCCGAUUCCUCAUCGGCAAAAGGCUACCGAUUGGGACUCUGGUAUAUUCGACCCGAAACGAGACAGAAGUCACCGGCCGAUCUCACACUGUAGCACCACUUGGCCGAUUCCCAAUUGUGCUCCUCCGAUUCCCUCUCUUCUUGGCGCCGAUUCUACUAGUGACGAAAUCUGGCGUCAACACAUGCCCCCCAGUUUCGGAGUAAAACAUAGUCUUUUACUUCGAAAUUCUUUAUAACCUCCCUUCCGAAACGGCCGCAGUGAAAAUAUCCCUCCGUUUCGCGGUCUUCCAGCUGAUCAUUGCAAUUUUUCGAAACGGGCGCCCACGACAGCCACUACUCCCGAAAAACUCGAAACGCCGGCGCGGUGAAAAUUCCAUUUUUACCCCCCUUCAGGCAUCCUUUAAAUAGCGCUUCACCCGCACCUCAUCUUCAAGCUCACGUCUCUUUUCCCAGUGCGCGCGCCUUCUUCCUCCUUCAGCAUCUUUCCCUUGCCGCCGAAGCUUCCUAGCUCCACCUCCUGUUACUCUUCCCUCUUCUCUUUCAAUGGCGGCUCCUUCCGGCAGCUCUCCCGCAUGCGAUGUCCCAGAGGUAGCGCCUCCGGCGGUGGUAGCGACAGCCGUCGCUCCAUCCACAGAAGAAGGAGCUUCAUCGGAGAUCCCAAUGGCGAUCCCCAUCACGGCCCCGUUGUCCGCAUCCGCACCGGCAACCACGCCGAUCACUCAGAACUUCAUCCCAGAGGUAAAUACCGAAUCCUUCUCCUAUCGGCAAUUAAUUUACCUUAGAUCUGUUUCUUACUUUUUACACCCCCUUUUCCUUUUUUAGGCAGUUAGGCAUCGCAUUACCAUUCACCUUACGGGAAAUCCCGGCCUUAUUUGUCUCGGACCUAUGGGAAACCCAGAUCCAAUAGAGCUUAUUAAUUUGGAAACCCACAGGAUACCCUUCAAACUGUCUAAUAUGGACUUAGAUCAGUGGCUGGGUACUUUUAGAUCUUGGCCGAAUGAAACCCCAGGUUGGAGGGAGUGGUACCAAUGGAUAGCCGCAUCAAAGAGCGUCUCAUGGGAAGAGCUCAAAAUCGGCCAGUGCAUCAACCUUUCCUUAUCCCAGAUGGAGAAAAAUGAGCCGUUAGUAAUGGCGGCUUCUUAUUUUUGGUCUGAUGCACUUAAUGCCUUCUUAUUUGGGCACGGUCCUAUGACCCCAACACUGGCCGAUGUGGUCCUGUUGACCGGCCUCGACAUAUCCUCCCCGGACACACCCUAUCACCUUUUAACCACAACGUCACAUCGGCUGGACACAAGGGGAAUCGGCGGGUGGAAGGGUUUCAUCAAAAGUAAUAAGAGGACCGGGACUGUUGAGAAUAGGGAGCACACAGCUUUCCUGAUGAUGUGGCUAGAAAAGCACUUCUUUUGCGGAAGAGCCGCCGGCCCGACAACCAAUACCCAGGCCUUAGCUGAAGCACUGUCCAAGGGAAACCAUGUCCCUCUUGGGAAACAUCUGCUAGGGGCCGCGUACCACAUGCUACAUCAAAUCGGCAUAAGACUAUCCAAGGGAGAGCCGAUCGGCAAUCAAGGCGGGCCCUGGUGGUUCAUCAACUUGUGGUUGAACCUUUAUAUGAGCAGAAUUACUCAGCAGCCGGUGGAUCGCAUGACGUUCCCCAACAUCGAAUCGGUAGAAGACCCUACCGAACGUCGCCGAUGUAUGUCCUUUGGUGAAGCGGCAUCGGCUUUUCCAGGUUGCAUGUAUUCUGCUACAAAGGUAGCCGAGUACUUUCGAUGCUUCUAUAAUGGCUUUAGUGAAGAUGCAACCAUUUGGUUUCCGUAUUAGCGAGACGACCCGGUCUUUGAACUCCCCACUUGCUUCGAUUCGGCUUCCGGCCGAUUUGAUAUAGAGCUCUAUGAUGAGUUGAUCAAGCCAGGGCUCCUGCCAGCCAAUUUCUUCUCGGGGAAGGAUGCCCCUACGUACGAAUUCUACAACCCCUCCGCUGCAGCACGUCAAUUCGGCAUGGGUCAGCUGCCGAUUCAAGUGUACUUUGCUGGCCGAAUCAAGUUUAGGGAUGAGCUCACAUCUGGUCUGGAUUACAGUUGGUUACGAGACCGAAUCCCGGACUCCAGUACAAUUGACCUGAACGACUGGCUAGUAGCUCCCUUUGCUGUUCAGCCGUUCAAACUCUGGUGGGCCGAUUGGAAGCAAUUUCUUUUCUGCAACUCGGCAUCGGCAUACUGCAACCUUCUGGACCCAGCCAACAUCGACCCGAACGUCGAGGUAUUUCACUUAGCCAAUUUUUAUUCCUCUCAACAUGACUAAGCACUAAUGAUUUUAUUAUCUUUUCAGGCCGAGAAUCGAACUCCUCCAACACACAGCCGCAGCGGACGGCUAAUAGAAAGUCACCCAUACACAACUUAUCCUCUUAUCGGCUAUGACGCUCCGUCUGUUGACGUGAUUGCUGGCCGAUCAAAACAAGUCCAUAAGAGGACUACCAAGAAAACCAUUCGCCGAGUCCGAGCUCGUGUAGAAUCGGCAGAUCCCCCUGUGCUCGUAUCGGCAAAGACCCUGGCCGCACCACCUUCUCAGGUCAUCCAAGAUGCCGAUACCCAAGCCGUUGCGCAAGCUGGAACAGCCGCCGCGUCGUUGUUGUUGGAGGCCAUACAGGUAAACCUGAAUUUUACUGCUUCCGAUUGUUAUUCUGAUAUUAACCCUUCUUAUCCUUAGACUGCACAGAGCACCCCUAUGGAAAUACAACAAUCGGCAGCAACUCAACCAGCCAUCGGCGCGCCCCCGCUUUCAUCCGUUGAGGUAUAGUACUAUUUUACUGAUUUCCUUUGGUAUUUGCAUAAUGUACUUAUUCAAUCCUCUGACACAGGCCAUCGGCACACCAAGCGCUCCUCGACAACCGAUCUCUUCUCAGGGAGCUGGUCCAAGCACCGCGCCGAUUAUUGUGGAAUCUUCUUCAUCCGAUGAACCUAUGGCGCAGGCUCCUGAGCAAGGCGUGACGGCUUCACAAGUGCAGCAUGAGGAAAUUCGCUUCAAAAUGGUAAGUUUUGUUUCGGCUUCUAUCCAGCCGAUUUGCUUUUACUUCCAGCCGAUUUAUUUCUUUUCUUUAUUAUCUCCAGGAACAGGACACCCCCGACAACAGCCUCUUUUCUUUUGCGGUCGCCCUUUCCGACGACGAAGAGGUUGCCUCUCGCCAAGUUGCCUUGAGCUCCGUCCCUGAUGACAUCCGAGCCAAACUUUCCAGCAUCCGAUCCCUCCUUCAAGGGGACAUCGGUCGACUAGUAGAAGAUGCUUCAUCGAUUCGGCAGCUCUUCAAUGACAUCAGCGGACGAGUACCAGAAGAGGCGGAGGAAGCCCUGGCACCAGCGGCCUUCAUCGAGUCUAUGAGGAUCCCAGUCUUCAGGGCUCUUCGUCAUAUGGCCGAUCAUGCCAAGCUUGCCAAGACUCGUGAAGAGGAGGACGCGUUCAAGCGUCAGGCUCAAGAGGCACAUCGGCGCAUCCAUGUUCUGGAAGAUUCUCGCCCGGCGAUCAUCGGUGAGAUAGACCGCCUCAAGCGUCGGAGGGCGGAACUUGCCAAGGAGAUGGAGCAAGUGACUAAAGCAAUCAGUGCCGAAGAGAAAAAACUCCAAGAGCUACCUUCUGUCAUUGCCGAUUUGACACGGGAGAGGCAGCGCUUUGCUCAUGAGGCCCUAAAGCUCCAUUGCAGUACAUCAGAAGUCCCCGGAUCGGCAGAUGAAGACCAACGGGUUCUUGACUCUGCCGAUCAGAUCCGGCGCCGGGCUAUCACAGCUAUCGAUACCCUUCUGGGUAAUCUGUAAAACACUGACCGUUUGUCCGAACAUUUACUAUCUUCUUUGACCGUCCCUCGCGACGCCCUUUCUAUUUAUUACCUUUCUUAUUUCCGAUGGGACGUAGCCUUACCAAAUUUCCACGCAUCUUUUUCCAUAAAUACCGACCUCGGCACUUACUCCCGAUAGUACCAAUUUGGCUUUCGGUUUUACUCUCUCCUUCCUCUUACCGGUGCGACUUUCUGCCAUGGCUUCGUCGGCUUCUUCUUCCUCUGUUAACCAGGUGCAAUCUUGCCCUCUACCUCCCCCUCUUUUUAGAUCCUAGGAAAAGAAUGUCCCUUCUUAUUCCUUCUUUGUUUCAGCCUCAACGUCUUAGCCCUGCGCUCGUGCGCGCCAUUGAGCUCAUUCACUCUGAGGACCCAUUGACGUCGGAGGAUAAGGCGCUGAUCCUGGCCCAUCGUGAGGAACUUCGAGAUCACGUCACUGCGGAGGCUCGUGUGGUCUUGGAUCUCAUGGAGAGUGACAGUAGCCGACGAUCUCCAACCAUCAGGAGCCUUCAUUGUGGCGGCCUUGAAGACGAUGUUGCCACGGCGGCCCGUACGAUUUUGGACUUUAUGGAGAGCAAUGGUAGCCGGCGACCUCCCACCGAUAGGAGCCAUCCGCUUCCUCAGCAAGUCGUUCUCGAAGACGCAGCGGCAGGAACUUCGCGCCCUCCCAUGGAUCGGAGUCAUUUUCUCCCUCGUCAAGUUGAAGCGGAGACUUCAAUGAAGGCAAUAGAAGAAGAAUACCUUCACGUCAUGAGCGAGUUGGAGCGGAACGGGAAGGCGCCCAAGAAGAAGAACAAUUAGUUUUUUGUAUUUUUUGUUCUAAGGGCGACUAAUGUUUUGUCGGCCAUGUAACCCGCCGUCCGUACCGAAUGAAUGCAAUCGGCCGAUCCGGUCGACUAUGUGUUUGAACCGAUUUGUAUUGGCUAUGCGUUUGAACCAAUUUGUAUCGGCUAAGUGUUUGAACCGAUUUGUACCGGUUAUGUGUGGUCGUGUUAUGGUCAAUUUCCUACGCUCCGACCCAUAUACUGGGGUAGUAUCUUUUUAAGUACCUUCCGUUCAGAGCUCUAGUAAAUUCCUCUCCUUCUAUUGUUUCCAAAAUGUAAGCAUUUCCUGGGGCGCAUCUGCCGAUUUUGUACGGCCCUUCCCAUGUAGGGGACCAUUUUCCGAAUUUAGGAUCCUUCGACCCAAUCGGCAAUACUAACUUCCAUACUAAGUCCCCAGGGGAGAAUUGUUUGGCUUUGACCUUUUUAUCGUACCACCUGGCUACCCUCUUUUUAUUUUCUUCAAUGCUUAUCAGAGCCCUCAAUCGUUGGCCAGCCAAAUCGUCAAGUUCCCUUUUCAUAAGUGACGAGUAAUCAUCGGCCGUUAACUGGUCCUGGAGCGAAAUACGCCUUGAUCCCGCCCUUGACUCCCAUGGCAGUACCGCAUCGUGACCGUACACCAAUUGGUAGGGAGAUAACUUGGUAGCCCCAUGACAAGCCAUCCGGUACGCCCAUAAGGCCUCUGUCAAACAUAGAUGCCACUUCUUCGGUUGUUCCUCGACUUUUCUUUUGAUCAAUUUGAUUAUCCCUUUAUUGGAGGAUUCCGCCUGACCAUUGGCUUGGGCGUAGUAUGGAGAAGAAUUUAACAAUUUGAUUCCCAUAUUGGUCGUAAAUUCCUCAAAUUUCCCUGAUGUGAACAUUGUUCCUUGAUCGGUUGUUAUAGUCUGAGGGAUACCGAAUCGGUAAACGAUGUGGUCCCUUACGAAGUCAGCCAUGAUAGCCGAUGUCACGGUUCUCAACGGGAUAGCCUCUACCCAUUUGGUAAAGUAAUCAGUAGCCACCAGAAUAAAUUUGUGCCCUUUGCUUGAUGGUGGGUAAAUUUGGCCAAUAAGGUCUAUUCCCCAUCCCCUGAACGGCCAUGGCUUAAUGAUGGGAUUCAUGGCCGAUGCGGGUGCACGCUGGACAUUUCCAAACUUUUGGCACUCCUGACAGCCCUUAUAAUAUUUGAAACAGUCUUUGAGGAUCGUUGGCCAGUAGUACCCAUUAUUCCUGAUCAUCCACUUCAUCUUAUGCGCCGAUUGGUGUGCUCCACAUACCCCCUCAUGGAUUUCUCCCAUCAGCGUCUUGGCCUCCUCUGUCCCAAGGCAUUUGAGAAGAACUCCGUCGAUCGUUCGGUAGAAUAGGUCAUCUUCGAGCAGCACGUAUUUGGUGGCAUGAAAACGUACUCGUCGCUCCACCUUUUUAGACGGAUCCUUCAGGUAGUCGGCAAUUUCUUUACGCCAGUCAUCGGCCGUGAGCUCUAGAGCCAUAGUGCCUAGAAUUAGCCGAUACCCAGACGCAUGCUGGGCAAGUUUGUUGGCGUCUUCGUUGCGGUCUCUUGGGAUGUGCUCGAUUACUGCCGAUCGGAAUUCUUUUAAAAGCUGUAAGCAAUCUUCGUAAUAAUUUCUUAAUACGUCAUCUUUGCAUUCGGACCUUCCGGUCAGUUGAUCCACAAUAAGCAUAGAAUCUCCGAAGACUUCAACGGAAUCGGCCUUGACUUCUCUCAAUAGUUGUAAGCCUUUUAAUACAGCUCGGUACUCCGCUUGAUUGUUAGUAGCGGCGGUUUCUAUCGGCAGAGAAAAAUCAUAGCUUGCCCCCCGAGGCGAUAUGAGAACGAUGCCGAUUCCUGAUCCGACCCCACAUGAUGACCCGUCAAAAUAUAAUGUCCAAGGUGCCAGCUCUACGAGGGCAAUCUCCGGUCUGCAGUGCUGGGCGACGAAAUCGGUCAUGACUUGACCCUUGACGGCUUUUGCCGAUUCAUACCGCAGGUCAAACUCUGAUAAAGCUAAGAUCCAUUUGCCGAUUCGACCUUUCAAUAUCGGCAGUGAUAGCAUGUAUUUUACUACGUCAUCUUUGCAUACGACUACACAUUCUGCCGACAGUAGAUAGUGCCUGAGUUUGGUGCAUGAGAAGUAAAGACAUAGGCAUAAACGCUCCACCGGAGGAUAUCUUGUUUCAGCAUCCAGAAGUCUUCUACUGACAUAAUAAAUUACCCGCUCCUUGCCUUCAAACUCCUGGACUAGAGCCGAUCCAAUAGCUUUUUCAUCGGCUGAUAAGUAUAGUUUAAACGGCUUACCAGUUUGAGGGGGAACCAACACUGGUGGUGAGACCAAGUAUUGCUUGAUAUCUUCCAAUGCUUUGCGCUGCUCUUCUCCCCAUAUAAAUUCCUGGUCUGGCUUUAGCUUCAGAAGUGGCGUGAACGCCUGAAUCCGUCCAGAUAGAUUAGAUAUAAAUCUUCUGAUGAAAUUCACCUUGCCGAUUAGAGACUGCAGUUCGGUUUUGUUCUGUGGGGCCACGACUUUGUUGAUGGCCGCUAUGGUCUUCCGAUUGAUCUCUAUGCCUCGUUCGUGUACCAUGAAUCCUAAGAACUGUCCGGCGGAUACGCCGAAAGCACAUUUGUUGGGAUUCAUCUUAAGACCAUGUUUUUUGGUACACUCUAGCACUUUUCGCAAAUCGGCCAGAUGUUCUUCGUGACCUUUAGACUUGACCACGACAUCAUCGAUGUAGAUUUCUACCAGAAGGCCAAUGAGUUUGUGAAAUAUGUAAUUCAUAGCUCUCUGAUAUGUAGCGCCAGCGUUCUUCAAGCCGAAAGUCAUCACCACCCACUCGAACAAACCAAGGUGGCCUGGACAUCUGAAGGCCAUUUUGGGUAUAUCCUCUUCGGCCAUAAGUAUUUGAUUGUAUCCGGCGUUUCCGUCCAUGAAGCUAAUGAUUUUAUGCCCCGCGGCCGCGUCGAUCAGUACAUCGGCCGUUGGCAUGGGGUAACCAUCCAUCGGUGUGGCCUGAUUAAGAUUCCUGAAAUCAACGCAAACGCGUAGCUUCCCAUUUUUCUUGUAUACUGGUACGAUGUUAGAAAUCCACUCGGCAUAACGACAUUGCCGAAUAAAUUUUGCUUCGAUUAGCCGAGUUAUUUCAGCUUUUAUGUCUGGUAGAAUUUUAGGAUUGCAACGCCGUGCGGGUUGUUGGUACGGCCGAUACCCUGGUUUUAUGGGUAGCCGAUGUUCAACAAUGGAUCGGUCUAAACCGGGCAUCUCGUGAUACUCCCAAGCAAAACAAUCCUUAAAUUCCUUUAAUAAAUUUGUCAAUUUACACUUGUACUCUGGAUCUAAAUUUGCACUAAUAUAAGUCGGCCUUGGUUUGGUACCAUCGCCUAAAUCUAUCAUUUCCAAUGAAUCGGCCGACGUGAACCCAUGCCCUAGCUUCCCAUCUUCUCAGGCGAACUGAUCCAUCUAUUCUGAAUCUUCGGAGCCGACUGCUCGGAUCGGCUGUAGGCCAAAAUCGGUGACCUUCAGGAAAUCGAUCUCCCAUACUCUACCUGAUAUGCACCUGACGGUUUCGCAACUCCACUGCUGCGUGUCGGCUGCCGCAAUGCUGUAUGCGGAGUCGGCUUUGACCACCUCGAUGUUAUCGCCGACCCAUUGUACGAGGCACUGAUGCAUUGUUGACGGGAUGCAGCAGUUUGCGUGUAUCCAGUCUCGGCCAAGUAGCAUAUUGUAGGAUCCCUUGCCAUUAAUAAUAAAGAAGGUGGUAGGAAGGGUCUUACUGCCGAUGGUGAGGUCGACGCAGAGAGCACCGCGAGCGUUUGAUACCUUGCCCUUGAAGUCCUUGAGCAUCAUGUCUGUCUUGGUCAAGUCGUCGUCGCUUUUCCCAAGUUUCCGGAGUACGGCGUACGGCAUGAUGUUGACUGCAGCUCCUCCGUCUACCAUCAAUCUAGUGAGGGGACGGCCAUCAACAUGCCCCUUAAGGAACAGCGCCUUCAUAUGUUGUCGUUCGUCAUCUUCGGGCUUUUCGAACAUGGCCAUCAUUGGCUCCAGGGCCAACUGCGCUGUCUGUUCUUCUAUCGCCGAUACAUCCUGUUGAUCGGCGGGAGUCAUGAAUUCCAUCGGCAAAAUGAAAACCAUGCCGAUCUCGGCCGCCGAUUCGUCCCCCGCCGACUCGUCGUUCCCUUUAUCAUUUCUUUUGGGGCGCCACACCCGAGGCCUUCCUUCCUUCUUGUCUGUCACGCUUUCUUCUUCUUGCUGUUCCAAUUGGCGGAGACGUUGGAUUCUUUGUUUUUGAGACUUGGUCAAUCCGUCGGGACACCACCUGGGGUUUAUUGGUCUUCCCCUUGACCUGGCGCGUUCCCACUCCGGUUCGCGUCCUAACGGGUUUUCAUCUGUCACCCGAGCAUCGGCCAUCUCUUUGAGCCGGCUGUGAACGCUGGCUUUGUUGUCCGACUGGUCAUGCCGAUCAGUCCUGCCCCUCUGCCUAUCAUGGCGUCUAUCUUCCGAUCGAUCAUAUCGGUCACUUCUGCCCCCCAGCCGAUCACGCACGGGAGGGCGCUGGUCAUCUUGGUUGCGCCAAUUCUUGCUGGUCGGUUCUGGCCUUCCAUCUCUGGAGCGAGACCCUUUGAACGGCCGAUUGCCACGAUAAGGACCGUUGCAUUCUGGGCAAGUAUCGGCUGAAGGUAGCCUGAGGUUGUGUUCCCAACAGUGAAUGAAGAACGGGCAUCUCAAGUGCUCCUCGUGCCGACGCAUUGCUUCUUCUCGGGACCUUGAGCGUUCAUGCUGACGUUGGUACUUCUGGAGCAGGAACUGGGAAGUAAUGCGUGGCCCUUCUGACUCACCAUCGUCGUCCUCUAUCCGCCGCUUCCCCUUGACAUCUUCAGGAGUAGCUUGAUUUCUGGGAUCGACGGCGCCACUCUUUUUGGCUAAUUCGGACGUCAGCACUUUUGUUUGGAGUGAAUUCUUCCCUGUAUCAACCAUGUUGGUAGGAAAGGGGUGUUGGUCAAUCUUCAUUGGCUUGGCCGAUUUUGCCGGCACUUCAAAUUUAAGUCUGCCUUGCUCAAUGGCCGACUGUAUCUGCUGCCUGAAGAUUUUGCACUCGUUGGUAUCAUGGGAUGUGGCAUUGUGCCACUUGCAAUACUUCAUCUUUUUUAGUUGUUCGGCAGAAGGUAUUGUAUGGUACGGCGAGAGUUUAAUCUACCCUUCCUGGAGGAGAAGGUCGAAGAUUUUAUCGGGCCUUAGUUGUGUCAAAACCGAACACUUCCGGAUCCUUUUUGCCGAAUGGGCAUGAUAUCGGCUUCUUCCCUUUGAUCCACUCCGCAAGUCCGACUUCAACAUCUUCCUCAUCCUCUAACUCUUCCAGGAACGCCACUUUCUUUUGGAAAUUCCUCCGCGGAUCAAAAGGACGUACCUCCUGUCCAAACAAUCGGUGAACAAUCUGGCUCAGACUUUCGAACUCUUGUGAAGCGUAUCUUUCUUUGAUGUGGGGCAGAAGGCCUUGAAAAGCUAUAUCGGCCAACUGUGCAUCGGUUAGAGCCAGGGAGUAGCACUUGUUUCUGAUUUCCCGAAACCUCUGUAUGUACGAGGAUAUCGGCUCAUCACUCCUUUGCCUGAGGCUGGUCAAAUCGGACAGCUUCAUCUCAUGCACCCCGGCAUAGAAGUAUUUGUGGAACUGUCUUUCUAAAUCGGCCCAUGUGAUAAUCGAGUUUGGCGGCAAUGUCGUGAACCAUUGAAAGGCUGAACCAGACAGAGAUGACGAGAACAACCGUACCCGUAGGGCGUCUUGCGUAGCUGCUUCUUCGCAUUGGAUGAUGAAUCUAUUCACGUGCUCUACGGUCGAAGUAUCAUCCAUCCCCGAAAAUUUAGUGAAGUCAGGAACUUUAUACCGAUGGGGGAACGGCAAUAGGUCAUAUGUAGAUGGGUAUGGUGUUCUGUAGGUAUAAGUUUGCACUUUUGGCUUCAAGCCGAAUUGUUCUUGCAUCACCUCCGCAAUACGUGCCGACCAAUCUGGCUGUUGCUGGUGAACUGUUGGCUGAGGUAUCGGCACGUGCUGGUAAAUCGGAGGCUGAAUAAACGGAGGCUGAUGAAAAGGUGGUAUCUGAGUGUAAGCCGGCUGUGUAGUAAAGGCUGGCUGUUUGAAUGAGCCACUCGUUUCAUCGUACAGCAUGAUCUCUGCUGUCUUGUUGAUCCCCGGAGCGACAGGCUAGUAUGGCGGCACGGUUGGCCGAAUAGCAGCCUGGAAGGAUGUCUGGAAUGGAGAGUUCACUUGACUGGCCGAUUGAUUCUGACCGGCCGUGACCGAAGGUGCCCCCCAGGGUGAUGGGUGAAUUGGGCUAACUGGAGGGAAUGGCGCAGAGGACAGUUGGAUGGAGCCAUAUCCCAUUGGAGUUGAUGACGAGGAAGCACCUGAACUCCCGACAGAAAACUGGAUCGGCUGCGAGGCCGAAUUCGAACAAUUCUGGUUUGGUGGAAUCGGCUGAAAAUAUGCCGGUCCCCUGUAUCCUUGAGGUAUGCCCCCGGCGAAGGAGUUGACAACAGCGUUGUGCACCAUGUUUGAAAGCACCGGGGACUGGUCAAUGAAAGCGUGAUGAAUAGACUGUUGAAUCAUAUCGGACAUUUUAUCCGAAUCUUCAGAAAUCGUGAUCUGGCGGGGAGCAGGGAAUGGAGUCUUCUUGAUGGUCUCCCCGCUUCUGGAGCGACUGAAAGACUUCAGGCAAGCUUUCUGGAACUGUGCCGUAUACUUGUCCAGCUCUUCCUUCUGGUCGUCCUUCAGAUCUGCUUCCGUCACCUCGAUGACGUUAUCUUCGGAGACUUCAGCAGCUUUCGACAUGAUGGCGGUUGUAUUGGUCCCACCGGGCGUGCCAAAAGUGUGUUGGCGCUAGAAAUCGGUCAACCGAAUCCCAGCGACCGACACACGACCCGGGAGAAUCUGCUUAGCUCCUGUUCGGGUGAAUGCCCUGGUGCAGUUCGCGCGGCGUGCCAGCCAAUCUGACCUGUUGAUUGGCAAGGAAGAAUACGUGUCAGGUCCAGAAAUCACGAUCGGCUAAGUUUCCGAUCGAGAGAGUUUAUCAGCGAAUCGACCGAUUUACUGUAGUAAUGAAAUCGGCUAUAAGACAGCCUGAUCUCUGUAGCCUUGUAGACAGGGAAUUACUAAAGUAAUCGAUACAAAGCUAUGAUAACAACACUAGGAACAGAUCUAAUCGGCAAUAGAUGAAUUUAAUAACAGAAUAUAGAAAGAGCCGAAACUACCGAUUCCUAGCUGGAUAACUAGUGAUAAAGACUAGAAAAACAGGUAAAACCUAUGGAUCUAGCAAAUAUCGAUAACUAGUGAAUAAAUCUAAACGAAACAACAGUGAUACGCCCGAAGUUAAAGCUUAGAUAUUACUCGAUAAACGGAACUUACAGAAUCGGCCGGAGAUCAAGAUGAUGCAGCCCUGCCAACCCGCACGAACUCGUGAGAAGAGAAAAGUAAUGGCGAAGUCGCCUGCUUGAAAGUAAGUACGAAGAAAAAGUAGCUUGUUGUAUUGAUUGGUUGAUGAUUACAGAUUUACAAAGGUAGCUAUUUAUAGCCCCAUACAGAUAUCUUCUUAACCGACUAGAAUUCUAUCCCUAAUUCAAACAGAAAACGAAUAUCUACAAGCACGAUUCGUGCUAGGUUAGUUACUCCACGCUUCGUGGGCUGAUUUCCAGCUCACCCUUCUAUUCCAAGCCCAUACAGGCCCAAUUAACCCAUCCUCCUAAUCGGCCGAUUCCUCAUCGGCAAAAGGCUACCGAUUGGGACUCUGGUAUAUUCGACCCGAAACGAGACAGAAGUCACCGGCCGAUCUCACACUGUAGCACCACUUGGCCGAUUCCCAACUGUGCUCCUCCGAUUCCCUCUCUUCUUGGCGCCGAUUCUACUAGUGACGAAAUCUGGCGUCAACAGUAUAUAUAACCAUUCUUGUAUUGUUUCACGCCACCGUUACUACUACGUCCUAAUUAACGAAUCUUGAACUGUUAGCCCUCCGGAUGGACACAAGGGCAGAAGACCCGAGGUCGUACAAAGGUGAUGGAAGGGAGGCUUGUCAUCACGGAAGUGACAGAAGAGGGCAGGCCGGUUGCUCCCGAGAAAGUAGCAAAGAAGUAUAUGAGUCAGAUCGGGGCAAUCGUCCGGGACAACGUGCCUAUCAGCAUCAGAGAAUGGAAGGGCAGAAGCACUAAUCCGUACGCCCUUCCAGAGACAGAAAAGAAUAUGCUGUGGGAAGACGUGAAGAGACAUUUCACAUUCCCCGAAGGAUAUAGUGAGAAGGAUGUCAAAGCGUGGACGCUUAAGAAGAUGGCUACUCAAUUCCAGACAUUCAAGAAGAUGCUGGAUACCCACUACAUCAAGAAGGGCCGAACUCCAGACUUCAACGCGUGGCCAAAGUUGAGGGACCACUGGGAUGCAUUUGUUGAAUAUAAGAGGAGUGAAGAAGGUGUGAAAAAGAUCACGACCAACACAGCAAAUGCUAGUCAGAAGGGCUACCACCAUCAUUUGGGGCGAGGUGGGUAUGGCUCAGCAAUUCCCAAGUGGAGGAAGAUGGAACAAGAUCUGAUCGAACGGGGAAUCGUACCUGCAACUAUUGAAUGGCCCGAACGAUCAAAAAAUUGGUACUACGCUCAUGGAGGCUCCCUAAGCCAAGAGGAUGGGAUGUUGAAUAUUAAUGACACAAUACGUGAGAAGGCCGAACAUCUCAUGAAGAACAUUGAAGAUUCUAAGGCUGGGAGGUUGAAGGUGGACCGAGAAAAUGAUGAGCUCACAUUGGCCCUCGGUAAUCCAGAGCACCCAGGACGUUGCCGAGGGUUCGGGGUGGUUCCGUGGAAGUUCACUUUCCGAGGCGACAGCACCUCGUACAGAAGCCGGAAGCGAAGAAAGGAACAGAUCGAGGAGAGCUGGCGGCAGAUGCUAGAACAAAGAAUGAUGGAUGAAAUCAAUCGGCGGGUGGCCCACGCAGUUGCGGAGUUGGCCCAAUCUGGAGCAUUGCCGAAUCCUAACACCGCCAGCCCUUCUCAACGCCUCUUGAGCAGUUGUGCUUCUACAGGGGUCCCCGAUGCGCAGACGCCCAGGUUACCCGUGGAGGAGCAACGGUUCCCCGUGGAUGCCAUCACACAACGGACCUCAUGUGAGCUGCAUGCACCGGUAGGCAACCUCACUAUUAAGGUAUACUUAUACAUAAUAUUUAUGCAAUCUUGUCAAUUGAUCCAGGCCUCGAGAUCGGAGUUCAACUUGUUUACUUCUGCUAUAUGUACAGGUAGCGUACGGGAGUGCGUUAGCAACCCUGGCGGGGCAGAGCAGUCAUGGCAUGGAAAUUCCAACAGGCUACGCCAGCGUCUGCGUAGAGCAAAUAGUUGAUCCCCAGUAUGAAGGUCUAGAGCUCGACUUCCCGGGAGGCGACGGGGAAAAGACAUUGGCAGAUGCGCUUCAUGGGAUAAUUCUAUGGAAGAAAUGCUACAUCAUUAUUCCCGGCACGGAGCCAUCUCCUCAGACCUCAAGACCGCUCCCCGUAGAUCCCCAGCAGCGACCUUCUCCUCAUACCUCGAGACCGUCAUCUCCUGCUCCAGGACCGUCCCUUCCAUCUAUAUCAAGGUCUCCAUCUCCACCACAUCCUAGUGCUGGGAGCGACGACGACAAUAACAACACCCCUCCCCGAUCACCGUCGCCGGCACCAAGAGCGGCCCCCUUGAAGGAACAUGCACCACCACUAAAGAAGUCACGAGCACCGCCUCCCAAGCAAAGACAGAGAAAGAAGAAAACAAAGGAGCCUGAAGUGACUCGUAAGGAACGCUUUGAGGCAAUGUAUCAUGCAGAACAGUGGGCAGAAAUCCAACGAGAGGCCAGUGAGUGGUUCAAGAAACAAGCCGAAGAAAAAAAGGCAAGGGAGAUGGAGCCACCGCCAGUAAGUCGGCGAGAUUUAAACUUUUUUAUCAGGAUGGAAGAAGGAGCCAAGAAAAGGAUACCACUCUUGUCAAACUAUGAACGGGCUCUAGUAAAGGCUGAUGAAAAGGAUAAAAGGAAAGGAAAGUCAUCUUCCAGCGGUCCAGUCCCCGACCUCAGCCAUUUAUCAAAAAAAGAUGCUCAACAGGUAAAAGCAAUGCCCUUGGAUCAACAAGCAAAUGUAUUGAAGUUCAUGGAAGAAACAGGUCUGGGACUUGAUGAAUGCAUAGGGCAAGUUGAGACGCCAACUGCACCGCCCCCUGAGCCGAAGUGGCCUUAUGAGCUAGGAAAACCUCUAGUAAAGCCUUCAUUGGUACGGAAGCUAUCAACAAAGAUGUACGCAUUCCAUCAAUGGUACAUGAUGGCAUCCGUCGACUCGAGGGAGAUGAUCGGCAUGAAGGUAAAACCGAUAGAUUUUCACGGUGAAGGGGAGAAAGUGAUGUGGCUAGACUUCAAGGAUAUAUACGAAGUGUACCAUCAUGAUGCCCUGGACGUCUCUCUGAUCAGCGCUUGGAUUCUGUAAGUGUCCGUUUAUCUCUACAUGUAAAUUUUGGCGUACAUCACCGUACUAACUUCAUCUUCCAUUUCAUGUAGGAUGCUAAUUCAGACAUGCCGCCGAGAGGCGUACCUACAUAUAGGCUUCAUGGAUCCAUCUGUAGUUAACCAACAACAGAUACAAUUAGCGCCGGAAAAAACCUUUGCGGAAAUAUACAAUUUCCUAGACAAACAAACAUUCAAGGAUUUCAUACUACUUUCAUACAACUUCAAGUAAGUGUGUGUAUACCGUCUACUUUCGAUGUCUUUUUCCUUAUCUCUACAUGUUAGUUAGCUCUAAUAUGCAUGAACAUUUUACGCACGCAGCUUCCACUGGAUCCUUAUUAUAAUUGAGCCUGAAAGAAGCCACGUCACUGUCUUCGAUUCGUUAAGGAAAGAUCCGGUGGACUACCAAGAAUUGCAAAACAUGCUAGGCUUGUAAUAAUUCUGGACCUUUAUCUCUAUGCAAAAAUUUAUUUCCUAAAUUUUAUCCCUGUUACACUAUAUCAUUCAUUAUUCUAAUCCGCAGCGCAUGGAAACAAUUCAUAAGGACACACAAAGGUCCAUUCAAAGAAAAACUUACAUGGAACACAGACUUCCCGGUACGUAUGCAGUCUGCACAUUUAUUACAUUGUAUAACACGAAUAUUUCAUAACUUAUUUUUUUCCGCACUGAAGUGCUUAAGACAGGAACCCGGGAAUAAUCUAUGUGGCUACUACAUCUGUGAGCACAUGCACAGUUUUAUGGGACCCAAGGGACCGAAGAUGACGCCGCACAACUUUAAAGUACGUAAAAUAAAACUAUUACUAGUUAAUUAUUUUCUAGCUCCUUAUAUGUAUUUGUUCAUGUAACAUUCACAAAUUUCCAAAUUAUAGAUGUUAAAUAUUCAACAAGGACUCUUGAAGGAAGAAAGAGUAGCGGCAAUAUGUGAAGGUCUCAUUGGAUUCAUAAUGGACGAGGUGGUAAAUCCAAAAGGAGAAUUUUAUUAUGAUGGACGACAAUUAGACACUCCGAUCAGCAACACCACGACGGGAAGAUUGUAGGAAGAUACUUUGAUUUAUUUGUAUAUAUAAUACGCGCUAAUUAUGAUCGAUUUGUACUAAGCUAGUUGAAUUGUGUAUAUGAAUUGUGUAUAAGGAUUGUGUAUAUAUAUAGUAAUUGUAUAAUUACAAAUCCCAUUCGUUUAAAUACUAGUUGAUUUCGUUCUAAAAAAAUCUCAACUACUAAAGGUUAACAAAUUAAAAGGGCCGCGGUACUACGUAUACGUGAUGCAUGCAUGAAAAAUUCAGGCGUCACGGCAGUGCCAUGCAAGCGUCAUUUAGUCCCGGUUGGAAUCCAGCCGGGACUAAAGGGUAACCCUUUAGUCCCGGUUGGUGACACCAACCGGGACUAAAGGGGGACCUUUACUCCCAGUUAAAAGACCCAGGACUAAAGACCCCCCCUUUUGUCCCGGUUGGUUUAUCCCGGAUGGAUUUUCGAGAGAUAUGUACCCUACCAACCGGAACUAAAGGCCAAUAUUGGUAAGCUUUCAAACAACCUUCAAGUGCUAGGGUUAGGACAAACAACUUGUCAGGGAUAAUUCCCACCAGCUUUGGGAACCUUACUGGCUUAACAAAACUUUAACUUAGUUACAACAAUCUCAAUGGUCCAAUCUUAGAGUGGGUUGGAAAUAUGAAGGAUCUUGGAGCUAUAGUUCUUGAUGCAAAUAACUUCACUGGUUUGAUUCCGUCUUCUAUGAGUAAUCUUACAAAAUUGACUCUGCUCUCUCUUACAAAAUGAAUUCGAAGGUCCAAUAUCACCAUGUCUGGGAAGUCUGCCACUUCUUACAUAUUUGAACCUUAGUUAUAACAAUCUGCAGGGUAACAUUCCUAAGGAAAUAUUCCAUCCCGAGUCCUCAAUAACCACAUGCGUGUUAUCCUACAAUAAGUUAGAAGGUCCAAUUCCUCCAGAGAUUUCUAAUCUUUGACGACUGACGGAACUAUAUCUUUCAUCCAAUAAGCUUAGUGGGGAAAUUCCUUCAACCCUAGGAAAUUGCAAAGAGUUACAGAUCAUUGAAAUAGAUUGUAACUAUCUCCAGGGGAGCAUUCCGUUGACUUUUAAUGGUCUAAAGAGCAUGACCUUGCUAAAUCUUUGACACAACAAUUUGUCAGGCUUCAUCCCAACAAAACUGGGUGACUUACCAGCUGCAACAAAUUCCUCACCCAGCUGGAUCUAUCUUACAAUAAUCUGCAAGGCGAAGUACCCACAAAUGGAGUAUUUGGAAACGCCAAAUUUUUCUCACUUCUUGGCAACUAGGGACUUUCUGGAGGAGUGCGGGAUCUACAUAUGUGCCCAUGUGCUACAGUCAUGGAGCAAAGAAACACGAUACUACUACCUGAUCAGGUUACUCAUCCCGGCAUUUGGAAUCAUGUCACCCAUAAUGUUGAUCUAUGCUGUAAUCCCACAGAAAAAGAAGUCAACAACAAGGUACUCAUUGUUAUUUUAUUUUGGUAAGAAAUUCCCUAUAGUUUCUUACAAGGAUCUAGCUCAAGCUACAGAAAACUUCUCAGAGUUCAACCUGAUUGGGAGGGGUAGCUAUGGUUCAGUGUACAGAGGAAAGUUAACUCAAGCUAAAAUGCAAGUGGCUAUCAAGGUUUUUGAUCUUGAGAUGAGAUUUGCAUACAAAAGCUUUGUAUCAGAAUAAGAGGUCGGGUGGGCCGCAGCCCACUCUAAGAUUUGGUCCAAAGAACCCAACGUAAGAAAUCGGUGCUCGAUAGCCUAAGAGGGGGAGGGGUGAAUUAGGCAACUUAAAACCUUAACAUGUGGCUUCAACUACAAAGCAUCAAAAAAUAGACUAAAUCAUGCUAUGCAGAUAUGCAUCUAUGGUUGAUCUAGUGAAAACUUCCCACCCACGAAGAGUUUUACAACUUAGAGCCAAUCCUAUCAAGAUAUUACUCUAGAAUAUAAGAAAUGCAAAAAUGUAUAAAAGUGGGUUAGGAACGAUGCAAACUCGGGACGACGAUUUAUUCCGUAGUAUCGAUAGGAAAAUGACACCUCUAGUCCACUAGAGCUCCACCGAGGAUACGCUCCUGGACACCAAAUCUCUCUCGAUCAAGGUCUUGGACCCACCACAAAGGCUCUCACCAAGCCAGAUGAGAAGCUUGCCAUGAAGGAAAGCUAACCACUCCCUCUCUUCCAUUCACCAUGGCGCCGUCUUUACUACAUAGCUUCUCUAUGAAGGAAGGGUUCUCCCCGUCCCCCGCACACGAUCGUUGUUAUUGAUCCACAUCAAGCUGGAGAGUCGAAGACUUGCCAGCGAGCCACCAAAGGCCCGAGGCGCCAGCACACCAAGCUUACAAUGGUGGUUCACUCCUUGAACCAAUCACAAGGUAGCAACACCUUGAACUCACUCUCUCUAGAUGUAUCCUAGCACUAAUCACUCUCGAAGCAUGUGCUAAACCUUGUAUUAUCACUUUUUGCACUUUUGGUGGGAUGGAUGUGUUCUUGAUGAGUCUUGAUCUUGAAUGAACUCUUGGACACUACAGCAAUUUCAAAUGGGCGAGUAGAGGGGGUAUAAAUAGCCCAUGGACCUCAAAGACCCAUUGAUCCAACGACUAGUAAAAUCUGUGAGCAUCGGAUGAUCCCAUGGUCACUUUAGAUAGGCAUCGGAUCAUCCGGUGCCCCUUGCUAAUGCAUAUAGCCGUUGGACCCCCUGCCCAAAAUUACUCCGAUGCUUCAUCCAAUGGGCAUCGGAAUAUCCGAUGCUGAGGACUUUUUCACCUAAAACCUUCUGGAUGAUUUCAAAGUAAAUAUGUUUAGUCCGAUGCCUCCAACUUCUGACCAUCGGAACAUCCGGUACUAUAGGAUUUUCUCCAUCUUCUUUGCGCAUUGUUCCGACGCUUGUAAAAAGAACCUCGUCAUAUCAUUCGGUGCUUACUGCAACUCAAGCUGAUUUCUCAAUUGUACUAAUUGCUUAGAUGGUUGCUCUAGUGGACCGUCGGAUCAUCCGGUGCUUCAUAUUUUUCUGAGUUGAAUAUCGCAAUUUGCACACAAAAAUACCAUCACUUGGAUUUCUAUCAUUUAAACACUUUGAAUACCAUAGAAUGAUCCAGAUAUUUAUGAAUUGGACACUUGAAUAUCAUGAUUUGGACCUUUUGCCAUGAUUUAGUUUGCAUUCUUAGGAUCCAGAAAAUCUAAGGUACAUGCUAGUCAAAGCAUUAGUUUGUCACUCAGUCAUUAAAAUCACAAAUUAUAACCUAAUAGGACCAUGUUCCUUGCAAUCCAGCUCCUAGAUUUUCCCAUCCGCUGAGACGCUGACAGAGCCAGCCACGAAGCCAGCACCCACGACUCAUGGUAAUCAUGGUAAUAAAAAGGAUCAAGUUAAUGAUUUGAUCUAGUGGCUUGUCAAAUUUUUUGCAUUGUUGGACCACUCUAACUUGAAAUCCUAGAAAUUCUCACUAAAAUCAGAAACAUCAAAUAUUAAUCGUGCAAACUCUAAUAAUUAUAAUCAUUGAUCUAUAAUAUUUUAUAAAAGGUUACCUACCAAACAUAUUCUAAAAUAAACCCUAACCCUAUAUCUAAAUUAUCGAGCUCUGCAAUUAUAAAAAACUAAUCUAAAGUAACCUCCAUAAUCUUCGUCCAAUUUAUUUAUACAUAUCAUUAUAAAGUAUAACUUCAAAUGUUACUCUAAAUUUGUAUCUAAGUUACCCACGUCUAAAUUUGUAUCUAAGUUACCCACGUAUGUUCUUAUUAAAAUAAUCUAAAGUAAACACCUAAAUCUUAAUCUAAUUAUCUUCAUGUGUGUCAUUCAAAAAAGUCCAAAAGUAAACAUUAUGAGUGUUAUUAUUAAUAUAGAAAUACUAAGUUAAGGUAUAUACGCAUGAUGAGUGUCACCAUGUAGACAAUCUGUACAUGUAUGUGGAGAUGUGAUACAAAAUGAAAAAAAAGUGUGAAUGUGGAUAAAAAAUAUAUAGAGUAAUUAAUAAUUAAAAAUAAUCAUAAGACAUAAGUAUACAUAUCAAACGCCUGUCUCGAUCGCUUGGCUUCGUGCCGAAACCAGCUAGCUAAACAGUAAACACCUUUGCCGUCGGGGCUGGCUCCACAAGGUGGCAGUUGUCAGUUGUGCUGUUCGAUCUCCAUCCCACGCUGGCAGGUAGGACACCCGUGAGGCGAUGAAUCGUGACGCGAGCUUCGACGGGCCGCUAGCUUCGACGUACGAGUACAGCGAGCAGUGGCUGGAAUUUUGCAAUUCCUUCGGUUGGGUUGGGUGGUUUUGUGCGGGAUCGGCAAUGGUGACAACUGGACGAGCUGUUUGUGUUGGCUUUGUGCAAACUGCUCUCAAGUACAUUACAUUCAUCUUCUAAUGAUCAAUUUACUGAGUUUGCUGUCGAAGAUGGGCUAACUACUUGGUGAUGCAAUCACAACGCAUGCAAAAGAUGUGUUUCAACUUGCACAGCCACCACCUUGCUGAUGGUGAUUUAGCUAAGUUUCAACUUGAAAUUUCAAACUUCCGAAAAAAAUGCAGCAAGAUCGUAUCUAUGACGCUUGACUCUUUGCAGAAUACUUACAGUUAUCUGGUCCUCAAUUGGAAUAAAUUUUGUUUGCAUAAAAAGUAAAGUGCCACAUUUUCACCUUCAUAGAACUAAUUGUCUCACUAGAUAUUUCUCCAAUUAAUAAUCAACAUUGUACGAGACCCCUACGAAGCACGGCAUUGUAUAGACUAUUCUUGUCGAGAUCGGAUACAUAAAAGUUGACUUGACGCGCUACCCGUUCAAAGAUAACCCAUGAACGAAUCAUGGCCACACGAUACAUUCUGGAAGCGCGAUCAUUACAAAGAUCCAAAUCGGAUUUGAAAACGAAAAUCCAGCGCCGGUAGACCAUUCCACGAGCUGAAUUUUAUCGUCAUCGAAACCGCACUAGACAUGUAGCACGCAUCAGCCCGGAAUAUCUCUGUCCAUUUCCUGCAGAAAAGUACCCUGCGAUUCGAGGCUGGACACGCCGCAACAAUCUUGUCCAGCUCAGACAGUGACGGCCGCACUGUUGAGAAGAUCGAAGCUGUGAAGUGGCGAUAACCGGCGAGUUUGACGGACUCGGGGUCUUCGCUCCAACGCCGUCAAGCUAAGAUAAGAUAUGAUGAUGAUGCAAGUGUGUGGAUUGUAAUACCGCUGUAAGACUGUUUUUAAACCCCUGGGGCCUGAGACAGUUGUGCAUCCAACUUAAGCACUAGUGGUCUCCGUUUCAGCCAUUCCUGAGACCAUCCAAACAGUUAGGUCAGGCAUAAGAGGACAUCAAACGCCUGCCUGGAUCGCUUGGCUCCAUGCCGAAACCAGCUAGCUAAACAGUAAACACCUUUGGCGUCGUCGAUCGGGGGCUCACCCCUGCACAAAUACGGCAGUGCUGUUCGAUCUCCAUCCCACGCUGGCCGGACGCCCGUGAGGCGAUGAGUCGUGUCGAAAGCUUCGUGGAUCGGGCCGCUAGCUCCAGUUUUUCAGACGAGUGGCACGCUCACGUGUGCACGUACGAGUACAGCGAGCAGCGGCUGGAAUUUUGCAAUUCCUUCGGUUGGGUUGGGUGGUUUUGUGCGGGAUCGGCAAUGGCGACAACUGGAUGAGAGCGGUUUAUGUUGGCUUUGUGGGAACUGCUCUCAAGUGCAUUACAUUCAUCUUCUAAAGUAGCUAACCCAUCUUUGUGCUGGCUAAUUUUCAAGUACUUCACAGCCAACCACCUUGCUGAUGGUGAUUUCGCAGAGUUUGAACUUGAAAUUUCAAACUUGGAAAAAAAUACACGAAGAUCAUAUAUAUGAUUGUUUCCAGAAUAUCAUGCAGUUAUCUCGUCCUCAAAUGAACCAUUUUUUACAAAAAAGGACUUUAUCCUACAAUUACUACCAACUUAAAAAAAGGACUUCAUGUUACUAUUAUUAAUUGGAGGGUGGACACUCUAGAAAAACAAAGAAAUCUUAGAAAUUCUCACAAAAAGUCAAAAUAUCUAGCCAUCAAUCAGUAUGCUCAAAUCAUCAUAGCCAUUGGAUCUAUUUAUGUUUUCUAAAAAAUUACCCAUGUAUGCCAUUAUGAAAAUAGCCUAAAGUAACCCCCUAAAUCCAUGUAUAAAUUACCCACCUCUUCCAUCAUAUAAAAUAAACUAAAUAACCCCCUAAGCUUCAUUUAAAUUACCCACUUAUACCAUUAUAAACAAUGUUUCAAAUAACCCCCUAAAUUUUCAACUAAAUUGCCCACCACUAAUACUUAAAAAAUAACUUAGAGUAACCCUUAAAUUUGCAUGUAUAUUACUCACAUAUGACAUUAUUAAAAAUAACAUGAGGUAACCCUACUUUUGAAUCCAAAUCACCUUAAUUAAAAAUAUAUACCAAAUAUAUGAUUCUAAAUCAUUUAUUUCUUACACUUUGGUAUAUGAUAUAAUAAUUAAGGUAACCCUACUUUCGAAUCCAAAUCACCUUAAUUGAAAUAUAUACCAAUAUAUGAUUCUAACUCAUUUAGUUUUUAUGCUAUUGAUAUAUGAUAUAAUAAUUAAGGUAUAUACAUGUGAUGUGUGUGACCAUUUAUGAAGAUAUAGAGGAAAUGAUGAGAAUAUAGAUUUAUAUGUUAAAUUUGCAACUAAAUUUCCCACCACUAAUAGUGAAAAAAUAACUUAAAAAUAAAUUAAAGUGACCCCUUAAAUUUGCAUCUAUAUUACCCACAUAUGUCAUUAUUAAAAAAUAACAUGAGGUAACCCUACUUUUGAAUCCAAAUCACCUUAAUUACAAAUAUAUACUAAUAUAUGAUUCUAAAUUAUUUAUUUUUUACACUAUUGAUAUAUGAUAUAAUAAUUAAGGUAUAUACGCAUGAUGUGUGUCACCAUUUAUAUAAAUAUAGAGGAAGUGAUGACAACUUAUGGUCGGUAUGUGUCAUCGGUACGCGGUUGAGUUAACAUUAUGGCUUAAACUUAUGAUCCAUAGAUAAAUUCAAGCACAUACCGACGAUGCAAAUUGAAAAGUUAAUAAUUAUAAAUGUGGAUGAAAUAUUAUAGAGUAAUUACUAACUAAAAUCUAUCACAAUUAGAUGAAGAUAAUAAGUAUAUAUCUAUAUAAGCAUUGUGUUAGGAUAUUUAACAAAUGAGAGGUAGCUUAAGGUAAUAGUUUCGUAACAAUGGGGCUACAUUUUUUCCAUUGGAGAUUCCGCAUUAGUUCUCACGAGACACGCUAGGAAAAAAUCCUAGAAAUUCUCACUAAAAUCAAAAACAUCAAACAUCAAUCGUGUAAACUCUAAUAAUCAUAGUCAUUGGUCUAUAAUAUUUUAUAAAAGGUUACCUACCAAACAUAUUCUAAAAUAAACUCUAAUCCUAUAUCUAAAUUAUCGAGCUCUGUAAUUAUUAAAAACUAAUCUUAAGUAACCCCAUAAUCUUCAUCCAAUUUACUUAUGCAUAUCAUGAUAAAGUAUAACUUAAAAUGUUACUCUAAAUUUGUAUCUAAGUUACCCACGUAUGUUCUUAUUAAAAUAACCUAAAGUAAAUACCUAAAUCUUAAUCUAAUUAUCUUCAUGUGCAUCAUUCAAAAAAGUCCAAAAGUAAACAUGAUGAGUGUCAUUGUUAAUAUAGAAAUAUUAAGUUAAGGUAUAUACGCACGAUGAGUGUCACCAUGUAGACAAUCUUUACAUGUAUGUGGAGAUGCGAUACAAAAUGAACAAAAAAGUGUGAAUGUAGAUAAAAAGUGUAUAGAGUAAUUAAUAAUUAAAAAUAAUGAUAAGACAAAGAUAAGUAUACAUGUAUAUAAGAGUUAUGUUGAAAUAUUGAAAAAACUAAGAGAGUAGUAGGUAAACAAUUUCGAUUAUUAAUUAGGAGCUCAAUUUUUAAAUAAUUUUCAAAUAUGAUAAUUUUUUUAAAAUAUUAUCCCGUGCAGGAGCACGGGUUGAUGGACUAGGACAACUAAGGCUGAUCACUAGAUAUUUCUCCAAUUGAAACGGUGUUCAACAUCUGCAAAACCCUGCAAAGCACGGCAUUGUACAGACUAUUUUUAUCCAGAUUGGAUACAAAUUGACUUGACCAGCUCGCUACCCUAUCAAAGAUAACCUAUGAACGAAUCAUGCACACACACAUACAUUCUGGAAGCGCCAUCAUCACAAAGGUCCAAAUCGGAUCUGGAAUCGAAAAUCCAGCACCGUAGACCAUUCCUCGAGCUGAAUUUUAUCAUCAUCGAAACCACACGAGACGUCGCACAUCAGCCUGGAAUAUCUCUGUCCGGUUCUGAUGAAAAGUACUUUGGGAUUCGAGGCUGGACACGCCGCUACAAUCUUUGUCCAGCUCAGACGGCGACGCCGGCGCUGGGAGAGAAGAUGGAAACUGAAAAGUGGCAGUAACUGGCGAGUUUGACGGACUCAGGGUCUUCGCCCAACGGCGGUCAAGCUGAGAUAAGGUGUCUCAAUACGAGUGUGUGGAUGAUAACGGUGACGUAAAACUGCUUUUUAAACCCCUGGGGCCUCAGCCAGUUGAGCAUCCAGCUCAUAAUUCCAGUUCAAACACCCACUAGCAAGCAAAUAGAAGCAGAUUAGAAAGGCUGACGCACAGCAGAGGUACCAUACUCUCUCCCUCCCUUCCCUCCCUCCUGAUGGUUUUAACUAUCCUCUUUAUGCUGUUACCUUUUUAAGAUGGUUUUAGCUAGUUACUUGCUGCAACUCUGUAUGGUUUCUCAAAACUAGUACCCCUCCGUAGGUCAUUUUAAGUUUUUUUAUUUUUAUAGAUAUUAUCUAUGAAUUAUCUAUGAACAUAAAAAAUCAAAACCAUCUAUAAUUUGAAACGAAGGGAGUACUUCUUAGAAUUAGCUCUGGUUACAGCAUGAGCUUACGCUGCGUAAUUCAUCUAGUAGUACUUUAUACGCUGCCAAGUUUAUGCUUUAAUUUUGCAGGUGACAAUUAAUAUGCUCCUCAUGCGUCACUCGAUGUUGCUGGCGAAACUCGCCGUGCUUAUCGUAUUGCCUUUUUUGCUGCUGUGUUAUGGAGUUGGCAACGUUUACUGCUCGACAAUUCAUGAGAAUAGAGAAGAUCUGCGCUCAUUGCUCGACUUUAAGAAGCGGAUCAGUUCUGAUCCAAAUGGAGCCUUGAUGAGCAAUUGGACAACCAACACCCAUUUCUGCCAGUGGAAUGGUGUUAACUGCACUUCCACACCACCAUAUCGCGUCAGAGAGCUCAUCCUCACCGGGCUAAACUUGGGUGGCGAAAUAUCCUCCUCUCUUGGAAAUCUGACCUCCCUUAAUUAUCUUGAUCUAUCCAAUAAUAGCUUUCAUGGUCCCAUACCUCUUCUUAACAAACUCCAAAACCUAGAGUACCUUUUAUUAGGAAGCAACCUUUUGCAAGGUGUUAUUCCCGACGCACUUACAAAUUGUUCUAAUUUAGUUACACUAGAUCUCUCUGGAAACAACCUCAACGGUCUCAUUCCUCCUAGAAUAAGCUUUCUUACCAAACUAGCAUAUAUCAAACUUUACAGUAAUCAUGUCACUGGGGAGAUACCAGCAUCCCUCAGAAACAUCACAAAUUUACAACUAGUCCAUUUUUCAAAAAAUCAGCUCAAUGGUAGAAUUCCCGACGAGGUUAUGCAAAUGCCAAACUUAAUGGAGUUGCACCUAAACCAAAAUAACCUAUCAGGUAGUAUUCCUGAGGUUUGGCAAAUGCCAAAUAUAUUGGUAUUAGACCUAAGCGUAAAUAACCUUUCAGGUCGAAUCCCACGAGCUCUAUCUAAUGUAUCUUCUCUUCAGGGAUUGUCCUUGGCAUCAAAUAUGCUAGGCAGUACAUUACCAUCUAACAUUGGAGAUGCUCUACCGAAUCUCACGAUUCUAUA
RNAcentral lists this long non-coding RNA (174221 nucleotides) under Setaria italica (foxtail millet). RNAcentral describes it as "long non-coding RNA (SITA_LNC000559)". Lineage: Eukaryota; Viridiplantae; Streptophyta; Magnoliopsida; Poales; Poaceae. The record is from RNAcentral.